UUAUGCAUACAGAGGUGGCUACACGACCUACAAUGGCGGCGUUGCUCCACGAGGUGGCACCGAGGGGUGGAACAAAACAAGCUAUAGCUCAGAUCAUACGUGUCAGCCUGUGUUCAUUGAUGCAGAAGGGAGGAGGAAGCCGAUCACGUCUUACACUGGUCCGCACGGUAGCACCGAGUAUUACGUUACAAAAACCGAGAUCGUCGAGGUUCCAUAUAUGGCCGAAUUCAAGCAAAGGGCUCCUGUAAGAGUUGAGGUGGUGAGGGACCAUGGUGAGGGUAAGCUGAUGACUAGGCCCUUAAGUCCCGGGGAAUGGCGGGAGAGUUCAAGUCCUGUUCGGUAUCAUACUGAAGAGAAAUGGAAUAAGCCUUCUAGACCCGUUCAGUAUGACGUCGAAGAGAAAUGGAAUAAGCCAUCGAGUCCUGUUCGGUAUCGUGUCGAAGAGAAAUGGAAUAAGCCAUCUAGUCCUGUUGGUUAUGGUGUCGAAGAGAAAUGGAGUAGGCCUUCGAGUCCUGUUCGGUACCAUGUCGAAGAGAAAUGGACGAACCGGCCUUCAAGUCCGGUUAAGGAACGUCCACAACAAGUUCCGGAUUUCAUUACCAAAGUUCAAACUCAAGCUAGCCGACCAAACAAGUUCGGUCCUCUCAGCGCAACAUAUUGGCGCCAGACACCAGCCACGACCACCACAACCGUUGGUGGUCCGUGGAACAACCAGAGUCAUGGUGGGGGAUGGUCCAAAGGACACGAGGCUAACCUUAGCCAACCAACCAGCAACAUCAACACUGCCGUGGAAUACUUAAAGGAAGCUGUUAAACCACCUGCUCCCAGGUAUGAUGGAUAUCCUAACACCAUUGACAGCAGGGAAGCUGAAAGAAAAUAUGGCGGCUUGGCUGUCGGAACGCCGCCAAUCGGAAGUUAUGGCAGAACCAUUGAUAGCAGGGAAGCUGCAAGAAAAUAUCGUGGAACAGCAGUGUGAAAAAGGCAAACUACUUGGGAUAAAUUUAAGUGUGUUUUAGGAUAUAAUAAGCUUUGGGCUUUAAUCCAAGGCUGUGUCAGUUUGUUUACACCUAAGUUUGAUGAUGAUGGAGAUGUUUCAAUGAAGUUAGUUUCUAAAGAUGGCCCCUUUUAUGUACUGCAAUAAGUUAUCAGUUCAUGAAAUAAAUUUAUAGAUCAUAUUUUUAGUUUAUCCAAUUCAACUUUAUUCUCUAACUCUUUUUAAAUAUUAACAAAUUAAAAUUUAUUAAAUUUUAACUCAAUUGAUACGAGUAUUGUUGUCAAUGCAGAAAUAUAUAAGUUUAAGUGUGUUAGAAACGGCCAUUAUCCUUGUAACGACUUAUUUUCAGUGGUAUCGGAAACAUAAUUUUAAGACCCCAAUUCCGAAAAAUAAGUCAGUAUUUUAUUACUUAAUUGAUAUUUAUGAAGUUUGAUGAGGCUUGUAUUAAAUUUUUGUUAAGUUAUAUUGACGUUUGGGUAAUUAAAUUAGUUAAAGGAUUAAAUUGUAAAAGUUUCAAAAGUUAGUUUUAAAAGUUAAUAGUAUUAAGUAGUUAGGAAUUAGAGAGUUGAUGGACUUAAUUGGCCAAUGUUAAAAUUACUGGUCGGUUUUGAAGUUUGUUUUAAGUGGUUUUAUGACUAAAAUUUCAUUAAAAUAAAGUAAUAAUAAUAAGAAUAAUAAAACAUUAUGGGGCAACUAUAAUUGUAACAAUCUGUCUUUUAGUGGUGUCGAAAAUAGUAAUUUCGGGGCCACCAAAUUCGACGAGUAAGUUCGUAAAUAUUAUUGUUUAAUAUUUAAGAGUUAAAUGUGACUUUACAAAGGUUUUUAAUUUGAUAAUUUAUUAUAUUUAAGUGAUUUAUUGAGUUUAAGUGGUAAGACCUGAGGUCAAGUGAUUUUAAAAAAUGAGGUAUCGGGACCUUGUUUCUAUAACCGAGUUGUAAAUAUUUUUAUAAAUAUUUACGGAGUAUCAUUAAGGUAAUAUUAAAGUUUCGUUGAAAAAUUUUAACGUUUUGUUAGUUAAUUAAUUAAAAAAGACUAAAUCGUAAAAGAUGUAAAAAUUGAUCACUAUUUGAUUUGAAUGAUUAAAUAGUUAAUUGAAUAAAGGAAAAAGGACCAAAAUGGAAAUUAAACCAUGGUCAAAGUUUCCAAGCGGUGGUGUCAUGAUUUAAAUCCACUAAAUUUUGGAUUAUUUGCUCUUUUAGUCCUAAUUAGUUUAGGAUUAAAUUAUAAAUAAGUUUAUUUAGUUAGAAUUUAAUUUUUUUGAAGGAUCAAUUGUGCAAUUAAACCUUCCUUAGAUGGUAAUUAUGCCAUUUAUUUAUGUUAUGGACUAUUAUGGACGUGUGUUAGUGAUAUUAUAAGUGUAUUUACCAAGGUUAAAAUGGUAAUUUGAUAAAUUAAUUAAAAUAAAAUAAAAACCAAAAUGUUUUAUCAUCAUUUUAACGUGUCUUCUUCCCCGAAUUUGGAAGGAGAAAAACUCCAUGGAAGAUUUGAAGCUUUGGCUUUCUUGUUGAUGAUGCAUGUAAGUCCGUUUUAUCCCCGUUUUUAAUAAUUUUGUAUUUUUGAGAUCGUUGCAACUAGGUUCUGUUAACCCGUAUUUUCAAUUUGAAACUAUUAAAGAUUGUGAAUGUUGUCAUUGAUGAAUAUAUAUGAUUUUAGUUAUUAAAUGAUGAAUUUGAGAUGUUGGUUGAUAUUUAAAAGUAUUUUUUAAGUAAUUUUGAUGAAUUUUUCGAUUAGGGACUAAAUUGUUAAAAUAGUAAAAUUAAAAGGAUUUGAUAUGAAAAUGUUGCAAUAAUGUGCUAUAUUGGAUGCCAUGAAUAUUCAGCUAGGCUCAAUUUUGGGUAAAAAUGGUUAUUUUGCAUGUUUUGGGCUCAGGGACUAAAUUGAAUAAAAGUACAACUUUAGGGGUGAUUUUAUAAAAAUUUCAAAAAUGGCUAAAUUGUAUAAAUUAUAUUGUUUUACUAUCUAAAUUAAUAGAUUGAAUAAAAUUAUUAAUUUAGAUCAAGAUCGAGUGGAAAGUCAAGGAGAAUGAAAAAUUACCAAAAUGCCCCUAAACUUUGUCAUUUCUAUGAUUUGGCCAGAUAAGUUCGUACAGUUAAAAAUUUAAUAUUUAUUUAAAUUGAGAAUGGUAUAACAUGAUGUAUAUAUUUAUAUAUAUUCUAUUGUUGGAAAUGAAUUAUUAUUUGAGUUAUAAUAUUGAAAUUUGAUGUUUGUUUUGAAUUGAACGAGGGAUAAAGUACAUUUGUGUUUUUGUGUAUUAUAAGGGUUUGGAGUGGUGAUGGUAUUGGAGGGAGAUAUCGACAUAUUACCCAAGUAAACCGAAGUUCAACAUUUGUUGCAAACUCUCAUUUUAUACUUUCUGUUUGGCGCGAUUCGAGUGGAUCAACUCUUUUGAGCUUCUGUUCAACUCUUUCGAGCUUCUAUUGGUGUGUUCGGGUGGACCAGCUCUAUGAGCUUCUAUUGACAAUAUACUCUUAUCCGUAAUUCGUUCUUCGAAUAAAAAAUCUCAGUAAGGUAAUCUGUUUAAUGAAGUUGAAAGAUCUAUUAUUUAUUGAAUAUUGUUCUGAACAUAAAUAAAUUCAACAAUUGAGAUUGUGGAUGAUGCUUAGGUUUAUGUUAAGCUUAUAGUUACAUUAUACCAUGUUUAAUAUUAAUGAUAUACUGUGAAAUGGUAAAUGACAAAAAUGGGAAUAUGUUUAUGUUCAUGAAAAGCUGGUAUGAUUCAAAAGGUGUAUUUUCUUAUAAAAUGGUUUAUCAUGUGAUUAAUUCCGAAUGAGUUGUAUACAUAAAUGUACUAACUUGUGUAUUAAUGAUGGUGAUUAGGCUUAUGUCAAGCUUGAGAUCAUGAUUGAUGUUUAUGCUUAUGUCUGGUAUUGUACAAAUGAAACGGGUAACAAAAGGUAAUGAAACGGUAAGUUCAUUAUUGAAAUGUGAUAUGAAAAGAAAGGGAUUGAUGAAUUGAAUGAUGUACUUAUAUAUGAGAAAUUACGUAUGUUGUAACAACCCGACUUUUGGGUCUAGUCGGAACAGUGGUUUCGGGACCACAAAUCCGACGAGAAAAAUUUUAUUUUUAUGGUCUACAAUUUCACGGAAUGAUUUCGUGAAAAUUUCGUUCGAAAAUUUCGACGUUUGAGCACUCAAUUUAUUUAAAAAGUCUAAAUUGAUAUGUGAUCCCGAAAAUUAUUACAGUAAGAGAGUAGGUAUUCUUGAUAUAGUAAAAUAAGGAAAUUUCGAGGACGAAAUUUAUUUUAAGGGGGAGAGAAACGUAAUACCUCGAAAAUUUUUACAGUAAGAUAAUAUAUUUGAUAUAGUAAGGAAAUAAAGUGACAAAAAGGAGAAUUUUGAGUUAUGACAACAUUGGGAAGUGUAUUAUGACAUAUUAAUUAAAGAAAGGAUUAAAUUGCAAAAGUGAGAAAAGUUUUGUUACCCAAGAAUAAAUACUUAAAAUUUGAGGGGUUAAAGUGUAAAUAUGAAAAAUUUGAAGGACCAAUAGUGUAAAUAUUUUAAGGGUGGAACAAUCUAGAAACUAAAGAAAAUGGAUGAAUUCGAACCAAAUUGAAUAGAUGAAGAAUUAUGAGUGACUAAAUCGUAAUUUUAUCAAAUUAAGUGAUGACUCAAGGAUGGAAUUUUAAAAGAUCUAAAGGGAAAAAUGGUUAAUUAGAAUAAAGAGAAAUCUAGAAAAUAAUGAUGAUGUUAGAGAUAUUUUAGAUUAAAUAAAUAAAUAAAUAUUAGUUUAUUAAUAUUUUAAUUUGAUUUUUAAAUGACAUUUUAUCAUUUUAUUAUUAUUUUAUUUAGUAUAUAUAUACAUAUGGAAGAAAAGAUGAAGAAUCAUCAUCUUCUCCCAUACAUUCCAACGUAUGAAGAGAAAAGAAAGAAAGAAAUUUUCUUUUCUUUACAAUUUGGUCCUCUCACUAAAAAUUUACCAUUUUUACUUAGAAAUCAAAGAAAUUUCCAUAGCCAGCAAGAGAGAAAAUUGAUAAGGAGACCAUCGGGAGCUAGAAUGUCAAGCUAGAUUCAAGAAAUAGAGGCUGGAGGAGAGAGAAAAUCAAGUUAAAGAUUGAAAUCAAUAGAGCAAGGUAAGAACACCAAGAUUUCAAUAUAUUUUUUAGUUUCAUAUUAUUGAAAAAGUAUGAAAUUGAUGUUAAUGUAGGGUUUUAUUAUAUAAGGUUCUAUAUUCUUGAUAUGUUAGUAAAGGGCAACAAGAGGAAUUGAUAGAAAAUAUUGUAGAGAAAGGAAAUGAGGGUGUUAUAAAUUUGAUUAUCAACAUCUUGCACUAAAAAAGUUUUAGACAACAGCGGUAGGUUAAUUUUGAAAAAUCACCAUAAAUCGUGGAAAUUUAAUUAGAGGAUAAAAAAAUAUGGAAUUAAAUCUUAUUGAGUCUAUUUUCUCAUAGAAGAAACGGUGUAAACAAUGGAAUUGUAAAUCAUGAGUUAUAAUAAAUUUUGUGAGAUAAGGUCAGAAUGGUAUCGAGUUCCUCUAUUCUGACUUUGGAAAAUUAUAAAAAAUUGGAUAAAAAUUAGUAUGCACUUAAAUUUAUAUUUUUAAAAUCUUGAAUGAGUUUAUUUUCAAUAGAAACAAACGGGAACAUCAUCCGAAUUCUGUACAAAGAGAUAAUUAAUUUUUAGUGAAGAGGGGUUGGAACUGUCAAACAGUGAAAUAGGGGAAACUUUAAAGAAUAAAUUGUACUUAUUGGAUAAACCAAAAAUUAUGAAAAUUUUAUGGUAAUAAUAUAUGUGAGUCUAGUUUUAGAUAAAAUUUUUGGAUCUCAAUUCAGAGUUCUGUAGCUUCAGAUAUAAUUAAUUUAGUGACUAUGACUCAAGUGAACAGCUUGUUAUGAGUAAACAAGUAAAUAGUGGUAUUAUGUAUAUAUCAAGGAUGUGGAAUGGAGUGGAGGAGGAGGAAAAAUAUAUGUGAAUAUUCAGCUAAUAUGAGUUUAUUUUAAAAUAGCUAAUUUACAUGUUUUAGGUUCAGGGACUAAAUUGAAUAAAAGUAAAAUUUUAAGGGUAAUUUUGUAAAAAUGUCAAAAAUGACCAAAUUGCAUGAAAUGAAUUGUUUUAUUAUUUAAAUUAAUAAAUUGAAUGAAAUAUUAAUUUAGAUCAAGAUUGGGUGGAAUUUAGAGGAAAAUGGAAAAUUUCUAAAAAGUCCUUGAAUUUUGGUAUUUCUGCAAUUUAGCCUGGUAAGUUCGUGUAACUUGAAUUAUAUUCUUAAAUGCUUGAAAUGUUUGUUAUUGAUGUGAAUAUGAUUUGAAUGUUAAUUGUAUGAAAAUUGAUGAAACAUUGAUAUAUUUGAUAAAAAGGGGAAGAAAUCGCAGUUGAAUGGAAGGAAAAUUCGAUGGAUCUCUAAAAAAAAAUUGACGGUAAAAAGGAUCUAGCCCAGACGGGUGAUCCUAUUCUGAUAUAGCCCUUCCAAAGAAUAUGUGGAAAAUGGAUUUAGACCAGACGGGUAAUCUAAAUUAGGGUUUGAAUUUAGCCUGGACUGGUAAUAUAGAUCCAAGCUCAUUAGAGUAAUUGUCAUUGCAGGGGAUUUAGCCUGGAUUGGUAAUCCCGACAAUACUCUAUGAGUUUAUAUUACAGGGGAUUUAGCCUGGACUGGUAAUCUCGCUGUAAGGAUGAGGUUCGCGGGAGUGUGCUCUCUGAAAUGGAAAUGUGCGCACAUGAAUAUGAAAUGACGGACCCAGAUUUGUACACUAAAGUGUACCCCUGAAAAUCCAUCGAAAUUUCGAGAAAUUCAACGGGAUAAAUAUGAAAAAAAAAAAAGGAAAUGGAAAUCAUGGUAUUGAUGAGCUCAUCAAUCAUGGUAUAUAUAUUAUUGAUACAUGGAAAUUAUUGAACUAACUUGAAUGUUGAGUUUGUGCAUGUUAGGGGAAUAAUGCAUUGAAUGACAUUUAUAAGUUAAAUUGGCCAACGUUACCUCAUUAAUGUUUUGAUUUUGUUUGGUUUUAAAUAUGAAUGCUUGAUGAAAUGAAAUAUCUUUAAAUUAAUUUUUAAACUCUGGUAAUGCUCUAUAACCCUAUUCUGACAAUAGAUAUGGGUUAGGGGUGUUACAUAUGUUAUGGAUGAACUUACCUAUGAUGUGAAUAAAUAUACUAAUUAGUGAGUUGAUGUUGUUAUUUAAGUUUAUGCUUAGUAAAUGGAAUGGAAAGUAAGUAAAGGAAAUAAUUCACAGUUUUAUGAAAGGGUUAAUGAUGGUGUAUAAUGUUUAUAAAAUCCUAUUAAGUUAGGAAUGAAAAAUAUAUAUGAUGUUGAUAGACUUACUCAUUUAUGAGUUGAUGGUUAUGUAGUAAAUAAAUCUUGAGGUAUUGGUAUAUGUUUAUAUUUAAUCUAUAAAGUUCAUUGUUGAAAUGGAGCCGUUUUAUUUCAUUUGAUUACUCAUGCUUAUUUGAAAGCAUUGUUGUUUUUAGCAUCCGGAUAUAUUAUUCAUUCCAUGGAAGCUAUUGUUGGAUAUUCUCCAGAGAAAAGCCAGAAUAUGGUUUUUAUGGGCGGUUUAAGAAAGCAUGUGACCAUUACCCAAAUUGCUUUUUUAGUAGGUACACUUUCUCUUUGUGGUUUUCCACCCCUUGCUUGUUUUUGGUCCAAAGAUGAAAUUCUUAGUGACAGUUAGUUGUAUUCACCGAUUUUUUCAAUAAUAGCUUAGUCCACCGCUGGAUUAAUAACAUUUUAUAUGUUUCGGAUCUAUUUACUUACUUUUGAAGGACAUUUAAACGUUCAUUUUCAAAAAUAUAGUGGCAAAAAAAGUAGCUCUUUCUAUUCAAUAAAAUUAUGGGGUAAAGAAGAGCAAAAAAUAAUUAACAGCAAUUUUCUUUUAUUUCCUUUAUUAACAUUAACAAUGAAUAAGAACGAGUAGUCAUAUACAAUUGGUGGAAAAAAAGAAGCUCUUAUUACUAUUACGAAUUUUGGCUACAAGAAGGCUUUUUCUUAUCUUCAUGAAUCAGAUAAUACUAUACUAUUUCCUAUGCUUAUAUUGCUUCUAUUUACUUUAUUUUUUGAAGCUAUAACAAUUCCUUUUAAUCAAGAAGGAAUGCAUUUGGAUAUAUUAUCCAAAUUAUUAACUCCAUUUAUAAAUCUUUUACAUCAAAAUUCAAAUGAUUUUGAGGAUUCUUAUCAAUUUUUUAAAAAUGUAACUUUUUCAGUGAGUAUAGCUUGUUUUGGGAUAUUUACAGCAUUCUUUUUAUAUAAUGUUUAAAGUUUAUACGAGCUUACUAAGCAUUUACUACUUAUGUAGUUAUUUUCCCUUACUUUACAGAUUAUCGGAAGCUUGAUCGGGUUGGAAGCUUAUCGGAGAUCUAUCACACUAUCCAGCUAUAACAUCGAUAGAUUUUGACGUUUUGGGUCAUGGUUAUAAUGGCAUGUAUAGGUGGACUUAUGUUUAAGGUUUAGUUAAUGUUUAUGACUUGUAAUGUUGUUUUGAAGUGUAUAAUUAAUGGUAUUUUCAUACCUUGAUGAUUUGUAUACUUGUGGUACUUUGAUGCUAAAUGGUUUAUGUUUAUUUGGUCAAGUUGAUGCAAGGUUUUAUAACCAAACUUGGUAUAUGAUGAUAAGGCUUCAUUGUGAUCAUUUGAAGUAAGUUUUGGUAUGGAAAUAGGUUAGAUAUAAAUGCCAAAUGAAUGAUCAAUUAUGCAUAUGUUUUGGAUGAAUUUGAUGAAUUGUGUUUGAGGUGCCUAAAUAGCAUAUUGGUUAUAUGGAUUUAUGGCAUAUUGAAAGUGGUCUUAUUAUGCAUGUUUUGGCAUGUUUUGGUGUUUUGUUCAUAGAUACUUUUGGCUUGUAGAUUUAACGUUGAUUCGGGUGAAAGGAAUGGCUUAAAAUUGACAUAUUUCUUGUCCACACGGCUUAAGAUAUGAGCGAUUGUCUCAGCCAUGUGUGACAUACGGCUACGCGACACGGCCAUGUAUCCCUUGUAGGUUUUUAAGGUUGCAUUUCGAGUGUUACACCGCCUGGCACACGGGCGUGUGAUUUGGCCGUGUGGCACAAGUCAGUGAGUUACACAGGCAAGGACACGGGUUGGGACACGGCCGUGUGUCCCUAUUUCAAUUGUUACACGACCUGAGACACAAGCAUGUGUCUCAGCCGUGUGACCCCUGCAGUCUAAAUUUUUCUAACUUUUUCUUAAAUUUUCCAAAUAUUUUUGAUUUAGUCCCUGAUUGUUUCUAUUGUAUUUCUAUUGUCAUUUCUCAUUGCAUGCAAGUGAUCUCUUUAUUGUUUCUUAAUGAAUUUUAUGAUUUUGUGUUAGUUGAGUUGAAAUCUAUCUUAUUCGAGUGUUAAUUUGUAAAAUUAGUAAAGUUGAGAAAGUAUACUCAUAAUGUUUUUUUAAGCUUUCUACUUGAAAGAGUUUUCCUUGGGUGCUUGAUACGGUCCUUGAAAGCACCAAAAAUAUUCUAUCCCUAAUAAAUAAUGAAAAAGAAUAGUAAAAAGGAAGUAAGGUCGAAUCCCCAGGGACUGGAUUUGCACAAUAUCUUGUUCCGUGAAAUCCGAGGCAGAAUCUUUCCCAAGAAAACCUGCGUUCCUGGAAAAAAAUAAAAAAAUAACAGAAUUAAAGGUUUGGAUCUGGAAACGAAAAAUAAAAUAAAAACAGAAUCAAGAAUAUUAAACCUGCCUCCAGUUGUCUCGUUCCGCCUUGGGUUCAAUCUUCGGCUUUUAGAUGAUCUUUCCUAAACUGAAUAAGCCAGUUAUAGUGGAAGAGGACGCCUAUGACCACCAGCUCCAAUGAUUUAGACUUACGAUUUAGUAGAACCUGACUCUAGCCAACAAUCGCUUCUGUGGGAUCGUCUUAUGCUAGAUCAACGCUUCUCAAUGGCGAAUCCCACGCCAUGUUGUCUCUUAGGCUCGCCAACCUCUGACACAAUAAGCUAACGAACCGACUGUGCAACCUUCCCAAAACAUACAAAGCGGCCGCCUUUGCAUAUGUUGAAAAGCUUACUUCUUAAGGGGCAUGGAUGGAAGCGUCAGCCCCGUAGUGCGGAGAAACGAUGAAUACUUAGCGAUGAGGCUAAGUACGGACUCUAAGCCUCAAGAACCCUUUUUGGGGAAUAUCGACCACUUUCGGCUAGAUGGUGUAACAGCCCGUUUUUAGGAUUAACUGGAACAGUGGUUUCGGGGUCACCAAAUCCGACGAGUAGGUUUGUAAAUAUUAUAUUUAAUAUUUACGAGUUAAUUGUGAUUUUUAAAAAUAUUUUUGAUAUUGUGAUAUUUGUUUUAUAAGUGAUUUAUUAAGUUCAAGUGGUAUGACCCUAAGGUCAAGUGGGUUUAGGAAAUGAGGUAUCAGGACCUCAUUUCUAUAAAUCGAGUCGUAAAUAUUUUUAUAAAUAUUUACAAAGUGGCAAAAAGAUGGUAUUAAAGUUUCGUUGAAAAAUUUUAUCGUUUCGAUAGUUAAUUAAGCAAAAAGGACUAAAUCGCGUAAAAUGCAAAAAGUUACAUUCUAAUUGUUUAAGUGUUUAUUUUCCAUGUUUUACUAAAGUAGAAGUCCCUAUUUAUCAAUUAAACCAUUACUUUAUGAUAGUGGAGAUUGGUGGUUUGGCAUAUAUGAAAUUAUGUAUUAUUAUAAAGGACAAAAAGGUAAAUGGAAUAUUAAAAUGUAUUAAAUAAAAAUAAAUAAAGUAACAGCCCAAUUUGGACCUUAAUUGGAACGGUAGUUUCGGGACCACGAAUCCGAGUUAGAAUAAUAUUUAAAUAUCAUUUUCUAUGUUUAAAAUGUGUGAAGUUGCUUUUGUGAAAGUUUCGUUUAAAAAUUUUAGUGUUUGGAGGUCGAUUGAUGAAAAAAUGGUUUAAUCGCGUAAAAUGGAAAAUUUAAGGGUUAAUGUAUAAGGGCCAAAUUAUGAUUGUUUUUAUAUUAUGGAAUAUUAAGGUUGCAAUUUGGCCAUAAAUAGGAAUUGGUGGCCGACCAAUAUGCAUGGAUUAAUGACUUGAAUUGUUUGUUAUAUUUUAUGGCAUUAUGGUAUACUUUAAUAUAUGUUAAUAUAUUAUAUUUAAUAAAAGAUGAAAGUGUUCAUCUUUCUUUUAUUUUUACUCGGCCGAAACUAAGAGAAAGAAAGGAAAGUUUCAGCUUUGAUAUUUUCGGUCCUUGCAUGUUCAAUUAGGUAAGUGAUUUGAGUUUGGUUUUUGUUAAUUUUUACACUUUUGAGAUAGUUGCUUUGAAUACUAUAAAGUCCAUGCUUGAAAUUUUGAAAUUGAUGAUAUAGUCAUGAAGUGUCAUUGUUAAUAGUUUGAUAAAAUUUACAUUUGAUGUGAGAAAAUAAAAUAAAUGUGUUAGAUUAACAUUUUGGUAUUGGUAUUUUUGGUAAUUUUGAGCAUUUAGGGUUAAAUUGAAAAAAAGUACUAAAUUGAAGGACUAGAUUGUGAAAUUAGUGAAAUGGGAGGAUUUAUAUAAGCUUAGUGAACAUUCGGCCCUAGCAUUGUAUAUACAAAUUCUUCAUAUUUUGUGUUUUGAGAAAAUUGGAUUAAAUUGUAAAAGUGCAUAAUAUUAGGGGUAAAUUGGUAAAUUGCUCAAUUAUGUGUAUUUGUACCUAAAUGAAGGAAAUUCUAUUUGAAUGAGAUUAAUUUCGAAAUUUUUAGAUCAAGAACCAAAAAGAUCUGACGUGGAUCGGGGAAAAUAAAAAAAAAAUCGUUGAGUAGUCGAAUUCGACUGUCCGUCGAAAUCCGAGGUAAGUCGUUAAGCAAAUAUUUAUUGUUGGUUUAAAUAAAUAUAAUUUAUAUAUUUGUGUGAGCCGCGUUGAAAUAUAUAAAAUCUUGGUGUUGUCGAAUGCAAAUAGAAAUAAUAAAUAUGAAAAUUUCACUAAGCAUGCGAGUUUGAUUAUCGAGCACUAAGUGUGCGAAGGAAAAUAUUAAGCACUAAGUGUGCGAUUUCAUGGCCUUUCUAGUUAAACAAUAGCACUAAGUGUGCGAAUACAACGGGUGAAGGAAAAUGAUCAGACGAUCUAAUUAUCAAAUGCAAGAGUAGUAGUGUAAUAUUUAUGUUCGUAAUAAUGAAGGUACGUAAUCAAACCUUUGUGGUUGAUAUUAUUGAACUUGAAAUUAUAUGGUGGGUAGUUAUAAAUAUAAUAUGUAUGAUAGAUUUGGAAAAAUGAGAGAUGGAUGAGUUGAAAAGUAUAAAAUAAAAUAAAUAAUGAUAAUAAUAAAAAAAUGAUAUGAUAUAUAUAAUAAUGUUUGAUUAUUUAUUUUAUAUAUGAGUGAACAUUCGACUAGGUAUUAAAUGGUAAGAUGGGAAGUGUUAAGUAAUUAUUAUUAUUAUUAUUUUUAGAGUUUAUGUAUAUUCGAACAUGUUAGGUAUUAAACUUGACUGAUUGAUAUAUAUUGGUAGUCAAGUUUGGUUGAAUAUGUGAUUUUAGUAGCAGGACUUGGUUACUCAAAUUGAGUUUUUAAUGUCUUUUAAAUUGUUUAAAUUGCUUAUAACUAAGCUAAAAUAGCUUACUUUGAGAAUGUGAAAGUGUAUAUAUGUGAUAAGGCCUAAUGGCCGAUGUGAUGAAUGUGAAAGUGUAUAUAUAUGUGAUAGGGCCUAAUGGCCGAUGUGAUGAAUGUGAAAGUGUGUAUAUAUGUGAUAGGGCCUAAUGGCCGAUGUGAUGAAUGUGAUAAGUCCCGAAGGGCAUUUGUGUCAGUACUAUAUCCGGGUUAAAACCCCGCAGGCUUUAUGCGAGAAUAUUAUCACUGAUUAAUGUCCGUAAACUUCGUGCUCGUACUAUAUUCGAGCUCUAAAGACCCGAUGACUACGUGUGGGGAUUUUGUCCGGGUAAGACCCGAUAACUUCGUGUGGAGAUUAUGUCCGGGUAAGACUUCGUAAUAAGAAUUGCUUAUAAAUAUAUUCAAUGCGAAAGGUUAAACAGGUAUGUACUCCAAGUUUAUAUGUGAGCUUGAUUUGCACUAAAUCAUAAGGUAGUUAUGUGACGCAUACGAGAGCAAUCUAUGAGACUAUUCCUAUGAUUAUGUGACAUCGGAUCAGAGUGAGAGGUUAUGUGAAAUCAUACGAUAUAUCUAUGUCACAUGAGCUCACUUUUAUGUGAAAGUUUAUCUGCCUAUUGUAUAUGAUGAGAUGUGCAUAUUCGGUAAAGGGGUGGUAUGCCCGAAGGAAGAGUGAAAUAAAAAUACGAACAACUAUGUUAUAAUUUGAUUGUUAUCUGUUGACACUGCUUAAAACUUACUAAGCAUUGUAAUGCUUACUCCGUUUACUCUGUUUCCUCUGUUUUAUAGAUCUCAUUGCGAAGCUACAGGCUCGGGGAUCGUCAGCAACUAGUCACACUAUCACUAUCCACUGUUUGGUACUGCUAUGUUUUGGAUUAUCUUAUGGCAUGUAUAAAAUAGACUAGUGGCGGAAGAAUAUUUUGGUUAAUGUAUAUAGCCAUGCGAAAAUGGCUUAUAUAUGUUUGAGCAUAAUGUUAUAAUCAUUUGGUAUGGAAUGGUUAAUCACUAUCAUAAUUUGUGCUAUUCAUGCUAAAAGGGCUAGUUGAAUCAUGGAAACUAUGAAAUAGGUAAAGUCUACCUUAAAGGCAGAUGCUGGCAGCAGCAGUGAUGUAGAUUUGGAAAAUCACUAAAAAUAGUAGGAUUGGAAUUAAAUAAUGAAUAAAUUAUGUAAACGAACCUUGAUGAAUCUGUUUUCAUAGGAAAGUAACGAAACGAUCAUAUGGACAGUAUGUUAAGAGAUAUUCAGGUUCUAGUGAGACAGGGCCAGAACGGUUUCUGGAUUCCUUGUUCCGACUUUGGAAAUUCAUUAUAAAUUAACAAGAGAUAAUUAGGAGUCAUUCCAUAUAUGUAUAGAUUCCUCUCUGAGUCUAGUUUCUAUAGAAACAAACGGAAUCAGUAUUGAAGCUCUGUGCAGGGAGAUAUCCAAGUCGUAAUGCGAAAAGGUCAGUGUAGUCGAUCCCUGUAACAUGGGAGACUUUGACUAAUAAACUGUACUAAUUGGCCCAACCAAAAAUUCUAGAAAAAAAUAUGUAGAUGGGAAUAUGAGUCUAGUUUCAGGGAAAAAUUACGAAACUGAUUUUCGAGUUGUGAAACUCAAGAUAUGAUUUUUAAAGUGACAGUGUCGCAGUUAGCCAACUGCCUGGAAAAUUUUAAAAUGGACUGCGAUAGUAAGCGAAUUUAGUCUAUGAACCCCUCGUGUCCGACUCCGGCAACGGUCUCGGGUACGGGGUGUUACAUAUGGGUUUAGUGGUUCAUGGUUAUGGUAGAAAAGAAAAUAAAUAUAAUAAAAAUGGAGAUUUUAUUGAAAGGAAAUAUGAGAAGAACAAAAGCCUAGACUUUUGGGGAGAAUGUUUACAGAAAAAAAAGAUGGAUCUUUUUUGAGUUACUUCACCCCCUAUUUAUAGUGUUAGGGGAGAUAGUCUAAUCCUACUUAAACUCCCAAAAGAUAAAUACAUUUAAUUGAAAAUAAAUAAAGAUAAAUAAAAUAAAAUCCUAAAAUUAGAUAAUCCUUAAUAAUUAUUUUAAUAUUAAUCAUCCUAAUAUAAUUAAAAUAGAGUUUGAUAGAAUAAAAUCUCUUCUUUUUGCAUUUCAACCCUUGUGUCAUCCAUGCUUGCACUUUUGGCAUUAACUUUUUUUUGUGUCGCACAUUGGCCCAUUUUAUCUCUAAAUUCACACUUUUGGCCCUUAAUUUUGCUUUUGCCUCAAGUUUAGUCCCUAUGAGAUAAAAGAUCAUAAAUAGCUCAAAUUAGUAGGAUCAUACUCAGAAUAAAUACAUAAUUAAUACAUAAAAAUACGUUAUUAUAGAGUGUUAUCAGUGCUUGAUGUUGAUUUUGUGUUAUUUUAUAAAGUAAAAUUUUAGAAAUUUAGAAAUUUGGGAUUUAAUUGAGUAGUUUGUAAUAUGAGAAGGAUUUGUUAUAAAUUUAAGGACAUGUAGGUUGUAUAAUAAGGGUAAGUAUUUGGCAAUGUUGAGUUAUGUAUUAAUUGUGGAAUUGACUUGUUUAAUUCUAUGGAUUAAAUUGUAUGGAGUGUAAAUAUUUAGGGGCAAAUGAGAAAAAUUGAAAAUAAGGAAUUAUGUGUAUUGAAUUGAAUUAAUAUAUGAGAUUAAAUUAAUUUUUGAUGUUGGGGAUUGAGUUGAGUAUUGACCAAUUAAUAGGAAUUAAAUGUGGAGAUAUGACUUUAUGAUAGAUUGUCUAAAUUGAAUUAUUGUAGUUUUGAAUUAGUAAAUUGAAUUAGAUUAUCAUUUUUAGGUCAAGAAAUGAGCAAAGUCGUCGCUAACUGGGAGAAGGAGAAAGUUGUUGAUUAAUCCAUCUCGUUCACUAGAAACUAUUGUAAAUUCGGCAAGUUCGUAGUCCUUAAACUCGAACUUUAUUUAGUUAAUUAGUUUGAUUAUUAGUUAAAUUGAUAGACAAUUAUGUGCAUUCAAAAUGAUUAAUAUUAUAAAUGAAAUGCUAUGGAAAUAUAUAAAUGAAAAUGGUUAUGAAGUGGAUUAUAGAGUUCUAAUAUAGAAGCGUUGUAACACCCCGUACCCGAGACCGUUGCCGGAGUCGGACACGAGGGGUUCACAGACUAAAUUCGCUUACUAUCGCAGUCCAUUUUAAAUUUUUCCAGACAGCUGGCUAACUGUGUUGCUGUCACCUUAAAAAUCAUAUAUUGAGUUUCACAACUCGAAAAUCAGUUUCGUGAUUUUUCCCUGAAACUAGACUCCUAUGUCCAUCUACAUAUUUUUUUCUAUAAUUUUUGGUCAGGCCAAUUAGUACAGUUUAUUAGUUAAAGUCUCCCCUGUUACAGGGUGCGACUACACUGACCUUCAUGCAUUACAAUUCGGAUAUCUCCCUGUACAGGGCUUCAAUACUAAUUCCGUUUGUUUCUAUAGAAACUAGACUCAGAGAGGAAUCUAUAAAUAUAUGGCAUGACUCCUAAUUAUCUCUGGUUAAUUUAUAAUGAAUUUCCAAAGUCGGAACAGGGAAUCCAGAAACCGUUCUGGCCCUGUCUCACGAAAACCUAAUUAUCUCUUAACAUACCACUCAUAUGACCGUUUCGUUUCUUCCAUAUGAAAGUGGAUUCAUCAAGGUUCAUUUAAAUAAUUUAUUCACUAUUUAAUUCUAUUCCUACUAUUUUUAGUGAUUUUCCAAAUCUACAUCACUGCUGCUGUCAGCAUCUGCCUUUAAGGUAGACUUUACCCAUUUUCAUAGUUUCCAUGAUUCAACUAGCCCUUUUAGCAUAAAUAGCACAAAUUAUGAUAGUGAUUAACCAUUCCCAUGGUCAAUCCUUGUUAAGCAUAUCCACACCUCUCAAUAACCAUAUCCAUACCAAAUGAUUAUAACAUUAUGCUCAAACAUAUAUAAGCCAUUUUCGCAUGGCUAUCCAAAAUUAUACAAAUCCAAAGGGUCCAUGACCCACUACAAAAGGGUAGUCCUAUACAUGCCAUUUUCAGAGUUCAACCAAAAGUGUACCAAAAGGGCUUUGAUAGUGUGGGCGCCUUCGACUUCAAUAAUCCCGAGUCCGAUAGCUGACGAACCAAAAUCUAUAAAACAGAGAUUCAAAGAACGGAGUAAGCAUUUAAUGCUUAGUAAGUUUUAAGCAAGACAAAGUGUUCUCAAUCACUAUUAUUGGUCAUUCAUUUCAACUGUUCGAUGAAGUUAAUCUAGAGCUUCAUCUCGAUCUAUAAUAUCAUUAAACGCAACACUUGGCUGCCACAUAUAUACUUUCGAAUAAUAAUGACCUAGAUGGUCAAAUAUUUCCAAAGCACAUUCUCACAUUUGGAGUUAUAAUAUUAAUCACAUUUACCUACCUCUUUGAUACUGAUAAUUCACCUCGAAAUCACUCCACCGAUGAGUAAGUAAUACGUACCUGAACAUCUUGAAUACAUAAUACUUAUUUGAUGGUAACUUAAUGCAGAUACUCAAUAUCAAAGUCUUACUUGAAUCCUAGCAUUUAGCCGUCGGGUCUUUAAAGCUCGGAUAUAGUACGAGCACGAAGCCUACGGACAUUAAUCAAGAUAAUACUCUCGCAUAAAGCCUGCGGGGUUUUAACCCGGAUAUAGUACUGACACAAUUGCCCUUCGGGACUUAUCACAUUUAUACACUUUCACAUCCAUCACGUUGGCCACUCGGCCCUGUCACAUAUAUACACUUUCACAUUCAUCACAUCGGCCAUUAGGCCUCAUCACAUAUAACACUUUCACAUUCAUCACAUCGGCUAUUAGGCCUUAUCACAUAUAUACACUUUCACAUUCAUCACAUCGGCCAUUAGGCCUUAUCACAUAUAUAUACACUUUUACAUUCAUCACAUUGGCCAUUAGGCCUUAUCACAUAUAUACACUUUCACAUUCAUCACAUCGGCCAUUAGGCCUUAUCACAUAUAUACACUUUCACAUUCAUCACAUCGGCCAUUAGGCCUUAUCACAUAUAUAUACACUUUCACAUUCAUCACAUUGGCCAUUCGGCCUUAUCACAUAUAUACACUUUCACAUUCAUCACAUCGGCCAUUAGGCCUUAUCACAUAUAUAUACAUUCACAUCACAAUUAUCCAAAUAUACUUCACAUAUCACAUAUACUAUCAUAUAUACACUUUGUCUUGGCCGAAUCUACAUUAAUCAUUUCCCAAUGAAUAAUUCAAUUUCACGCCAUACUAUCAUUUCAUAUUCGAAUACUCAUAAACUUACAAUUUCACAAAUUUUAAUAUCAAAGAUCCAUCUAACACUCAUGUAUCGUUUUAAAAUAUCACGAUUUAGAAUUCACGUAUGGGUUUAAUCAAUAGCUUAUGAGUAACUAAAACAAGUUUUAUCCAUGUUUACAACAAAAUCACAUAUUCACUACGAGCUGUUUUCCUGAGCAGUAGUCACUAAAUUAUUUAUAACUGGAGCUACAAAACUCCAAAUCACUUGACGUUAAUUUUCCCUGAAUAUAGACUCGUAUAUCUUUAAUCCAUAAAAUUUUCAGAAUUUUAGGUUUGGCCAAUCAAUACCAGAUUUUUUUUAAAGUUUCCCCUGUUUCACUGUUUGACUAAUCUGACCACUCUUCACUACGAAUCAAAUUUCUCAUUUUACAGAAUUCAAAAUGUGUUGUAUUUGAUUUCAUUUGAAACUAGACUCAUUAAGGAGUCUAAGAAUAUAAAUUUUAUCUUAUAACCAUUUUUGUACAAUUUAUAAUGAUUUUCUAAAAACAGAACAGGGGAUUUCGGAGUCAUUCUGACACCGUCUCACACAACUUUAAAUAUCUCUUUAUAGGAAAUUUGUUUGCUCACAAGGUCUCUUUUAUAAGAAACUAGACUAAUUAAGACUUGAUUACAUAUUUUAUUCGGCCUAUACUUCCACACCAACAAUUUAUAGUGAUUUUCUAAAAUCACGUUACUGCUGCUGUCCAAAGCAAAUUAUUACAAUUUGCUCUUAACUUUCCAAGUCCAAACACAUAUGAACUUACCAUUUGAGUUUAAGACAUAUCAUGGCCACAUCAUAUCUUAUUAAAUCAACUCAUUAUGUCCUAUUAUGAUUGAAUUUACUCAAAUUUUAAUCACUUAAAACUUACCUCGGAUGUGGUCGAACGAUUUCGGCGGCUAUUCGAUCACUUUUUCCUUCCCUUUAUCGGAUUUAGAUCCCCUUUGGUCUUGAGCUCCCCUUAAGCUCAAGGUGACCGAAACCUCUCUUCUUCCUCCUUUCAAACCGGCCAAGAAGAACCAAAGGAUGAAGCCUUUCUCUUUUUUUUUUUUCUAGUUCGGCAAAAUGGGGGAACAACCACACACUUUUUUUUUUGUUUUCAUCAUAUUCCCUUUCAUUAUUUUAUUCCCAUGCUCCUUAUUUUAUCAUACUUCCCAUGAAACACUAACUUAACAUGUUUAUGACAUGUUCUUGCCCAUCACACUUGGUCUACCAUACUUGUCAUGGCCGGCCACUACUAAUUAGGGGGGAAAUUGACAUGCAAGUCCCCCCUUUUUAUUUCAUGCACUAAUAGAUCCUUAUGCUUUGACCUAUCACAUUUCAAAAUUUUCUCACAUAAGUCCUAUUUGAUAAAAUUCACUUACUAUUAACAAAAUUCAAACAUGAAAUUUUCACACAUGCAUAUGUACAUAUAAUGAGCAUCAACUAUGACGGUUAAUUAUCUUUAUGACUCGGUUUAGUGGUCCCGAAACUACUUUCCGACUAUGGUCACUUUAGGGGUGUCACAAGCGUAAUGUAAAGAAUUUAAAUUAUGAAUUGAAUAAUUGUGGAAUAAUGUAAUUUUGUAUGUAUUGUCGAUUAUCUGACUAGCGUUGAGUGUAACUCAUUGUUGGUACAUCCAACUAGUGCUGGGCACACAUUUAAUAUCGUCGGUUUAUCCGACUAGCGCUGGGUGCAAUUCUUUGUCGAUUUAUUCGAUUAGUGCAGUGCACAACUAUUGUCGGUUAUCUGACUAGCGCCAGAUGCAAUUAUUUGUCGAUUUAUUCAACUAGUGUUGGGCGUAAAACAUUGUCAGUUUAUCCGACUAAUACAGGGUACACCUAUUGUCAGUUUAUCCAACUAGCUUGCAAAGAGCAAAACUCUAUUAUGGUUAAUACGUCAGGCACCGAGUGCCAAUAACAGGUUGAUUAAUAUUGAAAAUGUUUUUCCGAUCCAUUGAUUAUGGUUGGUAAAGGAAAUAUGGAUUAAAUUGCUUAUGCAAUGUCCAUGCGGACUAAUGGUGCACAUAUGGUAACAACCAUUAUAUAUAUACUAGAUAUUUGAAUUGAUGGAGUAUUAAACUCAUAUGUAGUUUAAUGAAAUUAUUCAACAGUUGAUCAUUCCUUUGUGUACAGGUUAAGUACUUAUUUUGAUUCCCGACUCAGCAUCCAACAUCAAUCACAAACUUAAAGUUGGUGAUGUAUUCCUUUUUGUAUGUCUUGGCAUGUACUUAGGAUAAUGAUAUUUUGAGUAAUAGUUUUUUGGUCUAUGGUUAAACCCAAUAUUGGUUAUUUGUUUUGAAUGUCCUAAAAGUUUUUCAGUUUUGUUUUGUCUUGAAACAAAUGCUUGUAAAUGGUUAUGAAUGAAAUAAGGAUGUUUGAUAAACUUGACUCUUUUAGGUGGGUAUAAUUGUUGAUGUGGAAUGAUAAAUGUUUUGGUAAAAUGGCAACUUGGUGAGAUUGGUUAUAUUUUGCUAUUUGGUUGAUGUUUGAUUGAGUAUGAAAGAGUGGUUAAUUUCAUAUGCUCUUUAACUUGGUUAUGAAAUGAUUAAUCUUUGUUUGUGAUACCUUUGAAUGACAUAUUGGUUAGGUAAUAGAUGGAUGAAAUGUUGGCUUGUGUUUGAUGAUUUAAAUGUGGUGUCAAUGAGGGCACAUUGGUUGGUUUGGAAGUGUCUUUGGUGGUGUUUACAUGGAUGUUUUAUGAUUGGUUUGUUACCUAAGAUAGGUGUGAAUUAUGCCUUGUUUUGGAAGUAAAUUUUGGUAUACACAGCCCGGGACACGGGCUAUCACACGGCCGUAUGACACACACGAUCUACCCAUACGGCCAUGUGUCUCAAUGUUUUUAGGUGUAGGGUACACAUGGUAUGACACGCAGCCUGUGACAUGGUCGUGUGUUCCAAAACAGUUUCAAACACGGUCUGGCACACUGCCCGUGACACGGUCGUGUGACCCAACAUCGAAUGCACACACGGGCAAGCACACGUCUUGCGACAUGACCGUGUGACCUUAUUUUGAAUAUACACAGAGCAGACACACGGGCUGGGACACGGUUGUGUGAUUGGACUUCGAAUGUCCACACGACCUGGACUGUGACACACGGCACGACCGUGUAUCCUUUUUUUUUCAAAAUUUUCAACUUUUUCCCAACUUUUCCAUUUUGUUUCAAAUUGACCCUUAGAAUGUUUCCAAUCUAAUUUGAGGGCAUCGUAGACUCGUUUUAAGGCCUGUAAGUGUAUGUUAGAUUAUGAGUGGAUUGUGAUUGAUUAAUUGUAAUUAUGAUUGAAUAUUUAUUUCUAUGAAAUGUUAAAUGUUUAAAAUGUUAUACCCUAUGACCCUAAUCUGACGAUAGAAACGGGUUAAGGGUGUUACAAUCCUCCUAUUUAUAAGUUGGGGAGAGACUAUUGAUAGUUAUAGAUAUUAUGUUAAAAAAUCAGAUCUUCUGAUGAUUAAAUGCUUUUAAUAUUUAUUUUUUUAAUAAAUCACAGAUGUUCAUUUACAAACCUUGUCAUAAGUUUCCGCUCAUCACUAAGCGUUAAUCAUAAAAUCAAUCAUGCAAAUUGGUAUAUUGUAAUGGUCAUUGAGGAUAUUAUUCAUCUAAUUUUUUUAAAAAAUAAAUUAUAUAAAUAAUUAAUAACAUUUAGAUUGUUUAACCUAAAAUUAGAAUAAUCUUAAUGCAUGUGAAAUCACAAAUUUAAAAUAUAAAUAUUUAUUUUUAAAUAUAAUAAAUAAUAAAAUGUAUUGCUUAAAACUAAUCAAUAAUAACACAUGAAAUAUAUAUAUUACUAAAAUAAUAAAAAAAUAGAUUAAAUUCUUUAUUAUGGUGUUGUCAUUAAUCUUAAAUCGAUGUCAAGUUAUCUUAUGAUACUAACUCAAUCAAAUAAAUUAUUAAUAUAUAUAAUUGAUGAAGGUGAAAAAGUGUGCACAAUAAAAUUAAAAUGAAUAAAAGCUUUAGUUGAGUUGUAACAAAGGCAAUUAGUGGGGGUUUAAAUCCCGCUAUAUGCAUAUUUUUAUUGAUUUUUUAAGUGAAAAGGCUAAAAUAUCCUUGAAUAUAUUUCUUAUUUUAAUUAUGAAAUGACAUUCCUGUAACUUUCUAAUCGAGUUGGUAAUUCGGUUGAAGGUGACACUAAUUCAAUCAACGUUUUUAUUAAUAAUGUAAAUAUAGAAUUAGUGAAGAUAAUAAAUUAUGCAUAUUAAAAAAUAUAUAUAAAAAAUUAAAAUAAUGCUUUAGUUGAGAGAUAAAUUUAAGAUUUUAUUAAUCUAAUAAACACGGCUUAAAUCUCACCAUAUGCAUAUUUUUCUUAAUUUUUAUUUAAAAUAAUAUGACUAAUUUUAAUUACGAAAAAAUAUUUCCAUAAUUUCUCAAUCGAAUUUUUUUAAUUUUUGCUAAAAUAAAAAAAAUUAAAAAAACCUCAAAUAAUAUGGCUCGUUAUAAUUACGAAAUAAUAUUUCAUAAUUUUUAACUGAAUUAAUACCCGAUUAACUUUGAUACCAACCCUAAUAUCUUUUUAACUACUUAAAAAUAUUUACCAGCUACAGUAUCUACAUCUAAAAGAAGUAAACCAGAAAAUACAAAAUGAUAUUACAUUUCUAUUUUUUAUAUAAUAUAAAAUUGGGAAACUAUUUUCCCCCUAAAAUCCCACGCAAGCAACACACGUGUUUCUUUUAAAAAAUUAUGAUUUCAAUUAUCAAGUAGGAAAUAAUAUAAAUACAAAAAUAACCUACCACGAAAUCCAACCGAAUUUAACUGUUGAUCCACGUCAAUUCGAAACCCAACCAAAUUUGCUCCUUUCCUUUCAUUGUAAAAUUUGCAUUUUAAAUAUAUAUUUUUUUAUCAUAACGCUCUGAAAUUCUUUGAUUAGUGUGCGAAGAGAAUGCUACUUACUGUACUAGAAGCUUUACUUUCUCAAUAAACCCUGAUUUUGUUUUUUCUAUCAUUUUCCCGAGAAUUUUUCAAGCAUCAACAAGAAAGAAAUACCCAGAAAAUCUACUUAUUCAGAAGGUUAGUUGCCCUUUUAUUUCGUUUUAUUUUAUUUUUUAUUUUUCAUAUUUUAGGUUUUGGACUAUACUCAGAUCAAUUUAUAUUUAAAAUUGCUUUUCAUUUACUUUGAAUUGUUAUAAUGUUUUAUUUACGAAUUUGGGUAUUUGGAUCAUUGGGUCAAGGUGCCUCUUUUAUUGCUUUCUGUGAUAGAUUGCUAGGGGUUUUGAUGAAUGAGAAAAGAGACAUCCUUGACCGUCAAAUUCAUGUUUUCUGGCGGAAUUUAUUGAGAACUUGGUGUCUGCUUGUUGGUUAGGAAGUGUAGGAAAAGGAAAGAGAAUGUCAGGUGUUUUCCAGCUUGGUGUUUCUGGAGCACUACUUCUUUGAACUGUUUUUAGCUGCCCUAUGUAGAUUUUAGGGUUCUUAUGAAUCUUAUGAUCUUUCUAUUUGAAUUCUACUGUGAGAUUGAUCAAUUUAGAAUUUUGCCUGUUGGGUUUUAUUAAUUUAUGCUGGAUUUUUCAUUAUUUUUUAAGGUUAGAGAAACAUUUGACAACUUGAUGAAAUCUUGCAUUACUUUGAUAACAAGAGUCUUAGUUUCCUUAUCUUACUACUGUAUUUUUUUUUUUGUUUCUAAAUGUUUAAUAGAAAAGUAAUUGAUUUUUCAUUCAAUUUAGGGUUACAAAUUUCCGAAUGAUUUUAUGGAGUUCAUUUCUGUAAAUAAAUACUUUUAUGUGUAGGUAUGUUCAAGAACCAAUUGCAAGAGUUGGCUCAAAGAAGUUGCUUUAAUCUACCAUCUUAUUCGUGCAUCCGGGAAGGCCCUGAUCAUGCUCCUCGGUUUAAAGCUACUGUAAACUUUAAUGGAGAGACCUUUGAAAGCCCUAUGUUUUGCUCUACUUUGAGACAAGCGGAACACGCUGCCGCAGAAAUAGCUCUAAAUACACUUGCCAACAGAGGCCCUUCCAGAGCAUUGGCUGCAAGAGUUUUGGUAAGCAUUCAACCAAACUUUUAUCUACAUUCCGGUUCUAGUUACUUGAACACGGUUUUCCGACAGAAAUUUUCAAUAUCUAAUCAUUUUAUUGUCACACUCUUUCCUAGUCAUUGAACUCCACUAUGAUCAUUGUCAAAGACAAAAAGACAACUGUUAGUUCCUCGCACUGGAUGAUGUUUUCUAUCCAUACCAGUGUUCUUCUUGAAUCGAACUCUUCAAAUUGAUUCAUCUUUGACUGAGAUUGAUUGACCUUAUCUACCAAACAUACUCUCCUAAAGCUUUCUCAGGUUGAUUGUGAAUUAUGACUCAAGAACACUUUGUGUGCGUUGGCAUUUUUAUCUCUAUUAGUAACUUAUCAUGUUUUUAACAUCGGAAAAUGACAUCAUAUAGGGUUUUAAUUAGAAGUCGAGGUAAUCAUCUGUUGUAUCCUUGAACAUAAUGUCUUGGUAGUAUCUGUUGUUUUUAACCUCUUUUAGAUCAAAUAUCGGCAUGCUUGCACAGUAUAAUCAUCACAUUUAAAUUUUCCUUUUAAUACGAUGUUUUACGGGUUUGAUAUUUCUUUUCUGGCGACUCACUUAAAACUGUUGAGUGACCUGUGUGAAGAUUAUAGUUCUAUAUAAGCAAUGGAGAUGCUAGAAAAACUCUGGAUGUCAAGUGUUUUCCUUUUCUCUUUGAGCUCAACUCUGCAGCCAACUUAAUUUGUGUCUUUGUAUUGCUGUUUGCUACUUCAGCUUGCUCUAGUGAGUAAAAUUAAAUUAAAUAAAAAGUAUUUUGAUUUUGUGUCUAUUGUGCAGGAUGAAACCGGUGUUUAUAAGAACUUGCUUCAAGAGACUGCUCAUAGAGCAGGCUUAAAUCUUCCUGUCUACACCACUGUUCGAUCUGGACCAGGCCAUAUUCCUAGUUUUUCAUGCAUGGUUGACCUUGCUGGGAUGAGCUUUACAGGGGAUCCCGCUCGGACUAAGAAACAAGCUCAGAAGAAUGCAGCAAUGGCUGCAUGGUCAGCCCUGAGAAAGUGUAUGAUUCCUGUCAGGUUCCACUUCAUUUAGAAUUAAACAAGUGCAUUGUUUAUUCCUCUCUAAGGUUGGGUCUUUUUUGGGUUUAGUAUUGUUGUUCCAACUCUUCAUUUUUCUCGAAGUCACCAUGUCUGAGGCAUACUGGGAUAUAUGUAUGUCAUAUUACACUCCAUGAAUAUUCCAAGUACAUGGUUUAUUCCUAUCUAAGGUUGGGUCUUUUUCAGGUUUAGUAUUUUGAUUCUCCGAGGCUUCAUUUUUCUCGAAGUCACUGUGUUUGAUGCAUACCGGGAUAUAUGUAUGUCAUAUGACACUCCACAAAUAUUCCAAAUACAUGGAAAAACUUAGAAAAAGUUAAACAUAUCUGUCUUAUAUACAUACCCAUACCAGAUACUACACUAUACCCUCGCAUUUAUUUAGAUGUGUUUCUUUAUAUUCAUUUGCUACAAAAAUAUUUCAAUAGAAGCUUAAAAUCAUUUUACUAUUAGUAAUUCUUUGAAAACUUUGGUACUCACUUUCUACCACUUGAAGUUUUUGCUAAUCACUGAAAUAUUCCUUCAGAUGUUCCUAUAUGCAUGUUUUUCACUUAAAUAUUCUAAUAUAGUCUGGUGCCUGCAGUGUCUCAGUAUGGUUCAUCGUCGUCUUCAUCACCUUCAUUGGAGUUUAAAGGAAAACAAGAACAAGAGCAAGUUGUCAUUGCUCGUUUCCUUUCAUCGUUACGACCAUCUGAAGUGAGACCGUCUAUGCAAAACGAUUAUCGAUAUGAAAAGCACAGAUCAGUCCCUGUAUGUCAAGACCUAACCCCACCAAAUCAAAGCUUAUAUUCUGCGCACGGUGAAAGUUGGCCUUACCCUAGCUUUCCCCUUGAAAUGACCAUGCCCAUAUACCAAAUAUGGCAGCAAGAACAACUAUUGCAGUUGCAAAGCCAUCUGUUUUCAUUUCCGGUUUCUUCUGUUCCUCCACCUGCUCCUCAGUUUCUUCCUAUUUUAGACCUGGAUCGUCAUCUUCAAGUUAGAGGCCAGGAACCAAGAUUUAUGUCUCCAAGGAUUGCCAUUUCUACAACACACCCUUCUCUUUACAUCUCUAAUCAUUCAGCUUCUCAACCAACCAUGGGUAAAUCUACAGUGACCAUUCAAGAGAUACAUGAAGAGAUAAAAGAAGAAUCACCCAAAAGCCCUCCUCCACACUUAGUUAACGAUCGGUUUGUUCCAGGUCAAACUAAUGCUGAAACAGGUAUUGGUGAAUCAAAACAGGAAGACCACAAACAGAACACCGAGUUGGAAAGCAAAAGUGAUACUGGUCAUAGGAAAUCUGAUGCUGGUUCUCGGCCUGUCAACAACCAAUUACAAAAUCCACAUGCCUUUGAGUCUUCUCAUCUUCGAUCACAGUAUCCUCCAUGGACAAGUUAUUACGGAAAUUCUAGACCAGCACCAUCCUAUGCAGCGGCUCCUCCGACGAUCCGAACUGUAAGCCCGAUUUCUUCCAUGAGACCGAACAUGCAAGAGCCAACAACUCAGGUUCCUGUCCUGCCAAGAAUGAGAAUUGGAGCUCCGCCAUUUUCAACCAGGCCGAGCUUCGAGAGAACGAACCUUGGCAGUAUGCAUCACAGCUCCAUUGCACCACCUGUUAGAAUACGGUCUGUUGUACCGGUCUGUUCGGCUCCAUCAUCAAGAAAAACACCAAAUUUCAACAAGGAGAGGCUAUUGCCCAACAAAGAGAAGAAAGAUACAGUAGCUGAGGAUCUAUCAACAGCAGUUUCAGAAUUUAGUAAGCUUAGCAUGUAGACGGGGAAUACACUGCUUUUGACUUUUAAAUUAAUUAUAAUAAUAUUAAUUGUAUUCGCAAUCGUGAUAAAUGUAAUAAGACGUUAAUUUAAAUCCGGAAUAUAGCAAUGCAUAGAUAAAUACCUGUAUAAAACUGAAAUUCAUAUUUUAAAAAUUUCUGCUUUCACUUGCUUAGGUUCCUUGUUUUGCUAUUAAAAAUACUAUAAAAAUAUUAAAAUCUUUUAAAUAGAUAACAUCUCAGCCUUUCUUUACCUAUGUAUAUGAGAUUUGCAGAGUAGUUGGGUUGCUCAGUUAUUUAGUAAACUAAUCGAGUUGGAAUUUUGGGGACUGAUUUUAAAGUCAGCCGACUUCCAUUUAACUUGUAUGGAAGAUGGCUUUUGGAGGUCAAUGCGCACAGUGCACAACAAUUAGGCUUUGAAGGUUAAGAGGUUGAGAAAUAGAGCAAUAAAGCUCGUGCAUGCGUGAGAGGCUUUCGAGGCAAAGUUGAGAUAAUGGAAGUUCGAGAUGAUGGAAUAAGAUUUCGAUUAAAAUGAGGGAAGCAUGAGCUAACUUCUAUUUAACUUGUAUGGAAGAUGGCUUUUGGAGGUGCUGACUCCAAUAUGCACAAUACAUUCUAUGUGCAAUAAUUAGGCUUUACACGUGAAUAUUAAGAGGUUGAGAGAUAGAGCACUCGUGCAUGCAUGCGAGGCUUUUGAGGUAAAGUUGAGAUAGUGAAAGCCCGAGAUAUGGAAUAAGGCUCCUAUUGCAAUCAGAGAAACUUUUGGUUGAGAAUUGAGAUAAUGAAACAAGGUAAAAAUGAGAAAAACUAAAAAUUUUAUAUAUACACCUUCAUAGCAAUUCUAGUUGAGUGAGUCUUUCCUUGAACAUUGUUAUAUUGUUCUAACUACUAUCCCUUAAAUAUUCAAUAAUAUCUCCAACUAAUCUAUUUUGCAAAUUCUUUACUCAAAUUCGUCUAUUGGAUAAAAAAGCCAAACAUCUCAACUGAUACACAUCGCAAACUGAAAAAGAAAAAAAAGGGUUAAUUUUUUUUAAAUGACUCUGCUGCAAAGGACUGACAUAAUUACCAAAGUGCCCUUAUGAACAAUACGUCAAUAUAAGCGCUGACUUAAAAACCCUAAACCAACCCCAUCGCUGUCUCUCUUCGUUUCUCCAUUCUCAGCAACUCAGCAGACCGAAACAGAACUUAGGUAAAAGGAAAUUAGGGUUUCUUUUUCCUUUAACGACUUUGCAUAUUUCCUCUCUCUUCAUUAGCAUGUUUCUUUGAUUUUUGCUUUUGCUAGGUUUUCGUGGUUGCUAAGUUGGAUUCUUGGUUUUGUUUACUGUAACUUUAACGCUAAUGGCCUCCUGUGAAAAACGCAGAAAUGGUUGUCUUUUAGCCUUCUUAUUUAUGCUAUGAACUGAAGAUGUAAUUUAUGAACUGGGGAUUUAAAAAUAAGUGGCUAUAUAUAUGUAUAUAUAAUGGAUUCAUUUUAAAAACUCCUAAAUGUUGAAUUUUAACUGUUUUUUUUAUGGUUAUGAAUUGAAGAGGUAAUUUUAUGAAUGGGGUAUUAGGAAAGGAGUGGCUUUUCUUCAUGUUCGGGCCUUUAUUAUUAUGAUUAUUUGGUUUGAAGUUUGAUUAUGUCGUUGAUAGUAAUUUUAUGGUGAUAGUUUUUUAGGUCUGUUUUUCUUGAGGGUUGAGACAUGCUUGUGUUGUUCGAGACUCCGGCAGGCUUUGCCCUUUUCAAAGUCUUAGAUGAAGGGAAGCUGAAUAAAGUUGAGGUAAUUUUCUCAUUCAUAUAUUGUAAGAGUUAAUAGGAAGUUGCAUUUUUAAUCUAGUUAUUAACUUUAGAAAAAAGUGCAUUGAUUGACUGAAAUCAAUCGCUUUAUGUUUUAGUUUGUAGGAUUUAAAUGUUCGAAGUCUUGAUUUUGAAGUUUGUGUUUUUGUUGUUGUAGGACUUGUCAAAGGAAUUCUUGGCUCCUGACUCUGCCAGAAAGGUUAUCACCCUCUCGGAUUUUGAUUUCAUUUGUUCUCCUUCAUUUAGUAUCAUGCCUUUUGGGUCUACGUUUGACUCUGGAGCUGAUCCAUUUUCAUUUAUAAUAUAAUUAGGUUGUGUCGUUGAAAGCCUUUUCCAAGUUUGAAAACACUGCAGAAGCUUUGGAAGCUGCAACCAAACUACUUGAAAGUGCACCCAGUAAAGGUCUGCGCAAGUUUUUGCGUGCGCAUUGUGAUGGUGAAACACUUGGAGUGGCUGAUUCAAAGCUUGGAAAUGCAAUUAAGGAAAAACUGGUCUGUUAAUACUCUUCAUAUUGCAGAUUCUAUGGUGAUGUUAUUCUGUUCCAUAAAUCUUAUUUAAGUAGAAGUAAUUACUUUUUUGCAGAAAAUUGAUUGUGUUCACAAUAAUGCUGUUAUGGAGUUGCUGAGAGGUGUGAGAACUCAGUUGACAGAACUCAUAUCUGGUCUAGGUGCUCAAGAUUUAGCUCCGAUGAGUUUGGGUCUUUCACAUAGCCUUUCUAGAUACAAGCUAAAGUUCAGUGCUGAUAAGGUACUUAUAAAUUAUAACAAUUUCUUUUGAACUUGAUUGAGCAUUAUCUCGUUUGAAUGAGGAGAGUUUUGCAGGGAAAAUGUCUGAUUGCAGGAAUAUAUAAAUAAGUGGGUUUAAGAUUUUAGUAACUUUAGUAAGGUGAAUUGUUAGUUUUCAGUGUAAGCAUUAGAUUUUUGUAGUUGUUCGAUUUGACAACAAUGAUCCUGUUGACCUCAGGUAAAAGCAAUUAAUAUUGUAAAAUUAGUUGCACAUAAUAAAGCUAAUCCUUUGGUUUGUAAUAAAUAUGGUGUUAAGAGUAAAAUGCUGAUUGUGAAUGCUCUUUAAAAAAUGAAUUGCUCUUCAUAUUUGUAGUUUCAUUUGCACAAAGCUAGGUCACUGAAAAUUGGGUGUAUGUGUCUUUGGGUAUGUUCAAAAUUCUCCACAAUUUUCAUGUAUGUGGAGGGUCUUUGGAGGGUCAUAUGCCCAUUGUCACAUCCAAGUAUGUGUCAGACACUUGUACUUCAUGAAAAUGAAGAGUCAAUAAGAUAGGAAAAAAGUGCUUACUUGGGGUUGAAGUUAUCUAGGAGAAGCAUUGAUGUGCGUAGAUGCUGUGCUGAUAUAAGGUGGAUCUUGUAUGCUAUUGAAUAAUUGUCCUGUUUUAAAGAAAUUCCUGGAUGUUAAAUCACAUGAUUUCUAGAGCUUUGGUGAUGGUAUAAUAUAACUGUAUUUGUUGUAGGUUGAUACAAUGAUUGUUCAAGCCAUUGGUUUGCUUGAUGACCUUGAUAAAGAGCUCAACACAUAUGCAAUGAGGGUUCGUGAAUGGUAUGGUUGGCAUUUUCCAGAGCUUACUAAGAUCAUACAAGACAAUAUCAUGUAUGCCAAGGCAGUAAAACUAAUGGGUGACCGUGCUAAUGCUGCUAAGCUCGACUUCUCAGAGGUAUGAAUUCCGAUUCACUAAUCAGAAAACUAAUACCCCAACUUGUGUAUCAAGUGUUCUAUUAUGGUAGUACUAUCAGUUUGCCAACUAUCAAUUUCUUAACUCAUGGGUUUUGACAUAAAGUGCUUGAAGGAAUGUUUUCCUUAUUUUUAAAGAGUGUGUUUGCUUAAAUUUUCACAGGUAUUACCAGAAGAGGUUGAGACUGAAUUAAAGGAGGCAGCAGUCAUAUCCAUGGGGACUGAAAUUAGUGACCUUGAUCUGAUGAAUAUCAAAGAUUUAUGUGAUCAGGUUCUCAAUCUUUCUGAAUACCGAGCUCAGCUAUAUGAUUAUUUAAAGAGCAGGAUGAACACUGUUGCACCAAACUUGACUGCUCUUGUCGGUGAACUUGUUGGUGCUCGUCUCAUUGCUCAUGGUGGCAGCUUAAUAAAUCUUGCCAAACAGCCUGGUAGUACUGUUCAGAUUCUAGGUGCGGAGAAGGCUCUCUUCAGAGCUCUGAAGACAAAGCAUUCGACUCCCAAAUACGGACUCAUCUACCAUGCAUCCUUGGUUGGUCAGGCAGCACCAAAACACAAGGGGAAGAUUUCCAGGUCACUUGCCGCAAAGGCUGCAUUGGCAAUUCGUUGUGAUGCUCUUGGAGAUGACCAAGAUAACUCUAUGGGACUUGAGAACCGAGCCAAGGUAAAUUACAUACUUGCUUUGGUGACUUAUUUUUCUUUCUCCCUGCACCCGCACACUCUUCCUGAAAAAAAAAAUAGUGGAAUGUAAGGUAUUCUUUGCAUAUUAUAUUUUUGUAGCUUGAAGCAAGAUUAAGGGCUCUUGAAGGCAAAGAACUGGGACGUUCUGCCGGGUCGGCUAAAGGCAAGCCUAAGAUAGAAGUCUAUGACAAGGAUCGGAAGAAGGGAGCUGGGUUAAUAACUCCUGCUAAGGUCCGUGUAACUGAUUUAUCAUUUCUUUUUUAGGUUGUGUUUUUUUCUCCUCCUUUAGGUGGUUAAUGACACUUUUCUCGUGUACAGACAUACAAUCCUGCAGCAGAUUCUGUUCUCAGUCAAAUAACAAACACCGCUGCACUUGAUGAACAAGACACAGUCCCAAAGAAGAAGAAGAAGGUUGAGGCCGAACUUCCACAGAUAGAGAAAGCAGCUGAGGUACCUGCAAUUGAAGCUAAGAAAGAGAAGAAGAAAAAGAAGAAGAAAGCUGACAAGGAAGCAGGUUUGCCAACUAAUGAAAAUGAACCUGAAAACGAAGAACCUACGGAGAAGGAAAAGAAGAAACAUCAGACCGAGGAUGUAGAGAAUGCUGAAGUAGGAGAGAAGAAAAAGAAAAAGAGAAAGCACGAAGAACAAGAAGAUACAGAAUCUGAAGUGCAGACCAAGAAAGAGAAAAAGAAGAAGAAGAAGAAGAGUGAAGAUUGAGAAAAAUCAAAGGCCUUACGUGGUGAUCGACUGCCAGACAAAUUUUGGGUAAGAAAAUAGAAUUUAACUUAUGCUUGUAAAAUGUGGUAUUUUGUUGAGUUAAUCAUCUGGUAGUGUGUUCUUUAAACCCAAUUAUGAUGUAUUUUCAACUUCCUUAAGGAUGCAAUUGCAGGGGAAUAUCAAAACAAUUUUUUGUUAUCCUUUUAAUUUGAGUUUAAUAUCUUCUUGCAAUGAUAUGGAAAUGGUAACCAAGAGCCUCCAUUGGUUACUCUUGAAGGAAUGAGAUGUCUAGCUUACCACUUUUUUUUUUCUUGUGUACUGUAAAAGACACUUAUGAUGUUUGGAGUACAAAUUUCAGUAUGUUCAAUUCCUUUCAAGAUCCUUGGGCAGAAUGUGUUGUUUAGACAAACACUGCAUGCUGCAUAUUUCAUUGCUGAUAAACAAGGUGUCAGUUUUUUGACAGACGCUGGAAAUAGUAAGCACAUCAUCUGCUGCAAAAAAAAUCAGCUAAAAUAUGGGGAAUAUGUCGACUCAUUGAGUUUAAAAAAAUGAAGUUAAGGGUAAAUAAUUGAAUAAUUGGUGGUGAAGAAAAUCUGUACAUACCCAAUCCACUGACUCUUAUUUAGUGAGUUGAGUUGAAUGUGAAAGGUACUCGAACUUGAAAUAAUUUAGAUAUGAAAAUCUUAAUUAAAAAAUUGACUAAUAAAUGACAAAUGAUUUGUAUAAAAAUUAAUCUAAAUCUAAAAUAAUUCGAUCCAAAUUAAUCAAAUAUAAAAUCAACUCAAUCCACUUAAAUUACAGGUCUAGUCCUUAAUCACUUUUUCUAAUAGAAAUAAAAAUUUAAUAUGGAUAUAAAGUUUAGGACUUGCCUUAAAAGAAUAAGUCUAGUUCAUAGUUAUUGCUUAAAAUAAAUUUUCUUUUUUGAAGAAAGUUAUUGCUUAAAAUAUAAAUAUUGCCACUUUCACAGUAUUUGAAAUAAUAUCUUAGGUUAUAUAAUAUGUCACAUUCAUUGCACGGACAAAGACAAAUACCUAAGAAAAAAAUAUUUAAAAUAAAAUAACAGUUUUCUCAAAAAGGAGUGUAGUUUUUAAUUGAGGGUGUUUAUGAUAAAUUGAAAAUUAUUUAUUAUUUAUAUUAUUUUAGAUAGUUUUAAAUAAAAAUAAAUAUAUUAAAUAUAUCAUUUUAAAAAAAUAAUUUAUUUUAAUUUUUUAUUUCAAUGGUUUCUGAAAUGAUAUUUGUUUUUUAAAAAAAAUAGUUUGCCUACUUUUUUUAAAAUAUAUUAUAUAAAAAUAAAAAAUUUAUUGAUUAAGAAAAAAUUGUUUUUUUUCCAAAUAUUUUAUAUAAAUCGUCUCACUUGACUCAUAAUAUUAAAGGAGACAUUUUUAUUUAUAAUUUGAUAGCAAUGGUAAGGGUAUUGACAAAAGUCCACAACAACAACGAACAAAGAGAAAGUCCAAAGGGUUUUUACCAUAUAGAAAACACUUGUAAGCAGAAAUGGGAAAUCUCUGUCUUUUCUCUUUCAGAUUCAACCAAAAGUAAGUGAAGUAUCAAUUUUAUUAUGCUUUCUCUCUUACAAAACAUUGAAGUUGAACUGGACUAAAACACUUCCAAGCUCGUUUUUAAUGUCUUUUUUUUUUAAUCUAAGCUCUUUCUCUCUCUAAAAACUUUCUUUCUUUCUUUUUUCUACUUUUGGAUCAUUUCUGAUGUUGACUUCUGCAAAUUCCUUCUUAAAUACAUCCCAAAUUUCUUAUUUUUUUUUCCAAAAGCUAAAUUCUUGCUGACUAGUUAAAGUUGGGUUUUUGUUGAUUUCAUGUAAUAGUCAACUUUUUUUUUAUUUUAUUUUUGCAGAUUUAACAGCUUGAUCAUGCUUGUUAAAGUUGCUUGAUUUGUUGAAAACUGAUUUUUUGUUGAUUUAGAGCAAAACCCAGAUUCGAACAUGUUGGGAAAUGAGGUUUAGAUUUAAGAAAUGGGGUGUGUGUUGGGAAGAGAGGUAUCUUCAGGGAUUGUCUCAGAGUCUAGGGAAAGUAAAAAUGCUAGCUUUGAAUCAGACAAGAAAGUAGAAAAUGUCACAGUUCCAAAGGUUGAUGCUAGUGUUGUAGAGGUUGAAAAUGAGGGUACCCAAAAGGAGGAAAAAGCUAAUGGGGAAAGGAAACAAAGGGGGGAAAGGAGAAGGGCAAAGCCAAACCCCAGGUCGAGUAACCUACUGAAACAUUCGCUUGGAGAGCAGGUGGCAGCCGGAUGGCCUGCGUGGCUGUCCGAUGCCUGUGGCGAGGCGCUUAAUGGUUGGAUUCCACGAAGGGCCGACACAUUUGAGAAGAUUGAUAAGGUUGGUUGCUUUGUUCUUGUUCAAUAUUUCUGCUUUUCAUGUUGAUCAUUAUUGAAUGAUAAUGCCAGAAUUGUAGUUUGUUCCGAAAUUAUAGCGGAUAUAAUUGGUUGUUUCUUUCAUUGUAGUUCCAUUCUUUGUUUAAUUUUGGCUUAGGAUGCAGCUUGGUUUUCAGUGUUGCUCUUCAUUUAUUGAUGUUUUUCGAAGUUAGUGCAUUUGAAUCAGAUACUUACAUUUCCCUACUGAUGGUAGAUUGGUUCAGGAACAUAUAGCAAUGUAUACAAAGCUAAAGAUAUGGUAACAGGUAAAAUCGUUGCUCUAAAGAAGGUUCGGUUUGAUAAUCUUGAACCUGAGAGUGUGAAAUUCAUGGCUAGAGAGAUCCUCAUAUUGCGGAGAUUGGAUCAUCCCAAUGUUGUCAAAUUAGAAGGUUUAGUUACUUCAAGGAUGUCGUGUAGUUUGUAUUUGGUGUUUCAGUACAUGGAGCAUGAUUUGGCGGGGCUUGCAGCAAGCCCUAUAGUGAAGUUUACAGAGCCACAGGUUAGCUUCAACUUGUUUCGUGAUUUAAAAUUAUUGUAAAAUCUGUGGUUUAAAAGGUAUGUCACAUUGUAGGUUAAAUGUUACAUGCAUCAACUACUCUCUGGCCUUGAGCAUUGUCAGAACCGUGGGGUGCUUCACCGUGAUAUUAAGGGGUCAAAUCUUCUUAUUGAUGAUGGAGGAGUACUUAAGAUUGCUGAUUUUGGACUGGCUACAUUCUUUGAUCCAAAUCGCAAGCAUCCCAUGACUAGUCGAGUGGUUACUUUGUGGUAUCGAGCCCCCGAGCUUCUUCUUGGGGCUACGGAUUAUGGUGUUGGUGUGGACCUUUGGAGUGCAGGAUGCAUUUUAGCUGAGCUCUUGGCUGGGAAGCCCAUUAUGCCUGGUCGAACGGAGGUAGGUUUUUGUUUUGUUUGCUGUUUAUUCGGUUUAUCAGAUUGCAAUGUUCCAUGGUUACUGCAUAGAGACUGGAGCUGACAUCUUGCAACCAAUAAAUUACAACAUCAUAUAUUGAAAUGCAUUUAUAUUCGAUCUUUGCCGGUCACUGCAUGGUGAAGAUUUGAAUAAUGUGAUGUUCUAUGUAGAUUUACUAGCACUUCAUUGCUACUAACUAUAGUUCUUUUCUUGAAAAAUUAGGUAGAGCAACUACAUAAAAUAUACAAGUUAUGUGGUUCACCGUCAGAUGAAUACUGGAAAAAGUCGAAGUUGCCAAAUGCAACCUUAUUUAAGCCUCGGGAGCCAUAUAAAAGACGCAUAAAAGAGACAUUUAAAGAUUUUCCACCAUCAUCACUGCCCCUUAUCGACACUCUACUUGCAAUUGAUCCAGCGGAACGUCUAACUGCGACUGCUGCAUUAAGAAGUGAAGUAAGUUCUUUGAUUUCGAUGAACAGUCUCGAUUCUUGGCAUCUUUUCAUUUUUAUAUAUAAAGAUCAAUUUGAAGAUACCGUUCUGAAAAGUGUCUUUUCCACCAUUUUAUUCUUCUUCUGCAGUUCUUCAUGACCGAGCCUUAUGCUUGUGAACCUUCUAGCCUCCCAAAAUAUCCCCCCAGUAAAGAGAUGGAUGCAAAACGGCGAGAUGAUGAAGCACGGAGGUUAAUUCUUUUACCUUUUUUCUCUAUCGACUAUAGUCACCGGCUCUUUUACAAAACUGUGCUAACUGAUUGAGGUUGGAAAUUGUUUCAAUUUGAUGGAUUUCCAUGACCAAAAAUGAUAGUUUGUUCAGUUUUACUGUAUGCAUAUAUAUAAGAACUAUACAGACCCUCAAACAUGUAUGCCAUUUAUGGAAAUACAUACUUGUUCUGAAUAUAUAUAUGUGUGUGUGCGCGUGUAUAUAUAGAGAGAGGAGCAGUUAAUAAACUAAUGUUGUUUGCAUGCAUAGGUAUACAGAUUCAGGGUUUUCUGGAUCUUAGUUACUUUGUUCUGAAAUGUGAAUGAUUCUUCCCUAUAGUUAGAUGAUAAAGGUUGUUAUGAUCCAAAGAACUUUGAUUUUUACUGGUCAGAUAGAUGCUCUACUAUAAAAAAUAAUGUUCUAUGAUUUAGAAUCAUUCUAUUCUUCAGUCUAUGUUUGACAUUGGUUCCAUUUUGAGUUUAACUAUGCCGUGACAUUGUGGUAAUUAGUGUUCUAGCUAUAGUUAUUUACUUCGAAAGUUUCAAUCUAAGCUAUUUUGCUAUAAUUAUUGUAUAUUUGAAAGCAUCUGACAUCCAUGUAUCUCUUUAUAUUUCAACUAUGAUUAAAGAGAAUAUGUAUGAACCCUUUCUUUUUCUGGUCUAAUGUGCAGACUCAAAGCAGCUAGUAAAGCCCCAGGUGACGGUGCAAGGAAAACACGAACACGUGAUCGUGCAAGGGCAGUGCCUGCCCCAGAAGCCAAUGCCGAGCUUCAGUCUAAUCUUGAUGUAAGUGCGACCAUUUGCUUUUGUCAUCAACCAUUAUCUUCUAUUGUUAAAAUUUGUUCCCUGCUUCCCCUAUGUAAUUGAGAAUAGAAUUUCGAAACCGGAGCUUGUUUGUUUGAGCUUUCAAGUUGUUAUAUUGGUAACAAAAAGUUAGGCACGUGCAUAAGUACUUGUUCAAAGAUAAGGUGUUCUAAAUCUCGUCUUAACUUUCCUUGUUAGAUAUAUUGUCCUAUUUCGAUUGUGAUCAAGUUUCUGGCCACCUACUGAAUAUAUUUGAUAACGCAGCUUUUGCUAGUCUGUAUUUAACACCUAAUUUAAGAGUCUAUACAAAUAUUAAGGCAUAUUAGUAUUGCUGCGACCUUUCAUUUUUCUUGAAAUAUCCGUGUCUGUUAUAUAUUCCAGACACGAGUAUGGAGAGAUGAUUCUCCAAGAACUCUUCAAAUACAUAGAAGUUUUUAAAAAAAAGAUUGCACAUGUUUGAACAUUUCCGUUACUUUUAACUAAUUUCGGUUAUAUAUUGAACAUUUCCAUUAUAUAUUCAACAUUCACUCCAAAGUGCAGUCAAAUGCACUGACAUCAAGUACAUGUUUGAACAUUUCCGUUACUUUUAACUAAUUUCGGGUUUUCAAUGUGAAGCAGAGAAGGCGGUUAAUAACCCAUGCGAACGCAAAGAGCAAAAGCGAAAAGUUCCCCCCACCACACCAAGAUGGAGCACUUGGCUUUCCUUUAGGAGCAUCACAACACAUUGAUCCGUCAUUUGUUCCUCCUGAUGUCCCCUUCAGCACUACAUUCACAUAUUCGAAAGAACCAAUUCAAACUUGGUCUGGUCCGCUGGUCGAGUCUGCCAGUAAUGGUGCUCUGAGGCGAAAGAAGCAUGUUGCAGUCGAUUCGCACGAACCAUCUAAACCUCCAAAAGGAUCCCAAAAAUGAAUGAAGUGGCGAUACCUGGUUAAAGGCAAGAAGAGCACACUUUAAACUCUCAGAUUUACGAAAACCGGUUGAUAUUGCAUUCGGUGACAGUGUCCAGAACUCUUACUGCUAUAGAAGCAUGUAUUCAAGGGUUUGAAAUCAAUUUAUUUAUUUUUCUAUAUUUUCCUUUGUUCUUUUACCUUUUUUAUUCUUUUUACAAUCCUAAGUGGCUGCCUUUGAGGUUAAGUUCUCCAUUGUUAUGCAUAUUUUUAUUUCUUCAGUUCUUACAGUGUUGUGUUCUAAACUGUACACUAUCCAGAUUAAUGGAGACUAGAGAACAUCAUGGGGAAAAAAACUAAUAAAUGCUUCAAAAUUCACUUUUUGUUGAGAUUUAUGUUUAAAGACGGCACCUUCCAUGUUACAAAAAUUGUUUCAACCUGAUCGAAUAUAAAUCUUUGUGAUUUUCUUUAAACUUAUCAGAACAAAUAAUAAUAGAAAAUACUACCCACAAGUGAUUGGCUUGUUCUAAUAAAGUGGACAAUGAUGUUACAUCCAUUUUUAUUAGUACUGGGCAUGCAUGGUACAUGUUUUUAUAAUUUAUAUAAAUAUCAUAGGUUAUGCCAAUCAUAUUAAUUAUGGAUCACCUAAGAGGCUAAUCACCAUUACCUCAAUUCUCUAUUAAUAAUAAUAAUAAUAACCUUUAGCUGACGGCAGUGUUGGGACUCGAGAUUAUAGAUUAGUUGGUUGGAAUAAAAAAAUUUAUGGUUGGAAUAAAAUUGAAAAAUUAAAAAAAAUUAUUUUUUGGAUUAAUAUGUAAAUUUGUCACUAAAUUUUAGGUAUUUUUAUUGAUAUUUGUUAUUGAACUUAUCAACAAAAAGUAAAUUCACCAUUAUACUUAGAACGUUAUAUUGAACUUUGUCCCUUUAUUUAGGUUAGAUUGAAUUUUGCCAUUAAAAUUAGUUUUGGUUGAAUUUUACUAUUUAUUUUAAUUUCACAUUAUUCGAAGAUAAAAUUUGAUAAAAAAAAUUUAUUUUAUUUUAAUAUUUAACAAUAAUAAGCUAAUUAAUAUAAUAUUAGAAGUAAUAAAAAUGGUUAUUUAAAAAAUCUAAUGUUGUUUUUUAUAUGUAUUUUUUAUUUUUAAAUAUUUAUUCCAUUAAAUAGAAUUUCUAUGUUAAUGAUGUUCACGGAAUUAAUCAAAAAUUUGACUAAGGCAAGUGCACCUAUCAAUUAAUAGUAUAGCUACGGUGAGAGAAGAUAUCGUUCCCACGAAAACUACAAGUACUAGUAAUUACUGUCUUUCUAUUAUUUAACUAAAUAAUUCAAGUGAUUGAUUAAAAACUAAAAUUAACUAAAUUAAUUAACUAACGAACACAACAAAUAAUAAAUCAGGAAAAUAAUCGAUUAACAACCAAGAAACGGAAUAAUAGCCAGGAAAGAAUUCACAUAGAUUUCAUCUGUCACUAUCAAUCCAAAUUACGCAAUUUCUUUACUUACUAUCUUGAUCUAUAGAAAUCCCUAAAUUAUGCAAAUAUCUCUUUCGAGCAUAAGAACAGUUGACUCUAGGUUGAUUAAUUGAAAUUUCUUUCUAAUUAAAACCCCUAUUAUCGCAUUAACUCGUGAUAUGGAUUCCCUUAUUAGAUUUGACUCUAAUCCGGUAGAUUUAUCUCGUUCUACUUCUAGGAUUGCAUGUAGCUCCACUCAAUUACGCAAGAUCUAUUCUUAAACAGGGUUUAUUCAACUUCCGAUUUAAGCACAUCAAACAUGAAUCAAUAAUUUAGAAACAUCAAACCAAGAAUUAAGCACACAUAAUUAAGAACAAGAAACUAAGUAUUUAUUACGUAAAAUAAAAAUCAAACGACAAAAUCUAUCAUAGGGUUCAUCUCCCUUAGUAUUUAGAAAAUUAGUUUAUGCUUGAAAAUAAAAAAACCAAGAUACAGUAUAAUCGAAAGAAAUAAAGAAACUCAUAAUAAUCUUCUAAGAAAUCAACUGGAAAUCUUCAAUCUUGACAAAAAUUAAUCUGCCACAAAUCAAUGUGGCAAAUUAAAAUUUUCCAACAAACUUAAGGAGCUUUUUCUCGAGCAAAAUAGAGUUUUUAGCUUAGUUUUUUGUUAUUUUCGUAUUUUUAUAUUUUUCGGGUAAUAAGUGAAAAUCUCUUGUUUUUGUGUUUUUUUUAACUCAAAUUGGCCGAUAGUGUGCCAUUGGGAGGUCUAACAUGUGUUUGAGCGAUGUAGGGAUGUGUCAGUAGUCGAAAACGAGCGAGAACGACAUUUAAGGCAAGGGUAUCACGAUAUCUAACCCCUAGAAUCGCGAUACCUCCGCAGUAUAAAAAACCAAUGAGACCCUUCAGUAGUAUCGCAACAUCCUCAUUGGAUAUCACAAUAUCCACCUCUCAAGGAAGACCCCCAAGUUUAAUAUUGCCUGAGAUAUGGCAAUAUCCUCUUCUGGGUAUCACGAUAUCACACAAGGCUCGUGUAGGGCCAAUUUUGGCAUAAAAAAGUCAUCAGAACACCUUUCAAAACAACAAAAAUUUUGGCACUUUUCUAGGGUUUUUACUUUUCUCUUCUUCUACCUUAGAUUAGAAUUUAUUUUUCUAUAUUUACUUAUUGUUCUUAAUUUUCUUUAUGUUAAUUAAGUUAGUUAACAUUGUAGCUAAGGUUUAUUUACAUUUCCAAUCCUUGUACCUUGCUUUCAAGACUCUUUAAGCUUUAAUUUAAUGUAUUUCAGUUUAAUUUACUCUCAAUCUGUUAAAGCUUAUUCCUUUUAUGUUUUUUGCUUUAGAUUUCUUUGUUAAAUGUAGAGGUGCUCAAGGGUUGGGCCGGGCCUAAAAAAAUUUUCAGCCCGCUUCCUAACCCGAGCCCAACCCGGCCCGACCCAUUUUUUUUUGCUUAAAACUAAUUAUUAUUAAAAUUAUAUAAAUUUAUAUUUUUUUUGUAUAUAAUGAACAAUAAAAUAAAAUAAGAUUACUUAUUUUUUACAUUAGAUUAGAAUUCACUAACUAUUUAAUUAAUUAUGAGUUUAUUCUUACAGGAUUAAAACACUAGUUUUCUCGAUAAUAAACUUUAGAAAACCCCCUCUCUUCCAAGUUGGAAGUUCCAACUCUUCCUACUUCUUUGAUCUUUCAUAUUCCCUCAACUCUCAUGGAAAGAAGAAAGGAAAGAAAGUCUUCAUGUCCUUUUUUUUUAGCAUCUUCAAUUCCUGCCUGCUCCAACUCAACUGUCCUGAAUUUCUCAAUCUUCAAGCUCUCUUCAGCCCGCUUUUGUGCAACCAAAGCCUCUCCAAGCUUUUUGUUCGCUUCUUCAGCUGCUUUCUGUGCUUCUUUCAGUUCAUCAAUUGCUUCCGCCUUUUCUUUCUGGAUCAAUGACAUUUGCUCCUUUGCUAUCAUUAAAUCCUCCUCGACCAAGUUCAAUUUAGCCUGCCGUUCCCAUCCCUUACCAACCCCGUGUUUACGAUUUCUAGAUAUCGAAACCAUCCAAGAUCCAACAAUGCAAAUAAAAUUCCAUUAGUUUCAUAAUCAAAAUAUUUGACACGACAUUUUUUUCUAUGUUAGUCAGAACAGUUAACCAAAAUCCAACACCAACAAAUUCCUUUUGAAUAUUCAAUUUCCUUGCAAAUUCUGAGGUACACCGUGAAUACCAAAUGCAUAAGAUGAAAUGCAGUAAUAUUUGACACUAUUGACAAUUACACCGUACACUUACUUCAGACGCCAAAGCAGCCUUUAGUGAUCUCCAAUCAAUGGUCAACUUUGAGUUAAGAGACAAUCGCGGGGAUCGAUCAACCUAAUGGCGAGUACCUUGCAUGGGAGAGGGUGAACCCGGCUCUGUUUUGACCAGUGCCCUGCCUAGUUUAGUAGCCACUCUUGGUGUUGCUGGUGAAACCUUGGUUGGAGUUUCAGAUAAACCGGAUCUGUUUAAACGUUCAAAGUGUCAUAUUUUGAUCAUAAUAUCAAUUUCCCAUGAUUUAAAACACACAAUACACAAAAUAAAAAAAUCAAAAGAAAAGAAACACAAAGACAAGUAGUCCAACAAAGAAAAAUAAAACCAAAGUUAGAUCUAGAAAAACAAAAUGUUAGAACAAAGCUUGAAAUUAUAGAUAAGAAAUGGAAAGAAACGAGUGUAGCUUACUUGGAUUUAGUAGCAGCCAUGUUUAUAAUGAGAAGCUUAUUUGGUUUUUUUAACAAGGAAAGACAAACAAAGAGAAGAACUUGGAUUAAAGCUGCUGCUAGCUAAAAUGCUGACAUUUUCCCAGAACAGAAUUAAAAAAUGUAAUCUAAUGAACCUUUUCUUUAGCUAUUAUAAGAUUAGAAAAAGGAGAGAAAUAAAAGAAAUAUUGGUUCUUUUUCUUGUUUUCCGGCAGUUCAAUUGUAAGAUUUAAAAAUAAAGAAAGAACAAUAAAUGGAAACAAAGUAAUAAAUAAAUAAAAGAAAUUAUAGCUUUGCUAAGUAGCAAACCAUAACUACAACUUAACACAAAGCUUGAAACUUAUGUCUUCCUUUUUUCUUUUUAAUGUUUUCUCCUCCUUUCACUUCGUUUCUCUAAGUGUGAGAGAAGGCGAGGAACUUCCAAAUAGACGGCUUAUUAUAAAUACUAUAAAAUAAGGACUAUCAAUCAAGUCUCAAUCCAAUAGAGAAAUUCAUAAUAUCAGUACCAGCAAUGUCGCUAUGUAAGGCAUUGUUUUCAAGCUAACAACAGUACCAGCAAAAAAGGCAUUAGUUGUUCAUUAGUUGAUAAUACUGCGUACUUUCAUGCCUACAGGCUACUUUCAGUGCAAAAAUACAAAUGGAUUUUGUAGUCUUUCAAAAAAUCAAAGGACCAUAACCUAUAAACCUUAAAACAAAUCUGUAAACCCAUUUGUAUUCACAUCAUUGGCUAAGGCUUAUAUUUACAGUAAAGAUCAGAGAAAGAAAAAAUAAAGAAAACUAACUAAAUGUCUAAUGAGAAUUUAACCGAAUAAACUAGGGUUAACACUGUUAAUAUACCUUUGAAUUUUGAAAUAAAGAAAACUAACCUCUAAUUCUGGAAAUGGGUGGAGCCGUGGAGGACCGGAGGUGGAUCGGUUCCGGACCGGAGGUGGAUUGGUGCCGGAGGUGAAGGUUGAGAAAAAAAGGAAGGAGGGCAGUCGGGCAAGGGAUUAGGGAUUUGUGGAAGAAGGGAAACGGGAAAUGGGGGAAAUGGGUGGAGCCGUGGAGGACCGGAGGUUGAUCGGUGGUGUCGGACUAGAGGUGGAUCGGUGCCGGAGGUGAAGGUUGAGAAAAAAAAUGAAGGAGGGUAGUCGGGCACUAGGAAUUUCUGGAAGAGGGGAAACGGGGAAAUGGGGAAGAAAUGUUUUAAAAAAUAAAAAAUAUAUAUUAUUUUUGGGCCGGGCUCAGGCCAAAAAAUCUUGCCCGAGGCCUGGCCCAUUUUCUAAACGGGCUCAUUUUUUACCCAAGCCCAUAUUUUGGGCCUAUAUUUUUACCCGAACCCUCCCAUAUUUCGGGCGAGCCGUCGGGCCGGGCCAGACCUCCCGGCCCAUGAGUACCUCUAGUUAAAUAGUUUUUGUUUCAUGUUAUUUAAGUUUUCUUGCAUAAAAAUCUCAACUUUCACAUUUUUCUUAAGCUUUACUUUCAUGGCUAAUUUGUUUUCUAUUGUUAUGUUUAUUUUCUUAACUUUGAGCAUGUAUAGCUAAAUCCUUAAGGAGGUUGGUUGAUGGAGACGUGGAUAAACUAAAAUAUUUGGACAAAGGACUAAACCGUAACAAAUUUGACUAAUUUGAAUAGAACUAAGAACUUAGGUAGUGACGCCCCUGAGGGAAUAUUAAGAUAAAGUGAGACUGGAAGGUAAUCUUAUCGUGCACUCGUUCGUUAGCCCCGGAUUAACUGGCGAGAUCGGAAGAUAAACCAGACCUGAUUCAUCUAAAUCAUUAAAAUUGAGAUCGAAAGAUAAAAUGAAGCCACUUAGUAAUUUACGCAAUUUAUGUCCCUAGUCUGAGAUUUGGUGAACCACAUUGAAGUCAACCUACCCUAUUAGUCAUUUUCUAGAUAGUCCCUCUAGUUUACAUUUCUUACAAUUUAGUCCCUAAAGUGGAAUAUUUAAUUUUCUUGUAAACUUAUCUUUUAUGAAUCGCCAUAAUAUAAAAUCGUAUUAGUAGCCACUUAGCCUCUAUCGUGUAUGUUAGUCAUUGCUCAAUCGCUUCUUUCUUUGGGUUCGAUCUUUAGAAUACUUCAGUGUUUCAUUAUAACACUAUAAAUAUUACUGUAAUACCCAAUUUUAGCCCGAGCUCACAUAUGGAAACAUAAUUUUCGAGGAUAUACAAUCUUAGAUAUGAUAUGCAAUCUUAGAUAUGAUAUAUGCAAUCUUAGAUAUGAUAUAUACAAUCUUAGAAGAUAUGAUUUUGUAAUCUUGAAGAUUUAAUUUGUAGAUACCAUUUAAUCUUAGCCGUUGAUGUAAUUGAUCUGUACCGUUGGAUUUGGGGAGGCUCAGCUAUAAAUAGAGGCCUCUCCAUUCAUUGAGAAGGGAAGGAGAUUAAUAAAAAGAAAGCUAUUAUUUUUGCAACACAGAGAGUUCAAAUAGUGGGAGAUACAAAAUUUUUUAACACAGAAGAUUUUUUUUUCCAUUUGGUAUUCUUCAUUCGUAGUUUCGUUAUUUUAUUUUAUUUUUAUUUAUUUAUUCCGCUUAAAAAUACGAAGAAAAGAAAGGAGAAAAGGGAUUUUACCUUUUUUCGUCGAAAUCGUCGGAUGAUUGCCAUCUCUGUCGCGAUCGGAGUGUUGGCAUAGGUGAACGGCGGCACAAAAUGGGUUAAGAAGAAACCCUAGCAGAGAGCAUUUGUUUUUAUUUUAUUUUAUUUUCUUUCUACUGCAAAUAUUUUUUAAAACCUAAGGGCAAAAUGACACCGUUCAGUUUGGGGGUGGGUCCGCGCGUCGACCCGACCCGCAGGUUGGGUUCACGCGUUUUCACCCUAAAUGGGUAAUUUGUGCGAUUGCCCCUCGGUGUUUUCACAUUGUUCCAGAUCUAUUUUUUAAAUUUACCCGGUUCAUUUUCAAUUUAUUCACUUUAGCCUAUGUCAAUACACAGCGUUUUGGGAAGUUGGGUUAUUGGCCAUCUGGACCCCCAUGUCAUUUGCGUGUGGCAUAUUCGUCCCUCAUUUUACUUCUGAUCCCAUUUGUUGCCUGCUAAUUCGAUUUCAAUUACAAUGUGACUUUUUUUUACUCAAUUUAUUACCUUUUAGCAUUAUUAUUUUAUUAUUACUAUUUUUGUUUUAUUCCCAUAAUUGAUACGUACAUUAAUUUUCAUUUAUAUUCUUACACGCAUAUUUAUUUUUUUAAUAUAGAGUAAUCAUUAUUUUUUAUGUAUAUAUGUAAUUAUUUUAUAUAUAUAUAUGUACAGAUUUAUUAUAUAUAUGUAUAUGUAAAUAUAUUGUUAUAUUUUUUAAAAUGAAUAUUUGUAUAUUUAUCUAUAUACGUGUAUAUGUUUAUGUUUUUUAAAAUGCUCACAUACAUAUAUAUUUUUAAUACAUAUUUUAAAUCUAUAUAUUUUUAUAUUUUUCUUUAUUUCAUAAAUGCAUUAUAUAUUUAUAUAAAUUUUAUAAUUCAAAGUUUUAUAUGUAAAUCUUGUGCUUGUUUUUUUCUUCCUCAUAAUUUCAAUAAAUAUAUUAUGUACCUUUUUUAUUCUUUAUGCGUUUUGUUUAUUUCCUUCUUUUGUUUAUCGAUAUUAUGUUUUUAUUUAUGUUUUAAAAGCAUGCUUUUAUAUUAAUUUUGUUUAUUUAUUGUUUAUAUUAUUUCUAUACAAUUGUUGUACUUGUUAUUGUGACUUUAUCACACGCAUUCAAUAUAACAUUAAAUCAUCUUUUUACUUGAAUUUAAAAAUAGAACUUUUCAAAAUAGAGAUAAUACUCGUAUUUAGGAUUUUUAAGGAAAUUGAGCCCUAACGUAUUGGGUUCUGAUUUUCUUCAUUAAAUCUAACAAUCAAGUAUUUCUCUUUAAUCAAAAAAUAAGAAUUCAUUAUUGGGAAUUCAACAGUUGUGUCCUAACGUAUUGGAUGUGACGCAUUGAUUUCUCGAAAUAAAGAUUUUUUCUAAAAAAUAAUAAAGGAAAUAUUCCAAGUUUGGGAUUUUGGAGGAAUUGUGCCCUAACGUAUUGGGCCGCGAUUUCUUAAAUUUUGAAUAAAUGGAUAUUCUUUUAAAUUUUUAUUACACGAGUAUUCUUACCUAAUUCAUUUUUGAGGAAAUUAGAAUGUCGUGCCCUAACGCAUUGGGUGUGGCAUUUUCUUUCUCUGAAAUGAUAAGGGUCUUAAUACGUAACGUUUUUAAGUUUUUGCUAAGGAUUAUAUUUUUCAAAUUUUUGACAUUAAGACAUUAAUUAAUUAACUAGGUACCAAUUUUUGGGCGUAAUGAGGGUGCUAAUCUUCCUCAUACGUAACCGACUCCUGGACCCGUUUUUCUAAAAAUCGUAGACCAAAAUCGUUUUUAGGUGACCCAAUCACACCUCAAUAAAAGAUUGGUGGCGACUCCCAAUUUUCAUUUUUUAAAGUCGACAAUCUAAAUUUUUUUUUCAAAAAAAUAGUUUCGACAAUUACAACUGACAUGUACACUUGCAGUAAAAUCAGACUUUAAAAAUUGUUUCAUAAAUUAGUUGUUUUAACGUGCAUGCGCGCAGCCGGUCAGAAAUCUACUUUAAAAUCGGCUUCAAUGGUAUUUUUCGAGUUGUUUUCUUGAAUAUUCUAUGACGACUCACUCUUAUCUUCUUAAUUUUGUCAUAUAUAUGUCUUAGAAUGCUUAUAAAUGACAAUAUUUCAAAAUUCAGUGUGAAAUCCCAUGAAUUUGACACAGUCUACCACACGUCCGUAUGGCUCCUAUAGAUUGUUACGAUUUUUCGAUUUUCGCUUCUUUUGCUCCCAAGUGCUCUAUUAAACAUUAAAAUAUGAAUUUAAAGGAUUAGGAGCACAAAAUUCACAAUUAACAACGAAUAAUCACCCAAAAACACAUUAAGAAUGAGAUUAAAACAUGUUAAUUUUAACACUUAUUAGUUAAUUUAUUAUUUUUAAUAUUCAUAUACUAAAUUAUGAUUAAUUAUUAAAAUAAUAUAUUUGAAAGAAUUUUUCUUAUUAAAUUAUUUUCAAAUCAAAAUUAAUAUUGAGUAUUAAAAUUUAAUUUAAAAAAUUCAAUUCGAUGUUUGGCAAAUAUAAAGUAUAAUGGUAAAUUUACACAUAUUUUCAAAAUAUAGUGGUAAAUAUCAAAGAAAAUAAAGUAUAAUGACAAAUUUCAAUAUUCACUUAUACUAUGUUAGUAAAUUUGCACUUUAUCCCUUAUUUUUCUUUUAAAAUAACAUUGUUUCAAAUUCAUAUAAAUAAAUAAGGGUAAACUAGACAAAUAGUCACUCAAUUAUAAAAAUUUUCAUUUUAGGUUCGCAAAAUAAAAUGUUUACAAUUUAAGCACCCAUGUUACAUAGUUCGGCCAUUUUGGUCACUUUCGUUAAAUUCACAAACGACAAGCUGACGUGGCAGCUAAAAAUAUGUAUAAUAACAAAUUUAGCCUAAUUUUCUUAAAUAUUUUUUUAUAUAUUUUCUUGAAAAUCUUUUUUAUUUUUGAUUAAAAUAUUCUGAGCCGAUGAUCAUAGGAUAGAGUACGAUUAGCAUGCCAAUAGGUUACUUUGCUUUGUGGUACGUGAUUGAUAUGAACUGUGACGAUGAUUUUUAUAUAUCCUCUUUCACUGAAUAUACUGAGGUCUUGCAUUUGUUGCGGACUAUCAUGUUAUAUUACAAUAUUUCCUGGUGUGUUACAAGGGUAGAUGUUAACCUACGGGUUAGGCACUUAGUGCCGAGGUGCGUUAUUGGUUGGAUUGGCCCAUAUAAGCACCUGGUGUAUUCUGGAUGGUUAAUCGUGUACUCGUAUUUGUAUAUCAUUCAUCGGACAAUGUUUUAUUGAUCGUUGAAUGUUAUUGAAAUGCGAGAAAUUGAUUUGUUCUAUUAUCAUGCAUUGCUCACCUGUUGUGAGUUGUGAUUGACAGGAACUUUGUUAGUAACCUUGUUAUUUAAAUUAUUAUUUUAAUUUAGUAAGCUUUAUCGUUUAAUCGACGAACUUACUAAGCUUUAUGUAAGCUUAUUCGUGUCUUUGUCUUUCCUUUGUAGAUUGCGUUUUGUGGAGAUCGAGAGAUCAGAUCAACUCGAAGAAUAACACUAUCCGAGGAUCUUUUUUGGUAGAUUUUGUAUACAUCUUGGCUCAUAUGACAUGUAAUAGUUGUUAAAGUUGAAUGUAGUUAUGUAUAAUGGUUUGUAUGGUAUUACUUGAAUUGUCUAUGCUUUGGUUGUGUUUUAUAGUUUUUGAAGCAUGCAUGUAAGGUAUUAACCUAGGCACAAGUGUUAUGGAUAUGUGAAUCAAAUGGUAAGUUUGUUAACUUAUAUGUGUGCUAAAUGUAGUCAAGUGUGGAAGCAUCGAAGCCAAGCCAAGGUAAUAAGUUGUUAGUUAAUUAAGAUGUGAAGACUUUAAUGACUUUGGAUGGUAAUUUUGUUUGAUUGUUUUGGCAUGAUAUGGUGAUUCUUGGAUGCGUUUUGAGGCUUGUAAUCAUGUACUAGAAGAUGGUCUAGGUACCUAUACAAUUGGAUGAAAAAUGAGCUUAUUUUAUGUCAAUUUUGGGCAUACACGGCUUGGGGCACGGGCUGCCACACGGUCAUGUGUCGCACAUGGGUAACCCACACGAGCUUGUGCCCCUAACGUGUUAUGGUGCAGGUCAAUCCACAUGGGCACAAAGAGUUACAUGGCCUGGCGACAUGGCCGUGUGAGGCACAGAGUUACAUGGUCAUAUGACCUUAACUCAAGCACAGUGAGUUACAUGGUCUAAGCACACAAGUAUGUGGAGUAGCCACAUAGGCGUAUAGGAUAGCCAUACGGGCGUGUGGGAUAGCCACACGACCAUGUCUGAGCUAAACGAUCUAGCUCUAUCACACGGCCUGGACACACGGCUGUGUGACCCCUAUUUUGAAAAUUACACUUUUGCCCUAAAUCUUCUAUUUUGGCUCAAAUUGGUCCCUGAUUAUUCCUAAACUAUUUUAAAGGCCUCGUAGGUUCGAUUUAAGGCCCACAAGUGUAGGUUCUACCCCGAUCUGAAUUAUUUAUAAAAUUUCAUUAAUUAAUUAGGUAACUUGAUGCUAUUUGUUAUUGAUUGUUCCGAAUCGUUUGAUAAUACUCUAUAACCCUAAUAUGGUGAUAGAAACAGGUUAUGGGUGUUACAUUGUGAAAGUCGAGUUUCGGGGUUAUUUUUCUUUGUAUGGCCACGAGUGGAAGUCUAUGUAGAGGUCUCAAUGGACAGCCAUUAUGCGGUCAUAGAUCGGUAAUGGGGGAGCUAGUUGACAGCCAUUAUGCGGGCAUGAGCUCAAAAUUUUCUAAUAACUGAAAAUAUUGCCUUGGACGCCAGUACCGCCGUGGACGUAGGAGGACUUUUAGACGGACAACGGCUAUUGUGGUGCAGUAAAAGUGAUGCUCCUUUCGGGGUAACAAUGGUUGUUCUUAUUAAACAACACAUUAAUAACUACAAUUGCUACCGCACCGACCCAAGUUUGACAUCUAUUGUGUUGGAACAUCCGCUCUCCGCCUGAGAGCCCUAUUGUGUCCACCUCGAUGUCAACCUUUGGAUAAGAAUGAAAGGUUGAAGAUACCAGCUGCUUGGAAAUAGAGAAAAAAUUACGUUGAUUACACUGACAAGCCCUUUGCUUUUCCCUAUGAUUACGACCUCAACUGUAUGUAUGGUAUAUAUAAGGCAUCAUUUGCGGGUAUCUAAAAAGCUUGAACUCGUGACCACAUAACAACCAUCAACUAGCCCUCAGUUAUACUCAAACCCAUGACCGCAUCACGGCUACUGACUAGGACCUUUACUUAGGGUAAGUUUGGAUGGGCAGUGCGUUUACCUGCGAUUAGUGUAAAAAUAGCGGUGGCGGUUAGAUUAAAUACUAUAGUGUAGCGUGAGACAAAAAGUAAGCUGAACGCACUGCACCGCACCGCACCAAAUCGCCCAUCCAAACCCACCCUUAGACUUCGACCUGUGACCGUAUCAAGCACUGUCACCCCAAAACCUAACUUCCAUAGAAUGGGUUUAUGAGGUAAUGAUUUUAUCCCGGCAUGACAUAUGAAAUGUAUAUGUUCUGAGACGCGUUAUCGCAUCCCCGACCCUUCAAUUCUACCUAUAAACUUUUACAGUUUCACCCUUAAAACACUAACAAAAUUAAAAAAUCCUAACCCUAAUCUUAUCAAAAUUAAAAAAUAAGUAGAUGAGAGCGCGCUUUUACGCUCUCUCCAAAAAUAACUUAUUUUCCUAAUUUAAAAAAAAUUGACUUAAAAGACAAAAUAAAAUACCCGACAUAUUUACCUUAUUUAGCCAGACUUUCAUUCCAAUAAAAGCUUUUUGAAAUUAAGAAAACAAAUAAAAAUACUAACAUUUUCUUUUAAAAAAGUAAAAAAAGAAGAUUAAGGAAAAAAAUAAUAAAAGGGAAUCAGCAUAUGGAGUAAGAAAUGAGUUAACAAAAACUUUUAUUUAUUUACUUUUUUUUUUAAAUAUCUAAUAAAAACUUGUCUGUAAUAAAUAAAUAUCCAAUACCCAAGUAACCAAAAAGAGAAAAGAAUAGUGAAUAAAAAUAAAUCAAUUACCAAAACUUUCGCUAAAUUUCAAUAUAAAUUAAUUAAAAUAAUUUUAGAGCAUCACUGCAAAUGAUCCAGUGGAUGGAAGGCUGAAAGAUGUUAAACCUCCGCAUGACUUGUAAUAAACCUCUUUAAACAAAACCACCCAUCAACCCUCUUUCUAUUUUCUUUGAAUUAUUCAAACAACAAAGCCAGAAACUUGGAUGAAACCCCAACAUAAUCUCAUUUGAAGAGAGCAAAAAAAAAAAAAAAAACCCGGAAAAGUUUUAGUUUCAUAAAGGGUAAAGGUAGUGCAAAAUGGAAGAAAGUAACAGUAACAAUAGCACAGUAAACAAUGUGGCUAGAGCCAUCGUUGCAGCCCUUGAUUGGAACUCUACUCCUGAUGCUCGCAAAGCUGCCGUUUCUUACCUUGAAUCUGUAUUCUCUUUCUCUCUCUAUCCUUCUAUUUUGUUUUAUUUUUGUUUUGUAAAUUAAUUAACUUUGGCUGUUAAGAUUAACUCUUUAAAGUAUAUAUCAUUCGGUGAACUUUCCAACUUUGAAUCAGAAAAUGUCAGAAUUCGUAACUUUGAACUUUUUGAUUCAGUAGACUAGUUUUGAACUUUUAUGAAUUUGGAAAUUUUCUGGAAUUUUUUUCAGGGAGACUGUUUAGUUGUUCAAUUAAGCUAGAGGAUCGUUAUAAUUUGCUUUACGAAAUUGAUAAGUCUCUCUUACCAUUUUGACAAGAUUCGUCUGUUUCUUAUAUUAUUUCCUUUAUCUUUGUUUUUAGGGUUUAGGCUCUUUUCUGUUUGGUUUUCUUGGCAUAUUCUUGGUCUUUGCAUGUAAAUUAAUCAACUUUGGUUGUAAAAAGUUCCUAAUUGAAGUUUAUGUCAUUUGGUGAAAGUUUUGAACUUUGAUUCAGUAGACUUGUUUUGAAUUGGUGGAAAAUUUGGAAAUUUAUGAACUCUUCUUUUUGAAGGUUGAUUAGUGAUUCAAUUGAGUUAAGGUUUUAAUCUAAAGUGUCAUUGUAAUUUGCUUUUAUGAACCUUAUAGCUCUCUCUUAGCUUUGCGUUUUGACUAGAAUGUGUCUGUUCCUCCCAUUUCUUUUACUUUGCACUUUUAAAAUGGGGUUCUUUGCUGUUUAUGAUUGAUAAAUGUUCAAUGUUUAUAUUUGAUCGAACUUCGAUUCCUUCGAAUGAUUUGAACUGUUUGACAAUUGUUCCUUGUUUAGACAUUUUGACGGUUUACUAGUAAUAUUAUUAGGAUUUGAGGACAUCAGCAAGUAAGGAUGAAUAAUUAGGUAUUGUGCUGAAAUUUUUAAGCAUGAUACAAAAACCAAUCGAUUUUGUCAGGCUGCAUGUUUUCUUGCAUCUUUAAGAUAUAGUUUAAUCAGUGAAGUUUUGUUAAGUAAAACUGAACUCGAAAAAACUGGUUGGGAGAGAAGCUGUAUUAUGACAGCUAAAGGCUUCCUGUGAAAAGAGCUUAUGAAAUGAAGCUUGGGAAGCCUGUCUGUGUCCUCUGUGAAUUAGUGUCUUGCUUUUAUAUCAUGACCAAAAAUACUGGCAUGUUUUAGUUUUAUAUCACUUCAGUGACUUAUCUCUCUUGAAUAUUUACAGAUUAAAGCAGGAGAUAUACGGGUUUUGGCAAACACAUCAUUCUUAUUAGUUAAAAAGGAUUGUUCUUCAGAAAUACGAUUACAUGCAUUUAAAAUGCUACAGGUUAAGCUCAUUCACCGUUAUUUCCUUUCUGUUCUUGCUGCAUCCCCACUUUGAUGAAACUGGUGCUGUCCAUGACUUAAUUUUAAAGAUUCAUUACUUGAUUUCUAUCAUGUUAUUUUUUAUUAAAUUGCAUGUCUUGAGUCGUGACUUUAAGUUCCUUAUCAUCUUAAUCUCUGUGCAGCACUUGGUUCGAUUGCGGUGGGAGGAAUUCAGUCUCUCAGAACGUAGGAACUUUUCAAACGUUGCUGUUGAGUUAAUGUCUGAAAUUGCAGAUCCUUGUGAGGAAUGGGCUUUGAAAAGUCAAACGGCUGCCCUAGUUGCUGAGGUUUUCAACACAUUACCCUGGCAACCUAGCUUUUUUCUUAUUUGCUAUCUCGGAUUAUCAUUUUUCAGUUAUGUUUCAUUUUUCAUUUUCUUUUUGGGGCUUUGUUUCAGGUAGUUAGAAGAGAAGGACUAAAUCUUUGGCAAGAGCUGUUUCCAUCGCUAGUUUCCCUAUCCAGCAAGGGCCCUGUUCAAGUAAAGCUCUUUGUAAUCUAUACGUAGUCAUGAUCUUUUUCUAUUUCUUGAAUCAUGCAUUGAAUGAUUCCUUGGAUAUUUUUUUUCCCAUUUUAGGCUGAGUUGGUCUCAAUGAUGCUGAGAUGGCUUCCUGAAGAUAUUACAGUCCACAAUGAAGAUUUGGAAGGUUUUUAUCUCUCUUGAUUUGAAUUGUUUGCACCAACUGAAUAAUUUCAUUCUCUUGGCAUCCAAUAUCUCAAGAUGCUGCUUCUAUUCAAACCUUAGAAGUAGUACACUUCCUUUUCUUUCAUAACUUUCUAUUUUGAGGCGGUUAUAUGUAUAAUAUGUUUUAAGCUUCGUUUGUUUUUGUACUGCUUUUUGCUUCUCUCUGAAAUAAAUUUAUCAUUCAGGUGAUCGGCGUAGAUUACUGUUACGUGGGCUUACUCAAUCUUUGCCAGAAAUUUUGCCACUACUAUACACAGUAUGCCUCUAUCUUUUGUAGAACAUACAUUGCUUCCUUUAGCAUUAUUUACGAUCCUUAACUCUUGGUACAGUUAUUGGAAAGGCAUUUCGGGGAAGCAUUGAGUGAGGUGGGUAGACAACAUCUUGACAUAGCAAAACAGCAUGCGGCUGCUGUAACAGCUACUUUAAAUGCCAUAAAUGCCUAUGCCGAAUGGGCACCUUUGUCUGAUCUUGCUAAAUUCGGCAUCAUUCAUGGGUAUGAUAUUCUUCUUUUCACUUCUCGAAAGAUAACGUUUUAAUCAUUGACGUGAUCCCUUCCUUACACUCUCAUCUCUGUAUUUUGACAGGUGUGGUUUCCUACUUUCUUCUCCUGAUUUUCGCCUUCAUGCUUGUGAGUUUUUCAAACUAGUCUCUCCAAGGUAUGCUUUAUGGUUUACAUGGUUAAGGUACAGAUUUUCUCUCCUAGAAGACUACUGCUUGACGUUGCAAACUCUCGAUUCUGGCAUGCAGAAAGAGACCUGCUGACGACUUUGCUUCUGAAUUUGAUUCUGCAAUGAGUAGCAUCUUUCAAAUCUUGAUGAAUGUAUCUCGGGAAUUCUUGGUCAGAUCUAACUCAGCAGGUGGGGCAAUAGAUGAAAGUGACUUCGAGUUUGCAGAAUAUGUUUGUGAAAGUAUGGUAUCUUUGGGUUCCUCAAACUUGCAAUGUAUUCUCAGAGACAGCAGUACGUCCGCUCUCUACUUACAGCAGGUAAUGACUGUCAAAAGAUUGCAGCAAGUUUUUUAGAAUUACUUUGAUUUAAGUUGUAUUUCUGCAAACAAGUUUCCUAACAGGGGUGUAUUUUAGUCAUUUGUUGCUUCGACGUUUCAUCUUUCUUGAAGUACAUGAGUCUGAUGCAUAUCCAGACAUUGGUAUGGGGAUAUGAUCCCCUAUACGUGUCCAACAAUCAGACCUAGUCCAAGUAACAUAAUUUUAGUCUAUAUGCAGGAUUGUGAAUCAUUUUCAUUUGCUAAUUCUUUUAGCUACUUUAGUCUAGUGAUGAGUAAUAAAAACUUAUGGCCUAAUAUUUUAUCUUUUUUCAGAUGCUUGGGUUCUUUCAACAUUUUAAGCUAGCUCUUCAUUAUCAAUCCCUGCAAUUUUGGUUGGUAUGUGAAAGUUUUUUUUGUAAAUUAUUGUGAUAAUAAAGCAUGAAUAACAAAUAACUAAGUUAAAAUAAAUGUUUUCUCUAGGCACUGAUGCGGGAUUUGAUGUCAAAGCCGAAGCUUUCAGUGCAUUCAUCUGGAGAAGGGUCAGCUGCUAGCAAUUCAGACUCAAAUUCAGCUCAGGUUGACAAUGAAAAGAGAAAGAUUUUAAGUUUUCUCAAUGAUGAUAUUUGUAGUACGAUUCUGGAUAUAUCAUUCCAACGCAUGCUUAAGAAAGAAAGGCUUAUCACUGGAAAAGCCCUUUCUCUAGGGGCUUUGGAGUUGUGGAGUGAUGACUUUGAAGGAAAGGGUGAUUUCGGCCAGUACCGUUCUAGACUUGUAUGCUCUACCAUCUCAGAUGCAUUUAUAUUUUGAUCUUUGAUUUAUCUUCCUUUGAUUUGGAAAUUCAAGCAUAAACAUACAUUGUUUUUUUCAUUGCAGUUCGAGUUAAUCAAGUUUAUUGCUUCAAACAAGCCCCUUGUGGCUGGUGCUAAAGUUUCCGAAAGAAUUAUUAUGAUCAUUAAGAACCUCUUGAACUCUCCAAUGCCUGCUGAGGUUUCAUCACCAACCCUUUUCAUCUUGUUCCUUUCCAUUAUACCUAGUGUUCGGGUUUUCAGGUUAGAAGCUUCAUUGUUAUUAUCUUUACAAACUUCCAGGACUUAGCAGUGAUGGAAAGCAUGCAAGUAGCUCUGGAAAGUGUUGUUAGCUCUAUUUUUGAUGGUUCAAAUGAGUUUGCGGGGGGUAGUUCAGAAGUUCACGUUGCUUUAUGUGGAAUAUUUGAAGGUUUGCUAACAACUUGUCUGUAUUCUGUUAGAGGCUCUAUGUUUAUGAUACCCAUACCUACCAAAAAACUCUGUUUACCGUGAAUUGAAGGUUUACUUCGGGAACUUCUUUCAUUGAAUUGGACUGAGCCUGCCCUUGUGGAAGUACUUGGGCACUAUCUAGAUGCAAUGGGUCCCUUCCUGAAGUAUUUCUCGGAUGUAGUUGGUAGUGUCAUCAAUAAGCUAUUUGAGCUCCUAAAUUCACUUCCUUUUGUUGUUAAGGUUCUCUUCUUCUUCUUCCUUUUCAUCUUUUUUCCCUAAGGACUGAGACUUGUCUUUUUUACCUUAAGUUUUGUUUGGCAGGAUCCUUCGACGAGCAGUGCACGGCAUGCAAGGUUGCAAAUUUGUACAUCAUUUAUUCGGAUAGCCAAAGCUGCUGACAAAAGUAUUCUGCCUCACAUGAAGGUAAUGCAUCUGUCAAGCAAAAUGAUAAAAUUUCCAAUUGAAGCUUUGAAGUUUCUGAAAUGCUUAGAUACUUUCAAUUUGAGGAGCGGAUACAGAUUCCCUUAUAUUUAAACAGCAUAUUCUUUCAUGCUCAUACGAAAUUAGAGCUACUUACUUGCCAAUUGCCGUGUGUAUUCUUUUGCAGUCGGAAAGCAUUGUGAAAUUCUAAAUUUGCAAUGCUUGUUUAGCUCUUAAAUUUGAGUAGAAAAUGUCCACAUUAUCCUUGAGCAAAUACUUAUUUGUAUGCUUCAUAAGGCAAUUCAUUAGAAACUGUCACAGGUUUAGAUUGUUAGCUUUUAAAACCAUCAUUUAUAUGCCUGUUUAUAAGUUUUGGGGAAACUUAUGUUUUAGUUGAACUUUAUAUUCACUCCAUGAUGUUUCUUAUGCAGGGUAUUGCUGAUACCAUGGUGUAUUUGCAAAGAGAAGGCCGUCUGCUUCGCGGUGAACAUAAUCUUCUAGGUGAAGCAUUUCUUGUUAUAGCAUCUGCUGCAGGGUAAUUACUUGCUUAAAGUGUUUCAAUUGCCAUGUAAAGCUGGAUUUCUUUUCUUUUUCUUAUAUGACAUUUGUUGAAAUGGAGCAGGGUUCAACAGCAGCAAGAAGUUUUGGCAUGGUUACUUGAACCCUUGAGCCAACAAUGGAUACAAAUAGAAUGGCAAAACAAUUACUUGUCCGAACCUCUUGGACUAGUUCGUUUAUGCUCCGAGACAGCAUUUAUGUGGUCACUGUUCCACACUAUCACAUUCUUUGAGAAAGCACUCAAGAGGAGUGGAAUGAGGAAAGGCCAAAGCAGCUCAACAUCAAGUUCUACCCCACAUCCAAUGGCUUCUCAUCUGUCUUGGAUGCUUCCUCCCCUCUUAAAAGUAUGCUAUUGUAACCUAUAUUAUAUAUAUCUUAUCUAGAAGAUACUAUAGAAACAGGCUGUUACAACUCUAUUGUUCUUGUGCAGCUGCUUCGUGCUAUACAUUCCCUUUGGUCACCAUCAGUAUUCCAAGUAUUACCUGGGGAGAUUAAAGCAGCAAUGAGCAUGAGUGAUGUGGAGCGGUCUAGUCUUCUUGGCGUUGGGAACCCCAAAUUGUCAAAGGGGGCAUUAACUUUCAUAGAGGGAUCUCCAUUUGAUGUGAAUAAGGAAGGGUAUACUGAACCAAAUGAAGCUGAUAUACGGAAUUGGUUAAAGGGUAUCAGAGACAGUGGGUAAGUAUGGCAUUUGCACAUUUUCUAACAUAGGAAAAUGGUCUUCCUAAGAAACAAUGCACCGUUAAUUCUCACUAUAACAUGGAUGGCGUAUAAAUUGAAGGAUCCCUAAAUGAUAUCUUGAUUUACCCCAAAAGGAACUCCAUUUUUUGUCUGGUGUAUAUUUGGUAUAAAGUGCUUAGCUAUGUGAUUAUGAGCCGUCUAGAGUUAAACAUGGGCGCAUAUAUCAUUUUGAAAACUGAAAAAGAAAAUUUUUUGAUAGGUAAUGAAUAACUUGGUAGAUUAAAGAAAGGGCUAAAGAUCAUAUCCUACCUUUAUCGAGGAUUCAGGAAGCCUUCUCCAUUUUGUAGCUUUGUAGACAAAACUAAUAUUUUGGAAGGCAUACUUCAAUCAUCAUCCACUCAUCGAGUCUUUUUCUAAUCGGUGUUAAUGCAUCUUACACAUUCGUAGGUACAAUGUAUUGGGACUAUCUGCAACCAUUGGAGAUCCGUUUUUCAAAGGCAUUGAUGUUGAUUCUGUUGCUUUAGCUCUAAUUGAGAAUAUACAGUCAAUGGAGUUCAGACAUACAAGGCAGCUUGUUCAUUCUGUUUUGAUUCCUUUGGUUAAGUCUUGUCCUCCCGACAUGUGGGGGGUAUGGCUGGAAAAGCUACUGCACCCGUUAUUUGUCCACUGUCAGCAAGCUCUGAGCUGUUCAUGGUUUGGUCUUCUGCAUGAAGGCCGGGCGAAGGUUCCCGAUAAUCAUGGUAUCCUUACUGGGUCAGACUUGAAAGUGGAAGUAAUGGAAGAGAAGUUACUCCGAGAUAUAACUCGUGAGAUAUGUUUGCUCCUUUCUACUAUAGCGUCACCUGGAUUAAACACUAGCCUUCCUGCUUUAGAACAUUCGGGGCAUGUUGGUCGCGUGGACAUGUCUUCUCUUAAAGAUUUGGAUGCAUUUGCACCAAGCUCUAUGGUUGGGUAUGAAACUAAAUUAUUUUUCCUUUUAGUGUUGACAUCCAACAUUACCUUUACAUUCACGAUAUUAUACUAUUUCGUUCUGUAAACCUAGUUUCUCAACAUUUUGGAUUUGUUUGCAGUUUCCUUUUGAAGCACAAAAGCCUGGCAAUUCCAGUACUCCAAAUAUCGUUAGAAGCAUUUACUUGGACAGACAGUGAAGCUGUGACCAAAGUUUGUUCUUUCUCUGCUUCUGUGGUUCUUCUAGCUAUACUUACGAACAAUGUCGAUCUCCGGGAAUUUGUUUCGAGAGAUCUAUUUUCUGCUCUCAUCCGAGGUCUAGCCCUCGAGUCAAAUGCUUUUAUCAGCGCUGAUCUGGUUAACCUCUGUCGCGAAAUAUUCAUUUAUCUCUGUGACAGAGAUCCGGCUCCCAGACAGGUUAGUUUUUGGAACACUAAUUUCUCCAUUAAUGUUAAGUUGAUAUUACUCUCUGAUCAUACAAGUGCCUCAAAAUAUUAAUUCAAUGAUGCAUUUAUUGGACUAUCCCAGAUUUUACUUUCCCUCCCUUGUAUUACCCCAAACGAUUUACAUGCCUUUGAAGAAGCCUUGACAAAGACCGCAAGUCCGAAAGAACAAAAGCAGCAUAUGAGAAGCUUGCUUUUAUUAGCUACUGGGAACAACCUAAAAGCUCUUGCUGCUCAGAAAAAUGUAAACAUUAUUACAAAUGUUACUGGUAAAGCCCCCCACUUUCAUCUAAUUGCCUUCCAUUUUUGUUGGUGUGUGUUCCACGGACAUAUCCUUACCAGUUUACAACGCUCUCCAUUUCAGCGCGGCCACGUGGUCCAGUCAAUGCUCCAGGAAAUGGAAUCGAGGAGGGCGACAGCGUGGGCUUGGCAGCUAUACUGUGACGGAUUUUUCUGGAUUCGGUGUUUGUACAGAAAGUUUAACCCGGAAAUGAAAAAAGAAACAUCUUUGACAGACAGUUAAUACAAUGAGGUAGAUGGAAGCUUUUUUCUUUCUUUCUUUCUUUCGUUUUGCAUCUUAUGAUCUGAAAUAGAAUUUACUUGGCUGAUUCUCGCACCAUGUUUGUUAUCCUAAUAUUUAUUCCAUCUCUUUGGCUGACUAUAACAUCAAACUACUUAUAUUUUGGUGGUGGCAAUCUUUUUCGUUACUUGGACUCAGGAUGAGUGCCGGAUAAGUGGGAUAUUGAUAUUUGUUGGAUAUGAAUAUAUUCAAUUCAUUUUUAAGUUUUAUAUAUUUGAAGCAUCAUAAUCCUUGUCCGAGUUUGAAUAUAUGCGCUAACUGGGAUUAUAAGAACCCAUGUCUCUGCCUUACUCCUUUUAUGUUGAUAUAAAUUGUAUGAGAUAUUUUGGUUUAAACAAAUAUAAACUGUAUAAACAUUAUUAAAACGUGUAAUAUUUAAUAUAAACAUAUGUUUGAUUUAUUAUGAAAUUAAAGGAAGGAAGAAGAAAUGAAUUUUGUAAUUAAAAAAUAUUUUUUUUUAAAUUGUAUUUAAUACAUUGACGGAUUCACAAAUAAUAAGAAUAAAAUACAUGUUCAUUUUAAAAAUAAUAAUAAUAAUAAUAAUCUGUUUACAUAAUUCUGUAUUACUUUAUUUUUAAUUUAUUGGUAAAAAUUAAAGAGAUUAAAAUAUUACUAUUUCUACGCUGGCCCACAUUUACAGUUAACAUGCGAUUUCUUUUGUUUAUAUCGUUAAUUCUUUGUGUCCAGCAAAACGGCGCCGUAUGGGCCUUCGCUAAAGAUAAGCAGAUCAAAUAAAAUUAAGAUGAAUGGACGGAGCCCAAAGCCCGAAAAGAUAAGCAAUCUACCAGUUCUCUACAAUCGCUUUCAAUAUUUAUGAGAAAAAACCUUUGGGUUAAGAUGGUAAAGUUGAUGUUUUGCGGACCUUGAUAUCCUAAGCUCAGUAAAAAAACUAAUAAUAAUUAUGUAAAAAGAUAUGAUAUAAUAUAUGAAUGUAUUGAAAUUAUCAUGAUAUAAUUUAUUAUUUAUUUUUCAGUCAAAUGCGAACAUAAGUUCAUCGAAGGCAGAAGGUCAGCAAAUAGUACAUGCAGUGACACGACGGCAAUGUUAAAAGAGAAAGUUAACAAAAUAAAACAUGAAACAGCAGUCAUUCGAAAUGGAGGUUCAUUCAUGCUAGAUAUAUGGAUACAAAUUAUAAAAUCUUGCUCUGAAUUAGGCUCCGCCACGGCCAGUAUUUGGAUAUGAUAGUCUUAAAUGAUGUCUUCAAUAGCACAAAAUCAGGCUACAAGGACAGAAGCUCCAAACACCCAAAGAACAAGCUUCUCUUACGACAGAGGAUUGAAUUUACAUCGAGGGCAGACUAACACUAGAACCCUUUCUCAUCACCCUUAGGCAUCUUUGCAUCAUGGGAUCUUUAACUUUACUUACGCCUAUCGAGUUCGGCUAGCCUCCUGUUGCUCUCGUCAAUCAAAAGCACAAACUCAAUCACUAAAUCAUCUUGCGACUUAAGAAUACCUUCAAGCCCAUGACUUUACAAGCCUACGACCUUGCAAACUCACACAAUAGGGACCACAUCCCUGAUAUAGACAAAAUACCUGUCUAUUUGUACAUCAUAUAUAUAUAUAUAUAUAUGUUAACCUAUAUGACAAUCUAUAUCUAUAUGAAAAGAUAUUAGUAGAUCGAUCGAACUCUAAAGAAUAUGAAACUAAUACAAGAAUGACACAUGGAGUCUCAAGAGAAUCGAAGAUACCUUUAAAGUCAAAAAAACAUGAUCUCUCUCUCUUUCUCUCUCUCUCUAUCUAUUUUGCUCCCUCCUCUCAAACUCUAACCCUCUUAAAAGCCUAAAUUCCAAUCACUUAUAAUUAUCUACAACUCUCCACCCACCAAAUAAACAGUAAUAAACCGCCACAAUCUUAACUUUGUAUCAACAUGCAUAAAUACUUGAGAAAAAGAUGUCUAAAACAUUAUUAUAGGGCACAAAGAUAUCUAAAACAUGAUAAAAAAAUACAAAGAUUUUGAAACUCAUGCUUUAUUUUAUGCAUUUCUCUAGUGAAAUAACAUCAUAUCUCCUUUUUUUUCUUUCUCAAAUAAACUGAAAUUGAAGAUGGAAAAUAAGCAGCCAAAACUUCUCCUUUAAUCAAAGUGACAGGAGAAAGAAAAUAAAAUAUAUUUUUUUAUUAUUGAAAUAUAUGAUUUAUUAUGGUUUAAGAGCAACAUAAGAUUAUAAAAGUAAUAUUCCAAGAAAAUGUAAAAUAAUAAACAUAUAUUGAUUUCUUCAACUUAUAAUAAUAAUAUAUAUAAAAUUGAAAUGUUAUAAUAAAUCAAAAUAACUGAAGAAUUUGAUAAUAAUAUAUAUAAUUAAAUAUAAUAAACUAUUGACAUUGUAUCAUAAAGAGUAGAUAUGACUAAAACCUAUAAUAAGACUAUUUAAAAAAAUUAAAUAUGAGAGCUUACACCAUAAUCUCACAUUACCCUAAAAAUAUUAAAUCCACUGAAUCAAAUAGACCCAAAAUGUCAUAUUUGGCUUGAGCCUUGAAGACUACUCUCUUAAAAGAACCCUUGAAAAUAGGAGUAGCUUGAUGACUACUCGUUUUCAAGAGACGGUGAGCAGAAGGUAUAAUAAAUGGACGGACUACCAGCAAAGAGUUUUAAUUCAGGCACUUUCUUUGGUGGUGAACUAAUUCAUCUUCAUUGCAUCAAUGGGAUGGGAUGGGAUUGCAAACGUCCUUUUCUUUAAUUACAAAUCACUUCAUUAUUUACCAUCUUUCAAUUGCAUAUUUAAUUCAAGAUCUUAUAAUGAUAAUACUCUUAUUUCUCAUUUAAUCUCAUUUUUCAAUUUUAGUAAUUUAUUUACAUUUUCUUAAAUAUUAAUAAAAACUUAGGUUGCAGGGGUACUCCAUUCCAUAAAUAAAUCUAUAUAUGUCUUAAUAUGUAAAUAUAUAUAUAACAAGAAUAAUAAAUAUAUCAAAAUCUAAUUAUAUCGUGUUAAUCAUAUUUAAAAAUUUUAUAUUUUGUUGAUUGAGUCUUAACUCGAUUGACAUGAGCAUUAUUACUAAUAUAAAAGGACGUGGAUUUGAAUAUGUUGAAACGUAUUAUCCUUUUAUCUAUGGGUUGAGAAAGGACUAUCAAUAAUUUAAAUCAAUUAAAUUGAACUUUUAAUAAAUUUUAUUUUUAUAAUUUUUAAUAAUUUAUUUAAAUAAACUAAUGAUCUGAUUCGAUUCGAUUACGACAACUUUACUUAAAAACUUACCCUUCUCAGGAUUGGUAUGUAGUUAGGUACCUUCCACCGCUUUGUUAUUUUUCUUUUCACUUUCAAUAUAUAAUUAUUUUUCCCUUCAUGUGAAAGCACUUGAUGUGAAAGCAACAGUUAUGCUACAACUCACCUACCUAACUAGUGCACCUCUUUCAUUAACUUAUCUUUUUCGUUUUUUAUUUCCUUCAUUGGACAAUCAAUAUAUAGAUUGUAAUUGUAAAUGUGCCAAGGAGCACUUCUAGUAUAAUGCGUUUAAUUUUUUUUAUGUUACAGUAUCGUUACAGUAUUUAAUUUUAUCGUCACUAUUAUUUUUAUAUUAACUAUAAGUAAACAAUCCAUCCAAAGAAGCCCUAAGUCUCUUAAGUUGGUGGUUUGAGUUUCUAUACACUUAAGCUACUUGUAUAAUAAAUAUGUUUUACAUUAAUACUUCUUGAGUUUUGCAAAUUGUAUCAUUGUAUUACCAUCAAAGGAGGUGCCUCCCUUCAUAAACUGUAGACGGCUCUCGACAAAGUUAAGGACAAAAAAACUCAAACAUGAUAACAAUAUCUCUGAUUGUUGGGGAUCUAGUUGAUUGCUCAAGAAACUAAACUUAAAAGACUUAUCCUAAACAUUAAAAAAAUUAUUAUUUGUUUGAAAAUAAAUACACUAAAAUAAAUUAUUCAAAUUCAAAAAUCUAUAUGAUUAAAAGCAAUGGCGAAGUCAGAAAAUUUUGUUAGAUAGGAUCAUAAUUAAAUUAUAUAUUUUUACUAUAGUAAAAAUAUAAUUUUAUUAUUUUAAUUUUUUGUGAAAAUUACUUUAAUUUUUUAAUAACCCAUAUCUUUAUAUUUUUAAAAAAAUUAAAUUAAAUUAUUAUUAUUUUUAAAGGGACUAAAAUAUGAUUUUACCACUAUUAAUUAAAAAUUAUAAAUCAUCCACACUACCCUACUAUUUUCAAUCUGAAAAAGAAAAAAAUCCACCCACUACAUUACCGUUGAAAAUGCAUCAAUCAAAAGACUUUUCUAAAAACAAAAAAAACAAAAAUGCCGCGUAUAAAUAAUGAGUCAAGAUGAAAAUAUUGUUAUGUAAUUAAUAAUUAAUAAUUAAUAAUCAUAAUUUAAUUUUUAAAUUAUAAUUUUAUACAUAUUACAUAUAUAAGGUUUGUAAGAUUUUAUCAUUCAUAUGAUUGAUUUCUUAUUUUAUGUGUGUUUCUCGAUAUAAAAAGAUAAAAAAAAUUAUAAUAAUUUAUAUUAUUAUUAAUAUUAAAUAUUAAUAUUAAAUUAUUUUUUUGAAAUAUAAUAUUAAAUUAUUUUUUUCAUUUUUUAUAAUAUUUUAGGAUCUAGUAAUUAGUAAAUUAUGUGAUAAUAGGGGACGAGUAUAUUUAAUAUUAAAAGAUAUGUUAAAAAAAUAAUUAAAAUAAGAAAUGGGACAAAUCAGCCGCGGGCAUGUUAUCGAAAAAGUAGUUUGAACUUCUCAAGUUUGAAAAGCUUUCCGUAAUCUUUGGUCAGGCUCCGCCAUUUCACACUUUUCCUCUCUUACGUGUUAUCUUGUCGGCAACGGGCAACCUUAAAAGAAUGUGACUUAUUAUUUAUUUUUAGGAGAAAAACAGGGGUAUUUUACUAAUAAAAGCCCUUUUUUUAAAAAAAUUUAUCGAAAUGGGCCAACUAUUUAAUUAUUUACCGGAAUGAUCCAUUUUCCGCGAAAUCGCGUCCACGUCAGCGCGAUGUCAGGGUACGCGCCAGGAAAUUGCGUCCACAUCAGCGCGACUUGCUGACGUGGAUGAAAAUCGCGCCCUAGAGGACGCGAUUUGCUGAUGUGGCAUGAACAGUUUAUGUUUUUUAGCUUAAAAAACUUUGAAAGGCCAUAACUUUUGGCUCGGUUGUCCGAUUGAGACGAUUUUUUUUAUUUCGAAUAAAUUUUCGAGAUCUACACGCUGACAAACUGCUUAGAGAUGAAUAGGGACUAAUUUGUAAAGUAUAAUUUGUUAGUUACAAGUAUAGGGACUAAAGUGUAAUUAUUUCAAAAUUAGCAUGAAAUUUUUGUAUUUAAGAAUAUUUGAAUGUUAUGGAAGGAUGAAAUUGAAUUUGAAUUGAAAAACGAAACUUAGAUUUGAAAAUAUGACUAUUUAGGUUUUAGGGACUAAAUUGAAUAAAAUGGAAAAUUUUAGGGAACCUCUCAAGAGUGGAAUGAGCUGACUUAUACCUAUAACAGGAUGAUAUAAGACAAUUCUGUAAAAAAAGAUCCGGUGUUUACUUCAAAUAAAUAAGGAAAAUAAUGAUUUGAAUGUUUCAAAAUUCAAUUUUAAACCGAAAAAUCAAAAUUUAGGGGCAAAAAAGGAUCUUUUUCGAUGAAAACUGCAGCAAACCGCCUUCGGCGGUUUGUCAGCACGUAGAUCUCAAAAAUUUAUUCGAAAUCAAAAAAAAAUCGUCUCAAUCGGACAACCGAGCGAAAAGUUAUGGCAUUUCAAAGUUUUCCAAGCUUAAAAACAUAAACUGUUUAUCCACGUCAGCAAAUCGCGUCCUCGUAGGCGCUAUUCGUGUCCACGUAAGCAAAUCGCGCUGACGUGGACGCGAUUUCGCGGAAAAUAGCCCAUUCCGGUAAAUAAUCAAAAAAUCGGCCCAUUUCGGUAAAUUAAAAAAAACGGCUUUUUUUGGUAAAUUGCCCGAAAAACAGCACUAAACGAUUAUAUAAAAAAAUUUAAUAAAUUCGUGUAAAAAUAUUAUUAUUAGAGAUGAGAGUUCCUCAAACAAUGUUAAAAUCGAAGGAUCUCUAUUCAUGCACUUGGUCAUUCGAUCAGUAAUUGCAUUUCAAGCUCUUAGUUUAUGACGAAUUCUGAUAUUCUAAUCCCGUUUAAACAAACUACUGAUUAAUCAUAAUUCAACCAGACUACUAUUGACAACGCUAUCUUUUAGUAGAAACUCCACUAGAAACGCAUUAUCACAUUCUAGUUGCAUGGCUCUUGCUUUAAUUCUAGUUAUUAUUUUAAUUGAUUUUUUAGAUUCUUUAUUAUUAAAUGUAAAUGAUUUACAAAAUUAUUUUAAAUAAUUAUAAAUAUGUUUAAUUGUGCUUCACUUAUUAUGAAAUGAUUAUAGAGGUAAUUAAAUUAAUUUUUUUUUAUAAUUGAUAUUUGAAAAGUUAAUAUUAAUUAAUAUAUAUUGAAAUUUAAAACAUUAUUUAACAUAUUUAUUUUAUUAUCGUAUUAAAAUAAUUUAAAAAAAUUAAAAACCUCUAAAUCAAAAUAUUUAAAAAGCAAAUAACUUAAAAUUGGAAACGAAAAAAAUAAAAAAGCAAUUGUAUUAAUAUUAAUUUAUACAAUGUUGCUAAAUUCAAUAAAAGAAAAAAUAAUAAUCUCCUUCCCCUUUACAUAAUUUUUUUCUAAACUAAGAAAGAAAAGAGUUAAAAAAACUAAAAUCAACCUAAAGAAAAGAGUACCAUUUCAAAAAAAUUAUAUCUUCUCUAAUUUAUUGGAAAUUGUUUCAAUCAAUUUUUAAAAAUAAAUACAUAAAAUUUGAUAAUUAAUGGUGAGGGGCGAAGUUAGUAAAAUUUUUUAGAGACCAAAAUUAAAUUAUAAUUUUUAUAAUAGUAAAAAUAUAAUUUUACAAUUUUAAUAGCUUAUAUCUUUUUAAUUUUUAAACGAUUAAAUCAAAUUUUUAUUAUUUUUAAGGGAGUUGGGACCUUACCAAUCUCCCUAACUACUAAUGGUAUUAUUAUCUAUAGAGUAGAUUACAUAAAUAAUCACCUAAUUAUUAAAAAUUUUAUUUUAGAUCCUAAAAUAAAAAAAUUAAAUUUAAUAUUUACGUUACACAAUUUGAUAUUUUAUUAUACAAACAUUUUUUUAGAAAAUUAAAAAAAAAAAGCUAAUUUAGUAUUCUACUGUUAUUAUAAUACCGUUACUAGAGGACAAUAAUCGUUUAUAAUAAUCUCUCUCAACCUUUUUCAGGUUGCUAACUUAUUUUUCUUGCUUUUUCUGAAAAAAUUUCCCGUACUGUUGUAAACACGCGUAAUUUAAUUUUUGCCAUUGUUUCCUCUGUUUUCUUCACUGUCUUCAAUAUUUCCUACAAAACCCAUCUUUCAUAUUCAAUCAAGCUUCAAUCUUUUUCUCUUUGAUGCCCCAAGAACAUAACCAAUUCUCUGUUUUUUCUUCCCUUUUUUUUUUCAAAAACAAUUUAGUAAAACAUACACAAAUAUUCUCUCUUUUUUGCAGUUUUUUCUUUAAAAAAACAGUUUCAAGGAUUGUUUUUGUGUUGUUUCUCUCCCAUGAUCACAAAAAUGGCUUGAUUUGCGGUUGAUCCUGCAAAUAAUCGCAUUUCGUUCUCUUUUUUAACAGAGAUUCAUUAAUCAAUAAAUAACCAUCAGUUUUAUAAAAAAAAAAAAACGUCAUAACGAAGCCUUGCUUUUCUUUGUUUUACAAACCCCUUUAGCCUUACCUCAAGCUUCAUCCCCUUUAUAUUUCUUUGAAAUUUUUUCAUUAAAAAUCCUAACAAAAGCAUGGGUAAUUCUGGGUUUCUAGCAACAUUAUUAUUACCGACAUUCCUUUGUGUUCAUCUCUUUGGUGGGUUUGUUGAUGGUCUUGGUGUGAAUUGGGGCACAAUGGCAACCCAUAAAUUACCUCCAGAAACAGUGGUUCAGAUGUUGAAAGACAAUGGGAUUAAAAAAGUGAAGCUUUUCGAUGCAGAUUCAAAGACUAUGGAUGCUCUUUCAGGGAGUGAUCUUGAAGUAAUGGUUGCCAUUCCAAACGAUCAGCUUCUUGCUAUGAACAGCUAUGAUCGUGCUAAACAAUGGGUUAAGAAGAAUAUCACCAUAUAUAACUUCAAAGGAGGUGUUAACAUUAAGUAAGCUCAUUUUCUUUUUCAUUUUUUUUAUCUUCUCUGAUGUUGGGUUUUUGAGGUUUUGAUUGAUCGGUGUUUAGACCAUUUUUUAAAGAUUUGGUUAAGUUGAUGAGAAAAUCUUCUUAUUGUCUUCUUUUGAGGAUUUUGAUCCAUUUAAUAAAUGCUUAAUCUGGAAUUUUUUAUAACUAGCAUUAAGGAAACUUGUUCUAAUUCUUCAUUUAGAUGAUCUUACUCGGGUUUGGGUACGGAUUCUUUUAUAUAUUUGGAGUGUGUUUAAGGUUAUAUUUGCAUAAAUGUGAUUAACACUUGGAAUAGGAAGAAGAAAGUGUCUUCACUUGUGUACUUACAUUAUUCGGAUUCGAGUGCUAGUGUUGCAUACAAGUAUUUUUAAGUUAUUUCAUAUAUUUGAAGUAUUCUUCGAAAAUGAAGCCAAUGGAUCUAUCAAUUUGUUGAACCUUUUCACUAUCUUUUCACAGGUAUGUUGCUGUUGGAAAUGAACCAUUUCUCAAGUCCUACAAUGGCUCAUUUAUAAACACUACAGUGCCUGCUCUUCAAAACAUUCAAAAUGCACUGAAUGAUGCCGGUGUUGGGGACACCAUAAAGGCUACUGUGCCCUUAAAUGCUGAUGUCUACAACUCGCCUGAAAGCAACCCUGUUCCGUCUGCUGGCCGGUUCCGGACUGAUAUCAGUGGACCUAUGACGCAAAUGGUCGAUUUCCUUGCCAAGAAUGGUGCACCUUUCACUGUAAACAUCUAUCCUUUCCUCAGUCUUUAUGGAAAUGAUGACUUCCCUUUCAAUUACGCUUUCUUCGAUGGUGGAAACCCGAUCACGGAUAAUGGGAUUAAGUACACUAACGUUUUUGAUGCCAACUUUGAUACAUUGGUUUCGGCUUUGAAAGCAGUAGGCCAUGGGGAUAUGCCCAUUAUUGUUGGGGAAGUUGGUUGGCCUACUGAUGGUGACAAGAAUGGCAAUAUGGCUAAUGCUCAGAGAUUUUACAAUGGACUCUUGCCUAGACUUGCAGCCAACACCGGGACCCCUCUCCGUCCGGGAUACAUUGAAGUUUACUUGUUUGGACUUAUCGAUGAGGAUGCCAAGAGCGUUGCACCAGGAAAUUUUGAGCGUCAUUGGGGGAUCUUUCGGUACGACGGGCAGCCUAAAUUCCCAUUAGAUCUUUCAGGCCAGAAUCAGAACCAGUUCCUUAUUGGUGCAAAGGAUGUCAAAUAUCUUCAACAGCAAUGGUGCAUGUUCAAUCCGAAUGCCAAGGACAUCGGCAAACUUACGGACAACAUAAAGUACGCUUGCACUUUCUCCGACUGCACGGCUCUCGGUUACGGGUCUUCAUGUAACAACCUGGAUGCCAACGGGAACGCAUCUUAUGCAUUUAACAUGUAUUACCAGGUGCAAAAUCAGAAAGACAUGGCGUGUAACUUUCAAGGUUUGGCUAUAAUUACAACACAGAAUAUUUCACAAGGGGCUUGCAAUUUUAUCAUUCAGAUUGCUUCUUCAUCAUCUUCUUUUACUUCAGUAAGUCGCUUAAUGUUAGGAUUAGCCAUUUUUAUAGUAUUAACUUCAUAUUUACUAAUUUAACUUUGAUUAUUUAGAUAUAUAAGAUAUGUGCUAUUCUUUUGCACCUUAUUUCUCUCAGAUUCUUCUGUUCUGUUAUGUUAAAAGAUGAUUGAGUUAUUUAUUUUAUCUAUAUAAAGUCAUAUAUUACUAGAAUAGUAUCUUGAUAAUUUCUACUACUUGGACCUGGAUAGAGGUGUGCAUGGGCCUAGCUGGGCUAAACUAAGAUUUUAGGCCUAUUUGUUAGGUCCGGCCCGAAAAAUAGGACUAAAAUUUUACUCAAGCCCGACCCGGAUAAAAAUGUUAAAAUCCAGGCUUGACCAGACUCGCCCAUAUUAAUUUUUAUAUUAUUUUUAUAUAAUUUUAAAAUAUAUAUAAUGCAUAAAAAAUACUAAAAACAUCAAAAUAAAUAUUUCCCAACAAAUUAAAAAUAAAUUUUAAAAAAUAUGUAUAUUUAAAUAACUUUAAGAUAAAUGCAACUUAACAAACGUCUCUAAAAUAGUAACAAAAUUAACAAAUGUCUUUCAAAUAAUAACAAAUUUAAUAAUAAAAUAAAUUUUAUACAAUAUUUAAACAAUAACAACAAAAUAGUAGCAACAUAAUUUUAAAAUGGUAGCAAAAUAAGGAGAAAACAAUAAGAAAAUAAUAUUAAAAAAAGAAUAAAAUUUUUUGUCCUUUAGUAAAUUUGAGCAGGGCUCGAGGCCAAAAAUGUCUUACUCGAAGCCUGAUCUAUUUUCUAAACGAGCCUUAUUUUUUGUCCAAACCCUUCCACAUUUCAGGAGGGCCUUCGGGCCUAACCGGGUAGCCCGACCCAUGAACAGGUCUAGACCUGGAUAUACAUUAAGCAUAUAGAUGAUAAGGUAUCCAAAGUUUCCCAAGACAUGACAUAACAGUUAAAAGUGCAAUUAAGACUAAGAUGAAGGGUCAAAAUUUUUAUCAUUGAAACCAAAAUGUGCUACAUAGAGAUGUUUAUGGGUUGGAUCGAGUUUAUAUAAAGUAUUUAGAUCAAAUUUCAAGCUUGGGCCUGAUCUAAAAAAUGAGUUUACUUUUUUGCUCAAGCUCGUCAUCAUUUAAGAAAGGUAAACCCAAGUCCUACCCGGCCCGACCAUAUUUGAUUUUUUUAAGAUUAGUUUUUAUUUAAAAAAUAUAAUACCCUAAAUGGACUAAGAAAAAUAUUAAAAUAAAAGUUUUCUAAGGCAUUAAAAAUAUAUUAAAAAGUAUUUAUAUUAAAAAACACAAAUAAAUAUAACAAAUAUUUUGUUGUAUUAAAUAUAAUUUUUAAAAUUUUAUAUUUUGGAUUGAGUUAUUUAGUUGGAUAAGUUUUUUUUGGAGUUUUGGGUAACGAAUUUUAUUAUUGAGUUAAUGAUUUAAUAUAAAUAUAAACAUAUAAUUAUUAUUUAAUAUAUAUAAUUACUAUAAUAUUUUUAUAUAACAUAAUAUAAUUGAGCCGGGCUAAAAAAUCUUGCUCGUGGCCUGACUCGUAUAAAAAACGGAUUUUAAAUUUUAUUUAAGGUCUUUUUCGGGCCUCAUAUUUAUCUAAACUUUUUUAUUUUUCGAAUAAACUUUCAGAACUGGACGAAUAAUCUUCCCAUGAGCAGUUCUACUCCUACUUAAUUCUUACAUGAAGGAUUUACCUAUCCAACCACCAUACACCAUGAACGAUAACAGAUUCUAAUCGGACUAUCAUCCGAAAACAUAUCUGCCAACAAAUUAAAAGAUGAGUCGAAUUGAAACCGGAAAAAAUAAACAAAUAACACUAGUGAAUCACUUGAGAGAGAGGGGACAGGUGUAGCUUCCUACCAUUGUUGGUUCUGUAAGGAUCGAAUAUAUAUUCUCAAAGGCUGUGUAUGUCUCAUCUCUCACCUAACUCACUCCAACAAAGAGGAACGGGUGAACAGAGGCCGAACGCAAUCACCCUCCCUGGCUCCGGCGAUCACAAUCUUGGGUUGUUUCAUACGAUAGAUGAGGUCUGGAAAGAGUUGAGGUUCAUACUGCAUUUAAACAACAUCAAAGAUUAGUCACAAUCCUGAAACCAAACAAGCAAAAUAGGCUCAUUCACCAAAUCUAUGAAUGCAUAGGACCAAACAUAUGUUUAUGUUUCUCGGCUGUUUACUAGCCAAAUGAAAAUUUACGAAGCACGGACACGGACAUGCAAUAUGGGUACAACACAAUACAGAGAGGCGAUACGAUAACUUUAAAAAAAUAAAAACACAGAUAUGACAAUAAAAAAAUAUUUUUAAUAUUUUUAUAUAUAUCUUUAAUGUUAAAAUACUUAAUGUAAAUGAAAACAUUGAUAUUUUUCAUUAAUAUAUAAUCAAUUCUUUUUCAGCCCAAUAUUUUUUAUGUUAAAAGGUAUUUAUUUUUAUUUUAUUGGCUAAAAAUCUAAAAUUUUAUAUUCAGCCUAGUAUUUUAAAUUAAUUUACAAAUAGCUCAAGACAGAACAUUAACCUACCUACAAUAAUAAACAAAAAUUAAAUCCAACUCAGUAUUUUAAAUUAAUUACAAAUAGCCCAAGACAAGACCCUUGGACUGCUUCAAAUUUACCUGAGAAAAAAAAAAAACCUUUCAUUUCCUUUCACGAAAAAACUUUCAAGGGAAAAAAAAUCUGAUACUCUACUUUCCCUUUUACUCUUAACUAUGGUUUUUUAAUCUGAGGUCUCUAUCCAUCGUGACCGUGUCCGAUUUUAGAUACUCGUGUCGGGACCGUAUCCAACCUCUUUUUUUUUACGUAUUCCAGUGUGUCUCAUACGUAUUCGACGAGUGUCCGCGUCAAACACACAUACAACACCGAUAAGAGACAAGAUGAUCCGUGUCCAUACUUCCUAAAUAAAAACUCAUUCUCAAGUUCAUUAAAUAUGAUGUUUCAAUAUAAUUGGAUUGAGAACUUAGACCUCAAUCCCUUCAACUUAGCAUCCUUCAAGGGUCAAAAAAGUGAAACUAAGUAGUUCACAAAGAAAAGGCUAAUUAUCUCCUUGCUCUCUUCCAUUGUUUUCAGUCCUUUAAUUUUUUUUUCCUCAUGACUUUUUGCGAAUUUCAAUUGAAUUAGACCUGAUUAUGGAUCGGGUUUGGGUUGAGAUGAUGCAAAAUUUUAUCUCUAUUCUAUAGACCCAAGCCCAACCCGAAAAUGGAUCUAAAAUUCUGCUCAAACCCAAUGCAAAUUAAAAAUGUUAAACCCAGGCUCAACCCGGGCUGUUCGUAUUAAUUUUUUAUAUAAAAAUAAAUUUAAAAAUAUAAUACAUCAAAUACACUAAAAAUAUUAAAAUAAAUGUUUCCCAAUAAAUUGAAAACACAUUAAACAAUCUUUAUACUUAAAUAACACUAAGAUAAUUGUAAUUUAACAAGCAAACGCUUCUAAAAUAGUAACAAAAUUAGUAAUAAAACAAGAGUUAUACAAUAUCUAAAUAAUAACAAUAAAAUAGUAACAAUAUAAUAACAAAAAGUAAUAAAACAACACCAAAACAGUUGCUUCGGGCCUAGACCGAAUCAAAAAAUCUUACCUAAGGCCUGACCUAUUUAAAAAAUGAGUCUUAUUUUUUUAUUUAAAUUUAUUUUUUAAAUUUAUAUUUUUACUCAAACUCUCUCACUUUCCGGGAGAAAGUGUAUUCUAAAUGCAUAAUAGUUUAUAAAAUAAAAAGUUGGGCAAUAUGGACAGCUCUUCUGACCAGUUCAGUUUUUAACUGUAAAUUAUUGUCUUACUAUAACUUCAAAUCGACCCGGUAAUACAAUAUAACUGCAAUUUUUCUUUGAUGCAAUAUGGUGAGGGCUUUUUGAGAGAUUGAAUUUUGUGCAAGUUUUGCUGGUGAGCUCUCCAUUGAAUUUAGAUGCUUUCGAUAUUAGUAGAUGUGUUUAUAAGUUGGGUCGAGUUGGGUCGAAUUCGAGUUGAGCUUAAGUAUGAUAUUAACCUAUUUUAUAUUUGUUCAAGUUUGGCUCGACUCGAAAUAUGAACCUAAAAUUUUGUCUAAAUCCGCUCAUAUUUGUAAAAAACCAACUCAAACUCAUUUUAGGCCCGCACAUAUUUUUUAAAUUUUUUUUAAAAAAUUAUUUAUUUUAUUUUAAAUUUAACAAAUUUAUACAAUUUUUUAUUUAUUAAAUUUUUUUAUAUAGUCAUCUUAACAUUAUUUUAAUGUUUACAUUAUAGUAGUAUUAUAUAUUUAUUAUUGGUUUAUUUUUUUAAUACAUUUUAAAUUACGUAAUAUAUAAAAAUAACAUAAAAUAAAAUAUUAUAAAUUUAAAAAUGAGUCGGGUCGGCAAGACUCAGGCCUUGAAGGUUCAAACUUGAAUUUGACUCAUAUUUUAAAUUCACCUAAUUUUUUAAGACCAACUGCUAAAGUAAGAAACUAAAACAUGUAUGAUAUCAAAUACUAGCCAUCUUCUUCCAAAUGACACCAUACAUGUAUGGAGAUAAUUAGAUACGUACUUGUAUUUUGAUAUCAAAUAGUUAAUAGCCAAAUAAGAAUCUCUUUAAACUUGUAAAAAGAGCUCCAAAACACCAACCAAAAUAGCUAUCACGUUGUCCCAAACUGCAUUCAGUUGAAUCCACUGCAACCAGAAGUUAGCUUGCCAUUUACUCACGACUACAGUUUACAACAAACAUUUGCAUAGAGCCAAAUUUUGCAUGGCUUAAUCUUACAAACAAGUAUAUUCAGUUGUUGUUAGGAAUAACCGGAUUAUUACCUCAAGAAGUAGUAGGCGACCUUCUAUUAGUUCUGGAUUGUGUCUCCAAACCUGCCCUUCAAAGGUUACUGCUCUUACAUUUGCAUUGAAAGUAAUAUACCACGUGAAAAACAAAAUCGUGAUUUAAUUGCGAAAGCAUGCAUUCUUUGAGAUUAUUUUUCAUAAAAUAUUUUUUUAACUUUAUAUAUGAUUUCACUAACAAUAUAUAUAUUGUUUAUAAAAUUAAAAACCUUAUGGUUUUUGGGCCAAUUUUUAAACGGACUUAAAAAAAAGUUCAAUGAAAAAAAAGUAGAAAAAUAAAAUAAAUGUGUUUAAAACUCACUCUCUUUCCAUUUUGUUCCUUUAUCAUAUCCUUCCACCAAUCAAAUUCUAUUGUUUCAUCCCCUUCCACCAAUCAAACUCCCCAUCUUCCAUAAUUUAUUUUCUUUUUCCUACUUCCACCUUUUUCACUACAACUCCAUUGCCACCCUGAAAAGUGGCUGUAGUCAUUAAUUUUCUUCACCACACAGCCGAAGUGUCAAGAAGACCAAGUCCAAAUUACACAUCUUACCUGUGAAAUUUCUUAGUAGAGUAUAAUUCAAUUAUUAAAAGCGCUAUUACCUUGUUGUAGACUUUGUUAACAAGCUCAUCAUAUGUGCCAUUGUGAGGAUCAAAAUGGCAAGCUAGAUGAUAAUCUAACACCCUAAAAACUACAUAGAAAAGUCUAAUGCAGAAACCAUCAUAGUGCUUUUCGCCUGGAUGUUUACCAUCGAGUCACGUUGGGGGGGAUGAGGAGAGACAAAAAAGACAUGAAAAAAUUCCAUCGAGCCGUUGAUUGUUUCAAGUUUUGAUUUAUAUGGACCCUACGUAGUUAAAAUGGCUUUGGGAGGAAGGAGAGACCAUAAAAAUGGCAGCUCGGUUUGCAAAUUCAGCAGAGCCCUGAGAGUGAGAGGGAAGUCCAUUUUCACACAGCUUAACCAAGCUCGAGCUUAAAAAAUUAUGCUCACUUGAACUCAAUCAAAUGCCAAACUCCAAGUUUAGAAUGAACUCGAGUUUGUCUUUCUUCAACUAGUUUAUCUCCACUCAGAAAUUUUAACUUGGUUAAUAUAAUAUCCAAAAUUGCAAUAUGCUAACAAUUAUACAUUAUAGCAUAUACGAGGUACCCAAAGUUUCCUAAGACUAAGAUGAAGGAUCAAAAUUUUAAUCACUAAAACCAAAAUGUCCUAAAUUACUGCUUAGAUGAAGGAUAUACCAUCCAUUUAAGCAGCCUCCCCAUUCUUUAUAUAUUCACACUUACGAAUCCAACUCCAUGCACCAUGGCUGAUAACCAAAUCAAAUAAAAGUCCCAUCCGAAGGUAUAUCUGCCAGCAAAUUAAAAGAUCAGUUGAAGCAAAACCGGAAAAAGAAAACAAAUAACACUUGUCAAUCAUUUCAGAGAUAGGGGACAAGGUGUAGCUUCCUACCAUUGUUGGUUCUUCCGAAAUUCUGUAAGGACUGGAUAUAUAUUCUCAAAGGCUGUGUAUGUUUCAUCUCUUACCUGAGUCACUCCAACAAAGAGAAAUUAGUAAUUAUGUCGGACAUAGAAUGUGGAAUUGAUGAACAGUCUGAAAGCAAUCACCUUGGCUCCGGUGAUCACAAUCUUCCCUGACACGAAAAUGAGAAGCACAAUCUUCGGUUGUUUCAUACGAUAGAUGAGGCCUGGAAAGAGUUCAGGUUCAUACUGUAUUUAAACAACAUCAAAGAUAAGUCACAGUCGUUAAACCAAACAAGCAAAAUCUGGACAUCAAAUAUGUAACGGACGCAACUAAUUAUCUCAACCUCAUCCAAAACAGAAUCAAAUCCAAGAAUACAUAGCAUAUUAUAAGACCAAACUUAUUUUUAUGUUUCAAGGCUGUUUACUAGCUAAAUGAAAACUCAGUCUCAAGUUCAUUACAAAUGAUGUUUCAAAUUUCAAUAUCAUUGGACUGAGAACUUUGACCUCAAUCCCUUGAGCUUAACACCCUUAAGGGCCAGCAAGUGAAACUCAAGGAGCUCACAAAGAAAAGGCUCAUUUUGUACGUCCAUACAAAUCAUAGGGAAGAGCUCAGACAGCCAGCUAGUCAUGCUGGGAAAGGAAACAUGUCCAAUAUUCUUAAAUAACAGCUAAACAAAAAAUGAACAACGAACACCACUUACACUUGAAAAGGCACUAUGGGAGUAUGCAAGACCUUCAAGUCUGAUGGGAAAUUUGACAUCACAGGACCCAACAAUGUUCUGAAUUUUGAAGUCCUGCCGAUCACAACAAAAAGGUUAAAAAUGAGUAGGGUAAAACAUCAUCGAAAGUAGAGAUAUUAGUCUAUAUACAUGGAAUUUUAUGAGCAUGGUUUGUAUAAGAGAAAAAGGAAUUAUGUAAGUACCUUAAACUUAGCAGGAAAACCAAGCUUUUGGAUAAUUCUGGCAUACUAAAAGCGCAAAAAUAAUGUCAGCUAUAGCCUUCAUCUUUGCAUCCAACUAUCCUAAUGAUAGAAUAUAUUUACACAUAUAAUCACACAACAAAUUCACAUGAAACAUAGUUCACAAACGCAUUUGAAGGAAAAAGCAUCUCAAAGAAAAAUAUUUACCUUCCUUGCAGCCAGUUUAGAUUGCUGUUCACUUUUAGCACCAGUGCAAACCUGAAAAAGCAAGAAAAUUUGUUUUAGUAAAUAACUAAAUCAAUAAUUAAACAAAGAUAACAUGCUUGGGCUCAAGCAAUUGAUGUAAGCACUAGUUAUUUACUUAUGGGUUUCAAUACUUAAAACAAUAAAAUAAGUGCAAUUUUAAUUCCAAUGGAAGUACCAUCUUUCCAGAGGCAAAAAUCAAAGCUGUAGUUUUUGGCUCCCUGAUUCUCAUAAUGACAGCAGCAAAACGCUGUAGGUUGUUUUAUAAAUAAAAAGGUUAGCAUCCAAAUAUAUUAGCAGCUGAUAGAGAAGCUGCACAAACUAAGAAAGCUAGAAUUUAACCAUCCCCUGCAUACCUUCGGAUUAUAUUCUGCAUUUCGAGCUUGAAGUGCAAUUUGCUUAAGAUCCAACUUGCAAUCUAAGUUCACAGUUGAUACAAUGUUCCUUGAAACACAGUAAGACUAAUUCUAAGAUUUCCAAAUAUCAACUGUGGUCAAACCCGAUCCAUAAAGGAAUCAGAGCACAAUUUAAUAGAAGAAAUUGGGAAAAAAAAAACUUUCCAUUUUUUUGGUUAAAAGUUCGAUACAGAUCCACACCUUGUUAGUUGCUGAAUCAUUAAAACCUUACAACCAUAGAUAGGAUAUAUGCUCGGAUGCUGAACUUCAAUAAACCAUUCAAUCUGAAUUGUUAAUAAAGAGAUUUUACUGAAUGCAACAGUUUCCUACAUCUGUUAAGAUCAGUUAAUGACGAGUAACCGAGCCAAAAACAAGUCAAGCCCCGUGCAAUUUAUGUGUUUGGCUGGUUUAACUAAGAACAAGACUCAAGUUUUAUACAUGAUUAAACCAGAUGAGCUUGAUUUCAUUUGCAGGCUAGUGGGCUAAGCCUGCACAAUCGUAUUUGAUGUAAUUUAUUUAUCAUUCAUAUCAAAAUUAAUCCAAAGAAAUCUACGAAACUUUUUUAUUAUAUCAAACGCAUCAAAUGAAACAUAACACAAUGUUACUCCAAUUAUAUCGAAUUAAAGCUUUCUACUAUUACAUUACUCCAAUGAUAUUCUCAACAGAAGCAUACUUUAAGCCAUAGACAACAAAAGCUGACAUAUCAUGGCCCCUAAAUUCACCAUUUCUCUUCCCAAAAUACAACCAAAACCCAUCUCAAAACUCCCUCUCAUCAUUUCAAAGAAAAAUUUGAUACACACACACACACACACACAUAAUAUAUUUGCUCCAAAAAGAUUUCAUUUUCAAUGAUUUAAUUGACUACAGGUCUGCAAUACAAGAUAUCAUCCACAAACUCUGGUCAGCCAAAUAACAUCCCAUUCAAGUUAGAAAUUCACCAAAACCUCAAACACCCAUAUCCCAAAAGCACUCCCCCCCCCCCCAGCGAUUUAAUUGAGAACACAUCUCCAUUACACCUAAAAGAUCAUCCCAUCGCGAAACUCUGUUCAACCAAAUCUUACACAUACAUAUAAAUUUAUUGCACAAAGAAAACGUAUACAUUUCAGAAUACAAAGACGAGAGGCAAAAAGGAGACUUACUGAAGAGUGGGAACAAUGCCAGAUGGGUGCUUGGAAAGAUCAACUGGUUGGCUCCCUUCCAAGCCACCUUGUUCUGCCAUCGCUUUUUUGUUCCUCACCCAAAAAAAAUCCUCCAAAAAGACUAUGGGCUUCCUCUUAGAAACACCGAGGGAAAAAAGCAGAUCGAAAUUCACACAAGUCUAAUAAAAUUGAACCCUAUAACAAAAUUUGAAGUUUUCAAAGGGUAAACACGAAACUUAGGAGGAAAUGAAUGAAAUAACAAAAAACAAAAACAGAUCACAGUUUGAUACAAAUCUGAACAAAUUCAUUAUUUUUUCACUAAAAAAAUUAUGAAAUUACAAACAAUAAAGCUACAAAAUGGAGGGAAAUUUGAGAGAAGAAAGAGAGAAAUGUUUGAAAAGAGGUGUUUAUAUAGGUUUUUAUUUGAAUUCUUAUAUAUAAGAGAGAAAUUACUGAAAGGAUCUGGUUCGAAAAUGAGAUUUGUGAGAGAUCGGCUCAUAACAGAUAGAGAUGCGGGUGUUUCGAGGGACAUAUGCACCCUAAGAUUAUUCUAUUUAUAAACGUUGACUCUUUUAACCGGUCAAGCUGUGGAAGUUACCUGUUUUUGCCGGUCAUGUUUAGAGGUGUCCAUGGGCCGGGUGGCCCGGCCCAGCCCGACAGCCCGUCCGAAAUAUGAGAGGGUUUAGGUAAAAAUAUAGGCCUGAAACAUGGGUUUGGGCAAAAAAAUGAGGCCUGUUUAGAAAACGGGCCGGGCCUCGGGCACCACUUUUUUUACCCUAGCCCAGCUCGACCCGGCCCAAAUAUAUAAUCAAUAUAUAUUUUUAGUUUUUUUAAUUUAAAAUAUUUUUAAAAUACUUUUUUAUUUUUAUGUUUAAAAUAUUUUUUGGUGUUUAUUAAAAAAUGGGUCAGGUCGGGCCGGGCUUAGAUUUUUUCCCGGGCCAGGCCAGGACAAAAUUUCAGGCCCAUAUUUCGGGCCAGGCCAGGCCCAGGCCUAAGACGAAAAUUUUGGCCCAGCCCGGCCUAUGGACACCUCUAGUCAUGUUGGGAGGAAGAGGUGACUUGUCCUUCCCCUCCUAAGCAAAUGAGAAUUUGUGAUUAAAGUACUCUCAAAUCCACUAAUUGUUUCAAUAUCAACUUUGUAAAUUGAAUUAAAGCUGAAUCAAUUUUUAAUAUUUGUUUUACAUAUUUAAAUUAUUUUAUAUUUAUAUUUAUAUUUACAUAAAAUAUGAAGUUAUCAAUAACUUAUAUUAUAUAUAUUAGACAAUCAUAUUAGACCUUUCACCAAAGUAAUUGAUUAUUGCAGAACUUUGAUAACGCACAAUCUCUUCAUAGCAUCAUAAAAAAAAACUCAAUCUUAUAACCUUACUUAAACAUCAUACUCAUUAGGCUUAACAAUGCUCAAAAAAACAUAUUGAGAAUAACCUCUAACAACAUCUAUCAAUCUAUCACAUCCAAUAGACGUUUUGUCUAAUUUCUUCAAGUCAACUCUAACAAUGUCCUAAACUGAUCUAGGGUAACACUCGCCACUUUAUCAUUGCACUUGAAGGAAAGGGAACACAAUGGCUGGGACGCAUGCUCUACCUCAAUCCCCCAAAAACACCCUUCAUCAUUGGGGCAAAAGUACUUGUACCCUCAUUCUUCUCAUUUAAUUCUAAGAUAACAUUAAAAUCUUUAGCCAAGAUCCAAGGCUUAGAGACUGCCUUAGCAAGGCAACCCAACAACUUCUCGAGUACUUUUCAAUUCAAACAAUUGGGACUACCAUAAACGAUGGGAAGGAAAAAUCCCUUAUUCAAACCGAUGGAAUGUAUCUUUAGAUGAAUAAACUGAGGGUGGUUAAUAAGAAUAAUGACAAAGACAAAAUUAUUCCAAAUAAUCUAAAUGCCCCUAGAAAACCUAAAAAACUUCUAUUCUGUGGGAGAAGCUAUAAUGCAUUUUCUUUAUAACAUUGCACGUUACCAAACCAUUGACUCUCGUGUAUAUUAAAUCAACUAAGCUCAUCUUAAAUUCCUUGAAAUAUUCUCUAAAUAUUCGCAAAAAUGUACUUUUACUAGAACAUUGAUAAUUCCAAAAUAAUCCCGAAAAAUUCAUCAAAUAAAAAAGACAAAAGAACUCUAACCAGUGAUCGCAUGCACGCGUGUUAGAAACAAACAAUUUUUUAAAACAAUUUAAAAGUGUGGUUUUAACUACAAACGUAUAGUGUUUUUGUAGUGUUAAUGGAACACUAGAGUAUUUUAAGGAUCAAACCCAAAGAAUUGCCAAAUUGAUAAAUGUGUUAACAACGUUAAUUACAAGUUAAAAAAUUAUUAAUCUAGUAGAAUCGGAAAUUAUUAAUGCAAAUUCAAAGAAAAAUACAAAAUGGAAGAUAGAACGACUAAACCAAUGGAUAGAUGGAUAAAUGUCAAAUUGAACCCUUUGAGAUAUCAAUCCCAACAAACUCAAUUAACAGUUCUAAUCAGUCCUCCUAGAAAUGAUCAUUGGCAAAUUGAAGGAUGAAGAAUGAAUUCUCACAACUCCUUAAAGAAAAUCAAGAAAAAAAUUACUUCUAAAAAUCACAAGAAAGAAAUAUUGCGCAAAGAAACAAACUCUCAGAAUUGAAAACUUUAUUAAUGAAAACAAUUUGUGACAUUAAUGAACAAUGAAGAAGCCUUUAUAUAGGCUAGCUAGGUACAUCCAAAUAAAACUCUAAAGUAUACUGAAACUCUAAUUAAUCUAAAUAAGAAGUAGUUUUAAAUUAAACUUUCUUAUUUAACUAAGAAAUAUAAAACUCCUAAACAACUUAAAAUACUUAAACAAUAUCUGAAAUUUGUAAUAAAUAAAUAAUAAAAUAACAAAAGCUAAUAAAUACAAUAUUGGGCUCAUAUAUAAUAAAAAAUUAAGCUUAAAAUCGAACCCAAUAUGAUUUAAACUCGAAUUAAAAGCCCGAAACAUGAAAUUAAGUGAUUUAAAGUGCGUUGCAAAGAUAAGAAACAGAUAUUCGAUUGAUAUGAAGACAUAUUGACCCAAAAAUACCUAUAUUCCUUCCAAAAAUGCACCGCAACUUGAUUGAUUAUAACACGGUUAGAUGUGUGGGCUUGAUUGAGGUCCUUGAAGUGUAACACCUAAGCUUAUUAACAUAUUUCACAUGAGCUUGUCCUCAUUCAUUGAGAUUUUAAGUCCACAAAUAAAAUUGGUCCCUUCUAAUUCAUCUUCACUUCGUAUUAAGCUCCAAAGUUUAUCGUCUUGAAGCUUCAGCUCUUUUUCUCGAAAUUUCUUUGUGACAAAGUCUUGAAUGAAUAUGUUGAGUUUUGACUUAAACUUAUUAGAUUUGGAUCUCGUGAUUAGGCCUUGAGGUAAACUAAGAUCAUCUCCCUCAUGGACUUUGAAUUGAAUUGGGCAGCUCGUAUCAUUCUUUUAUGGUAAAGUCAUCAUGAUUUUAACGGAAUUAGAGUUGGAUUAAGAAGAUUAUUUAAUUGGAAAUAUAUUGAGAUGUUUAUUUUGGAAAAUAGAAAAACAUAUAUCGGGUUGAAUUGAAUUAUAAAGUACUGAGUUAAAAGUUCAUGAAAUACUUGUAAUUGGACCCAAUAUGGGAGAGGCCCAAAAGCCUCUCGUGUUAAUUAAAGGGAUAGCAAACCCUAGUAUUAUUAAUUAGAGUUAUUGCCCCUUAUACUUCUAGAUAGACUAGAACUUCGUUUUUCUAGUUGAAAUAAACUUCUACAAUUUAACAAAAGUUAUGUGUAACACCCCUAACCUAUAUUCGUCACUGGAAUAGGGUUACGGAGUAUUACCGGAGUUUACAUAUCAAAUAGACAGACAUUUCACAUCAUUUAACAUUAAUGACAGAAACCAAUCAAAAAUCAAAUAUAUUGUUCCUUAUGCGAGCCCUCGGGGCCCAAAAUACGUAUUAGAAACAAAUCGGGACUAAAUCGGGUAAUCGGAGAAUUUUUCAAAAAUCAUUAAAAAUUUUCAAAUGUGUAAGGGACACACGCUCGUGUGGCCAGGCUGUGUGACUCACAUGGUCAAUAGACACGCCCGUGUCUUAGGCCAUGUGGGUAUUCGAAAUAGGGGCACACGACCGUGUCCCAACCUGUUUCCAUACUAGUGUAACUUUCUAACUUAGGUCACACGGCCAAGUCACGCGCCCGUGUGCCAAGCCGUGUGAGCAUGCUGACUUGCAUUCUUAAAAGAUGCAGGGGAAACACAGCCGUGUCACUUGGCCGUGUGUCACACACGGCUGAGACACACGUCCGUGUCUCUGCCCGUGUGGACGAAAGUAGGCCAUUUUCCAAGCUACAUUUCUCACCCAAAUUUUUACCAACUUAGCCUCAACAAAUCACACAUCAAUAAGCCAUAUCAAGAUAUUCAACACAAACUAAAAUCAUGUCUUAAACAUUCAUCAUCACCACAAUCAACCAACGUGCUCUUAGACACCUCAAAUGACAACUUAUAAAAAAGUCAACCAAAAAUCCAAACUUACCUAUUUAAUCCAUCUAACAAAUUUACUAAGAUUCACCACAAAAUAAUUGCAUACAAACAUAUAUCACUCACACCAACAUCACUAAUAUGCCUCAUUCUCAAACCAAUAUAUAUAAGUUGGUUAUAUAAACAAAAUAUAAUUCAUAACAUUUACAUAAGCCAAACUUUGAUCCAAUCCACACAAAGGCCUAUACAUGCCAUAUAAACCGUAUUGAACGUUUCAAAAACUACCGGAAUAAGCUGGAUAGUGUGACUUGAGUGUUGAUCUGAUUGUCUAACCUUUCAAAAAUCUACAAGGACAUUAAACAACUCAAAUAAGCUUAAUAAGGCUUAGUAAGUUCGACGGAAUAAAUAAAAAUCUUACCGAACUAACUAUAAUAAAUCAAAUAAUAAAAACCAUUCAUGAUAACUCCCUGUCAAUCACAAUUUCAAUUGAUGAAUACAUCUGUUUUCAAGUCAUUACCAAAAAUAAAUAACAUGUCUUUCAAUUUUAAUAAGUAAAUCACCUUACCAAAUCAUUCCCAUUCGAAGAACGACUUACGAAUAAGAGUAAAUCGUUAACAGAAGCUCAUAAGAGCUGGUCCAUCUGAAUAUGUCAACAGAAGCUCAUAAGAGCUUAACAGAAAGUCAUAAGAGUUAAACAGAAGCUCGUAAGAGCUAAACAGAAACUCAUAAGAGUUGAACAGAAGCUCGUAAGAGCUGAACAAAAGCUCGUAAGAGCUGAACAAAAGCUCGUAAGAGCUUAACAGAAGCUCGUAAGAGCUGAACAGAAGCUUGAAAAAGCUAAACAGAAAGUAAAACACAAGAGUUAGCAAAAAAUCUGAACCCUGAUUUACUUGGGUAAUUUUUUGAUACUUUUCUCCAAUACCGUCAUACGCCAAAUCACGAAUGUACUCAGAUCAUGCGUUCAAUUCAAAUCGAAUAUCCAAUUCAAUAUCAUAAUUCGUAUAAUAAAUUAUUUCCAACAAUAAAAUAUAUGUUUAAUAUCAAUCAUCAAUUUAUAUAAAUAUUAAAGUUUAAUCGUACGAACUUACUUGGAUUAAAUUAUAGUAAUUGUAAAAGUUUAGGGACUAGUCUACUAUUUUUGUUUUUUAACGAGUAUCUACGAGAUCUUGAUCUAAAAUAUAAAAUUACUCAUCCAUUAGCAUAUAUUUCAUUUCCAAUUCAUUUCAUAAUUAAUACCCUUUUAUUUUUCAAAUUUAUAGAAUUACCCCAAACUUUUACAACUUUUGCAAUUUAAUCCAGGUAAGUUCGUAUGGUUAAACUUUAAUAUUUGUAUAAAUUGAUGAUUGAUAUUAAGCAUAUAUUUUAUUGUUGGAAAUAGUUUAUUGUACGAAUUAUGAUAUUGAAUUGGAUAUUCGAUUUGAAUUGAAAGCGGGAUCUGAGUACAUUCGUGAUUUGGUGUAUGACAGUAUUUGAGAAAAAUAUCAAAAAAUUACCCAAGUAAAUCGGGGUUCAGCAUUUGUUGCGAACUCUCACGUUUUACUUUUUGUUUAGCUCUUUUGAGCUUUAGUUUAGCUCUUACGAGCUUCUAUUCAACUCUUAUGAGUUUUUGUUCAGCUCUUACGAGCUUCUGUUUAACUCUUGUAAGUUUCUGUUCAGCUCUUAUGAACUUCUAUUGGCAUAUUCAGAUGGACCAGCUCUUAUGAGCUUCUGUUAACGAUGUACUCUUAUCCGUAAAUCGUUAUUCGAAUGGGAAUGAUUUAGUAAGGUGAUUUACUUAUUGAAAUUGAAAGACAUGUUAUUUAUUUUUGGUAACGACUUGAAAACAGAUGUAUUCAUCGAUUGAAGUUGUGAUUGACAAGGAGUUAUCGUGAAUUAUUUUUAUUAUUUUAUUUAUUAUAGUUAGUUCGGUAAGAUUUUUAUUUAUUCCAUCGAACUUACUAAGCUUCAUUAAGUUUAUUUGAGUUGUUUAAUGUCCUUGUAGAGUUUUGAAAGGUUAGACGAUCAGAUCAACACUCAAGUCACACUAUCCAGCUUAUUCUGGUAGUUUUUGAAACGUUUAAUACGGUUUAUAUGGCAUGUAUAGGCUUUUGUGUGGAUUGGAUCAAAGUUUGGCUUAUGUAAAUGUUAUGAAUUAUAUUUUGUUUAUAUAACCAACCUAUAUAUAUUGGUUUGAGAAUGAGGCAUAUUAGUGAUGUUGGUGUGAGUGAUAUAUGUUUGUAUGCAAUUAUUUUGUGGUGAAUCUUAGUAGAUUUGUUAGAUGGAUUAAAUAGGUAAGUUUGGAUUUUUGGUUGACAUGUUUAUAAGUUGUCAUUUGAGGUGUCUAAGAGCAUGUUGGUUGAUUGUGGUGAUGAUGAAUGUUUAAGACAUAAUUUUAGUUUGUGUUGAAUGCCUUGAUAUGGCUUGUUGAUGUGUGAUUUGUUGAGGCUAAGUUGGUAACAAUUUGGGUGAGAAAUGUGGCUUGGAAAAUGGCCUAUUUUCUUCCACACGGGCAGAGACACGGUCGUGUGCCCCUAUUUCGAAUACCCACACGGCCUGAGACACAAGCAUGUCUAUUGAUCGUGUGAGUCACACGGCCUGGCCACACGGGCAUGUGUCCCCUACACCUUUGAAAAUUUUUAAUGAUUUCUGAAAAAUUCUUCGAGCACCCGAUUUAGUCCCAACUUGUUUCUAAUACAUAUUUUGGGCUCUGAGGGCUCGCAUAAGGGACAAUAUGUUUGAUUUUUGAUUGGUUUCUGACAUUGGUGUUAAAUGAUGUGAAAUGUCUGUUUAUUUGAUAUGUAAACUCCGAUAAUGCUCUGUAACCCUGUUCCGACGACGGAAACGGGUUAGGGGUGUUACAUUAUGCCUCAUCUUCUUAUAAAUAGAUGACACUAGUAGGGCUAUUUACACAACUUUAAAAUAUUGUUACUCUGCCCGAAAAUAGAGAUAAUUUAUUUUCAACUAUUAAAUCUAUUUUCUGGAAUAACAAUUUUUGUCGGUUUCCAUUGAGAAGGGAAUUUUCGUUUUCUAACUUAAACAAAGAAAACUAUUUCUAGUUAUGUAUUUUGAUUCGAAUUGUUCGAACCCACACUCGAAGCAGUUCGUGAUACAAGAAUAGCGGAGAAGGUCAUUGGUUUAAAGCCGAGAACGACAAUGAUUUGUCUAUCUGAAAACACUGAUGCGAAUUCAAUUAUGGGUUUAUUACUAUAAAUAUCACAAAUCAACUUAGUUUUCAAAAAUUUAAAAUUUUGUUGCGAAAAAAAAACCGUUUUCAAACUGAAUUUUUUCAACACCUUGGUUAAGUCUGCCUCCUUAGUGAUCUAUUCACAAACCACUUCAAGUAUUUCUCCUAGGCUCUUAACAACCCACUUUGGAUGCACUACUUUCCCCUUUCUCUGACCUAGUUGCUUAAAAAUUUAAGGCAUUAGAAUCCUGCCCUUUAACAUCACCUCUACCAAUUGAGGAAACAUUAAAUAUGCCUUUGCUAUUAUGUACGAGGAUUUACACAUCACUUAAAUCUGUUAGCACCAAGAAUCUGAAGUUAUCGAAAUCAUUCCCAACAUAUUCCAAUUGUCAUUGGUCCUUUCUACUUCUAUGCCUCGAUUUCCACUUUGCUAUCAUCCAAAGUCCAAGAUUUUCAACCUCCGCCGGUUUCUUCCGUUGGACCUUCGGGUGCCCUUUCUUGUUAACUUUCUCAUUUUCUUCUUCCACAUCAAAAAUCAUACCACAAUUCUCCUUUACGUGCCCAUGAAAUCCACAUUCGAAACAAAUAUUUGGUAGAGAUUCAUAUUCUACAUUCUAGAGCUUUCCAUCAAUUUGAAUCUUUGCAACCAAAAGCUCAUUCAAGUUGACACAUAUUGCCAAGCGCAUAAAUCUACUUAAGGGGGAGACUUGGAUAUGUUUUUGUAUGAAGAGAAUAAAGUGCACUAAAUCUAUUCAAGUGGGGAACAAUGUUUUGUGAUUGCAUAUUGAUAGUAAAACAUUUGUGUUUUGAUUUGACUUGUUGAAUUCACAGAUGUGAAUUUAGUAGUGAGAGUAUCAAUCUUUAAAGUUCAAAAGUGAGGAAAAUUAUUACAGGGCGUGUUAGUUGAAAAGAAUGGAUAUUUCUCACUGAACUAGGAUCCACAGACGUAGAAAAACCAAAUUGUGCAAACAAUUCUUGUGUGUUAGAUUUGAUUUUUGUUUUUAGAGUUGGUGUCAAAAAAGUACCCACUUCCCUACCACUCUUUCUAUAGUUUGCUAACAACAGUUUCAAAACUUCAAAAUACGUAAACUUAAAAGAUGAUCAAACAUGAUACAUCAAAUACAUUAAAUAGUGAAUUGGUCAUAAAUAUAAAAUUUAUAUAACAGAUCAAAAUGUAACUAAAACCUACUAUUUCCUACAUCAUAUAAAUUUAAUAAUAUAUAAAAAGUAGUUGUAUUGAUUUUUAUAUGUCAAUUGGUCAUGCAUAUCAUAUAAUAUAAUUAUGAUUAUAAUUAAAAAAUAAAUCUUUAUAUAUUGAAAUAUUAAUUUAAAAUAUUAUGAAUAUUUGCUUAUUUUCUACUUAAAAGCAUCAUAAAAAUAAUAAGAAAUAUAAGACAUUUUUAAAGAACCUUUAAUAUAUAAGGGAUUGAUACAGUUGAUAUUCAAAUUUCAGAAUUAUUGAGAUAAGGGAAAUAGCAAGGACUAAAAUUGUGAAUAAAAAAGGCCGAGUAUCCUAGUUAAUAAAUUAUACGAGAUGGAAGGAUUUAAUAUGCAAAUAAUCCAUCUGAAUAUGAAAUAAUAAUGUUUUUCUUUCCUUUUUCUUCAUUUCUACCCUUCAGCCGUCACUGGAUGGAAAUUCAUUUCCAGAUUUCGGCUUAGUUUACUUCAACUGUUCGAAAAUAUUUUUAAAAUUUUAUAAUAAUCUUGAACUUUUUUUUUUUUUUUUGCAUCUGUGCAUUUAUUUUAAGGCUUAAUAUAAUUUAUACAAUAACCAAAUAAAUUAAUAAAUUAAUUUUGAGAAUUUAAGAAAAAUAUAUAAGUGAAUCAAAAUCUUACAUAUGAGAAUUUAUACCAGUAAAACCCACUGCUUUUAGUUGAAGCCAUUGAACUUGCUGUUUUAUAAGUACCUCCUUAUCUUGCACCCUGUAAUUAAAAAACGAAUGAACAACGUUUAAUGAUUUCGAGAAAAGAUUUUAAUAUAUUCCAAAUAGAUAAACAACUGUGUACAUAAUGAGUAGACCUGUCCAUGGGCUGGGCGGCCCGGUCCGGCCCGACGACCCGCCCAAAAUAUGGGAGGGUUUGGGUAAAAAUAUAGGCUCGAAAUAUGGGCUUGGGUAAAAUUUCAGGCCCGUUUAAAAAAUGGGCCGGGCCUCGGGCAAGAUUUUUUGGCCGGGCUCGGCCCGAAAAAUAUUAAAUAUAUAUAUUUUUAUUUUUAAAAUAUAAUAGUUUUUUUAUUUUAAGUUUAUUUACUUUCAUUUCCUUGACUAGUGUUACAAAAUAAUAAUAAUAAAACAUCAAGUUUGUUUUACUAAUCAAAUGUUAGAUUUUGUUAAUACAAUUAAUACAAUUAAUAAUUUGAUAAAUUUACUAAUCAAAUGUUAGAUUUUAUUACAACAAUUAAUACAAUUAAUAAUUUGAUAAAUUUACUAAUCAAAUGUUAGAUUUUAUUACAACAAUUAAUACAAUUAACAAUUUGAUAAAUUUACUAACAAUUAAUUUUAAUUUUAUUAAAAAAACUAAUUUUAAUUUUAAUUUUAAUUAAAAACGGGCCGGGCCGGGCUCGGGCCCCAUAUUUUUUCUUUGGGCCGGGCCUGGGCAAAAUCUCAGGCCCAUAUUUCGGGCCGAGCUGGGCCCGGGCCUAGUAAAUGGGCUGAAAAUUUUUGUGGGUCUGGCCCGGCCCGGCCCGGCCCAUGGACAGGUCUAAUACUGAGCACCAUUCGUUUAGACUCAAAGGCUCAUCCGAAAAGUGGGGGUUUUAGAUAAAAAUUAUAUGCUCGAACAAAAAAUAAGAUCCGUUUUCUAAAUUAAUCAGACCUCGGGUAAGAUUUUUUGGUUCGAGGAUCUAGUUAUUUUUUUUUGCUGUUGUUUUGUUGUUGUUUUUCUGUCAUUUUUCUAUCAUAUUAUUACUAUUUUGUUGUUAUUAUUUAAAUAUUGUAUAACUCUUAUUUUGCUACUAUUUUUUAAUGUAUUUUUAAUUUAUUGAAAAACAUUUAUUUUAAUAUUUAGCGUAUUUGAUCUAUUACAUUUUUUAAAAAUUAUUUUUAUAUAAAAAAAUUUAAUAUUGUUGGGUCAAGCGAGCUUAGAUUUAGUAUUUUUUUUUAUCUAAAUCGGGCUUGGAUAAAGCUUUAAACUCAUUUUCGAAGUCAAACCUAAAAUUUUUACAUUGACCUGAUCCAUGAUAAGAUUUGUUAACCAUACAAAUGAUAUGAAAAAUUUGAAUGACCCAUAUGUGAAUGUGAAUGGUAGUUAUCUAUAUGGACUGAUUAAUGUAAUUAGACGAUGUUGUAGCUUUGUCAUGGUAAAGCAAGAUUUAGGGUAGUUAAUGUAUUGUAAUCAAUUUUAUAGUAAAAUAAAUUUAAAUAAUAAUUUUAUAAAAUACAUAAGCAGAAUAAAAAAAUUAAUGUACACUAAAAUUCUAUUAUAUAUAGCUAAAAAGAAUCUAAAUCAAUAAAUAAUUAAAAAUAUUUUAUUAAAAAAUCCAAAUGCUACAAAUGACAAUGGUUUGGUCGUGGUGACUUUCCUAAUACUAUCCUUCGACUUUUCCUUCCUUAUUUAAACAUAUACGCUUAUAUUUCCAACUUUUCCAUUUGCUUCACAUUUAAAAAAUUACGUAAAAAUCUUUAAAAAUUAUAUAAAAAAAAGCUAAAUUCUAAGAAACAUACCUAUUGUAAUGAAAAUCAUUGCAAGCAUUCAUCUAUUUAUAACCGUCAAUAAGUACAUGGUAGUCAAAGAUUUUUAAAAAUUCUAAUUAUCUAAUUAAAAAUUAUAAUAAAUAUUAAUUAUUAAAUAUAAUAAUUAUCUAAAUUAUUAUAAAUAUUUCUUAUUUAAUAAAUAAAUAUUUUAUAAACAAAUGGAUAAUAUAUAAAAAUUUUGAAAUGUAAAUUUUACUUAUAUUUUAAUUUAAUUUAAACUAUACAAAUUAUAUCCAAAUUUGAUAAUUAGUUUUUAAAUUUUUAUUUAAAAUUAAAAAUUAAAAUAUAUAAAUGGAUAUUUAUCUAAUUAUAUUUUAUUUAAUUAAGCAUUUAUCUAAAAUUUAAAAAUUUUAGUUAUCUAAUUAGAAUUUUAAUAAAUUUUAAUUAUUAAAUAUAAUAAUUAUCCAAAUUUUCAUAUUUAAUUAAAUAAACACUUUUAUAAUCAAAUGGGUAAUAUAUAAAAAAUGAUAUGUAAAUUUGAUAAUUAAUUUUUAAAAUUAUAUAUUAUAUAAAAUAAAUAUAUAAGUUAAAUCAAAUGGAUAAUUAUCUAAUUAAUUAUCCUUUUUGUUUUUAGAUAAAUUUAAUAUAAAUUAAAAUAUAUUUUAUAAUUUCUCAAUUAAUUUUUCGGUUAAUAUAUUAAUAUGGAAAUUAAUUUAUCAAUUGAUACAUAAUUGCAAUUGUACAACUCAGAAAUUGAUUGUAAAAAUAAUAAAAUUGAUUAUUAUUUAUCAAUUAGCAUCCUUGUGUAUAAUAAACCCAUUUCACUCGGAAAUAUAAACAUUUCUUUUACCCAUUGUUUACUAUGGGUAAUAUAUUAAUUAUCAAAUGGAUAUUCAAUUUUUAAUUUUACUUAAAUUAUCUAAAUUAUAUUCAAAAUUGAUAAUUAAUUUUUAAAAAUUUUGAUGUUAAAAUUUAAAUUUAGAAUAAAUAAUAUAUAAAUAAAUGUAUAAAUUAAAUCAAAUAGAUAAAUAUCUAAUUAAUUUUAUUAUCUAGUUAAAUAUUUAUCUUUUAGAGAUAAAAUUAAAUUAAAUUAACUACAUAUUAAAUAAAAAAUUAAUUCAAAAAACUAAAAAAAACAUAAUUAUGCCACUUGUCGCAAUUAUUGUGUAUAUACUUUGUUAUAUUAUAUAUAUAUAUAAAUACAUUUAUGCAAUUAUAAAAUUUAAAAUUAUUAAUUGAGUUGAAUAAUUUAAUUCUAUAAUUAUAUUUUAAGUUUAAAAGUAAUGCUUAAAAUGUUUAAAAUAAAAAGUAAAAUUUAAAAUAUAAAAAAAUUUAUAUUAACCGGUAUGAGUCUAUAUGCAUCUAUAUAAAUCGAUAUUUAUACAAAACCGACUAUCAUGGGUAUCCUAGAUGACGUAGUAUGAAAUGCUUAAAAGAACCCUAAAUUGGCAAAAGUAGAAACAGAGGCAGCCGCCGACAAAGGGGAUUUGUUUCUUUAGCAGGGUGGGUUUUGGUUUGAGCAUGCACCACUCUUCUUUUCCUUCAGACUAGUUGGUGAAUUUAAUUGAAUUGGUUUUUUUUAAUUUGCAUUAAAGAAUUUUAAUUUUUUUGGUGAAUUUAAUCGGGUUGCUUUUUAUUUUUAAUUUAUAUUAAAAAUUAGUUUAAGGGCGUAAAAGGUUCUUAAUUUUUUUUAAAAAAAUUUAAAUCCCUACUCUUUUUUUUGCACUCAGUUUAAUUUUCGAAAUAUAUCAAAAAGCUCUCAAACUUUUUCAAAUAAAGUAAUUAAGUUUCUGUCUUCUUUUACUCAAUUAGGUACUUGAAUUGCUAAAAUACAUUAAAAAGCCCUUUGACCGUUAAAGUUAACUGCUCCUAAACAUUUUUAGUUAAAGUCACCACGUGUCAUAAUCAAGGCGUAACAUGUGACAAAAAAAAAGGAUAAAAAUAAAAAUUAAUAAAAGUUAUAGAAAUUAUUAAUUUUAACAAAAAAUGUAAAAAUAUUUAAAUUAGAAAAAAUUAUAAAAAUUGUAAAAAAUUAUAAAAUAUAUAGAAAUAUAGAAAAAAAUUAUAAAAUUUUAUAAGUCGUAAAAAAAUUAUAAAAAAUGUAAAGAAAUAUAAAAUUUGUAAAAAAAUUAUAAAAAUUAUCGUACUAAAAGAAGUAUUUUAUAAUUUUUCUAUAAUUUUUAUUGAUUUUUAUUUUUUAUCAUUUUUCACCACAUAUCAUGUUGUGUUGUGACACGUGAUGACUUGAACUAAAAAUAACUUGGGAUCGUUUUUUAACAAUCAACGGUUGAAGUU
This 89490-nucleotide long non-coding RNA is filed under the name Gossypium barbadense (sea-island cotton). RNAcentral describes it as "long non-coding RNA (GBAR_LNC022683)". The record is from RNAcentral. Lineage: Eukaryota; Viridiplantae; Streptophyta; Magnoliopsida; Malvales; Malvaceae.